Molecule: long non-coding RNA, 89232 nt
Filed under: Ananas comosus (pineapple)
Lineage: Eukaryota; Viridiplantae; Streptophyta; Magnoliopsida; Poales; Bromeliaceae
Description: long non-coding RNA (ACOM_LNC032548)
Source: RNAcentral
CAGUUCUUACUUUAUAGUUGUCUUGCUGCUAUAGUAGAUAUUCAUGUAUGCUUUCGGUUCUAGUUACAGUAGCGGUAGCCAUUAUUCAGUCUAGUUCUUACUUUCUUUAAGUUUAUUGCUACUGUAUUUAAUAUAUCUGCUCAUUACCUUAUACAUCUCUUUUGUUUACUAUUGUUCCUACUGUAUUUCCACUGACCCGUGUUGUUGUAUAGCUCUUCCUGAUCCGGUGAGUACUCCUCGCCUUCUUCGGCUUGCGGUACCCACUGGGAGGGGAGACAUGUUUACAUGUUCUCACCUCCCCCACCAUUUUUCAGGUAUCGCGGGCGAUGAUUAGUGGGACGAGACGUGAGGUACGUGUGUAGCAGUCGAUAGAACUUCCGACUCAGGUUAUUUCGAUUUAGUUAUUACCCUUAUUAUUUCUGUUGAUUUAUAGCUUAGUCGGUUUACAUGGUUCAGUUUUGUGUUAUUAUCUGAAUAUCUGAGUUUUCAGUUGGUUUUGGAAUGUAAUAAAGGAUUUGUGUUUUCUUGAAAUAAAAAUAGUUUUCUACCCCUCGUGGUAGCGUUUUAAAAAGAUAAAAGUUCCCGUGUAGGGAACAGUUUUCAAAGGGUUUUCUGUGAUUUUGUAUCUUAGUAUUUUAAAACAUGUUUCUGUGGUUGGAAACAUUUUAACUGAUAGAUGUGAAUUUAUGUUUAAAUAUUGAGUGAAAAAAUGUGAAUCUGUGGUGAAUGGUGUAUGAAUAUAUAACUGUGGUUAUUUGUAUGUUCAUCUGGUUGUGGUUGUAUCAUGUUUGAACUCUUGUACUUGUGCGACGCCGUGCAAAUACAGGGGAGACUUUGUCCGUGUGAACCGUGGAUCUCCUGUAUUUGUGGCGGAUCUGGCAUACCUUGGGGUCAGGUUUUCAAAAAAAAAAAAAUUCAGACGCUUUUCCGCUAUGCUUUAAACUAAAAAGGGACCCCGGGGCGUGACACUCUCUCUCCCUCUCUCUCUCUCUCUCUCUCUCUCUGUGUCCCUCACCCCAAGUCCCCAAUUAAUAGGGUAAUAGAACGCAGCCACCACUCACCACCAAGCUUGUUGGCUCUAUUGCCCACCUCGUGGGCUGCUAUAACUAAACUUGUUGGCCAACGUCGCCCCAACGUUGUCCGCUGCCGUGGCCAAAAUCGUCCCAGCGCCUCAACCUCGGCGGCCACUGUCGCGAACCUCGUCAGCCACCGUCACCGCAACCUCGACGCCACCAUUGCUGACCUCAACCGCCGCUACUGCCGCAGCCUUGACACGGCCGCCGACGUUGCUCUUCGAUCUCUUUACACCGACUAAUUUGAUUUUUUAAUGUAAGAAAAUUUUAAUACUUUUAUUUGGAGUUUUUUUUAUUAAAUUUUAGUUAAGCACUAAUAGGAUCGUAUGACUUCAGAUACUCUGUAAUGCACCCUGUAUAAGCUAUUCGACUGUCAUAAUUUUGUAAUUAUGCCAAAAGUAUCUUACUUUUUGAAAUCUUUCAUACUCUUCUUGGGUAUUCUUGGCAAUUUCAGUUUGUUCUUCUAGGACAACUUGCAAUCUUGAAAUCUAACAUUAAAAAAAACACAGAGUAAAGAAAGAAAAUACUGCAAUGAAUAAUACAUCACAUGGAGUGCAAACAAUUAAUGUUGAUAACAUGUUGAUGAACAUUAUGGAGAUUUAUAGUCAAAUUAAUAAAAUAGUAGUAGAAGUGCACCUCUGUUAGUAGAACUUUCUUAGGCAUAUUCUUUAGCAUUAUCAAAGAGAAGCAUCGCCCAAGAAGAUAUAGGUAAUAAUUUUUGCUAUGACAUUUAAUUUAGAUUAGGUUGAAUUCUACUCUUUUGUUCUUUGGAACAUUAUUACAAAUCUUUUUAGUUUAAUAUGUGAUAAUUUAUUUUUGUACUUAGAUGUCUUCACGGAUUCCUUCUUCUCAAAAUUCUAUAUCUUCUCCCGCCAUUGAUGAUAUUAUUGCUGAUGACUCACCGAUCGCUGUCGAUGAGGAGUGCAGAGAUGAUGGAGAUAAUGACUAAUUGAUGAAUGAGAAGGCGAUUGCCACCAGCAGCCCAUCCAAGAAAAGGGGGAGAAAAAAAAUAUCAGAUGUAUGAAAAAACUUUAAAAAAAUUUAGGUAAUAGAGAAAGGAUCAUCUAUUGAGAAAUAUAAAUGCUACAAAUAUCCGACAACUUUUCACAUUCCUAAGUAUGGUACCACUUCUCAAUUUAAAAGGUACUUGAUUGCCUACACACAAAGCUAGAUAAAAAGCAAUGUACUAUAUCUUUUGCUUUCACUUGCACAAUAGUUAUUGAUACUAUUGGAGAGAAAUAUCUUUCCAAAAUUUCGAAAGGAAAAUAUGACCACAAAAUGAUAAGAAAAAUAAUUGCGAAAAUGAUUAUGGCACAUAAGUAUUCGUUUAGUAUAGUUGAGCAUGCAUAGUUGUUACGACAAAACCGAAAAGAUCUAAUUCGUCAGGCGUGAAAGUAGCAAGAAGAAUAGAGAAAUAGAGAAGAAAAUAAAGAACACAAUGUUUACGUGGUUUGGCCACUGGCCUACGUCCACGGGCGAAGACGGAGCAAAACUUUAUUACUGUCGAAGGUGGAAUACAAAAUUAUAUAUCUCUCCCAAAAGACCCAAAUCAGAAAAUAUAACCAAAAAGCACACCACGAUGAACGGGCGAAUUACUCAAGUCAUGUCCGUGCAACCGGAUUACACGGCUCGGCCUCUCACCAACACCCUUGUUCGACUUUCGCACCCAAUAUUUGGCCCGGCUCUCUCCCCGUCAGAUGCACCACGAGAGCUCACGCGCCAGCCUUAUGGAAGAGCUCACGACGGGUUGGCUUGAUUGGAACUUAAUUAAUUAGACGUGGCUUUUUCUCUCUCGCUCUCCCUGAGAAAGGAUUGGAUAUAUAUAUAUAUAUAUAUAUAUAUAUAUAUAUAUAUAUAUAUAUAUAUAUAUAUAUAUAUAUAUAUAUAUAUAUAUAUAUAGAGUGUGUGUGUGUGUGUGUGUGUGUGUGUUUUAUGCUCAUCUCCUCCCUGGGGACAUUGAGACACAAAAAAGAAGAGAAAAAGGAGAGAGAGGAGUGUUAGUAGAUGGCACAGAUUCUUGAGUGAUCUGAGCUCUCACCAAUCAGCCAAANAUAAUUCACAUGUAAUUCUAAUAAUCUAAAAUGAAUCCUCAUAAUCCAUACAAAAAAAUUGAUAAAUAAUGAUAAUAAUUUGAAAAUAGUGAAUGAUUUACCGCUUUCUAAAGAUGGUGAACGAUUCAACCGAUUUUUUUAUAUUUGUCAAACAUGCAUUGAGUUUGCAAGAAGAAGAUUAGUUGGCCAAAUAAAAUGUUAAAAAAAUUAUUUGGCUAAUUAGAAAUUUUUAUAAGAUUAUUUUUUAAAAAAGUCAAUUCUACAAGGAGCAAAUAAUACUAAUGGUACACAUAAAAACGGAGUGUAAAUCUUAUAUCCAUCACUCAAGGUUUAUAUUGGAUUCUUGUUUUGUCUAUAUAUAUAUAUAUAUAUAUAUAGAGAGAGAGAGAGAGAGGAUGCAGCCUAAUUAAAUUAGAACUCCCAGUAUGACUCCAAAACCAAUCCUAUAAUUCCUAGGAAUCAAAAAAUACCAAAUAGAUCCAGCCUACCAAAUUGACAUGGACUAAAUCUAAAUCCUAUUUUAAUUAGGAUAAUUAUAAUUUGAGUUCUUUUAAUUUUGCUCCACAAAAUUUUAAGCCGCAUCACAAAAUAAUUUGGAUCGAGACAUAUUUAACAAUAGUUUAAUGUGUUAUUGAAAGUUUUGAAUCCUAAUUAUGAAAAAAUUUCUAGAAAAAUUAUAAAGAAUAAUUGUAUGAAAGUUUAUGACAAUAAAAAAAAUAAGCUAAAGAAGAUGCUUAAAAGUGUUGGAAUGAUAAGUUUAACAUCAAAUACAUGGACAUCCAACCGAACAAUUGGUUAUAUGUGUGUUUGACUGCUCAUUUUAUAGAUUCUGAAUGAAAAUUACAGAAGCGUGUCAUAACUUUUUGUGAGUUGGAGCCUCCACAUAUGGAGGUUGUCAUUGCUGAUAAUAACGUUGAAUGACUACUUAAUUAGGGCAUUGAGAACAAGAUAUCCACUAUAACCUUGGAUAAUGCCUCCUUUAACGAUGUGACGAUUCGAUUUUUAAUGGAUAAUUUUGUUGUUAGAGGAAGAUUUUUUUUUUAAGCGAAUUAUAUUUCAAGUAAGAUGUUGUACUCAUAUCUUAAAUUUAGUUGCUCAAGAUGGGCUCGAUGCAAUUGAAAAAAUUAUUGAAACUAUUAGGAAUAGUAUUGUUUACUUGAAAAAAAAGCCUCACACAUCUCCACAAAUUUGGUGAAAUUGCUCGACAACUUAAUAUCUCUACAACAAAAGGAUUGGCAUUAGAUGUUGCAACUCGUUGGAAUUCUAUAUACAUUAUGUUAGAUCAUGCCUUUACAUAUAAAGCCGUUUUCCAACAACAUGCAACUAGAGAUGCAAAUUAUAAAUGGCUUCCAUCUCAAAGUGACUGGAUGAAAGCUCAAAAAGUUUUUGACAUUCUUGAAAUUUUUUAUGAAAUGAUAAACAUCUUCUCUGGUUCACUUUAUCAUACAGCAAAUCUUUUUCUUCCAGAAAUAAAAAAUAAAAGAACAGCUAAAUCAGAAAUUUAAAUGUGAGGAUGAAUUUUUGAAAAACAUGGUUGUUGAGAUGCGAAAAAAGUUUGACAAAUAUUAGGGUAAGUGUAAUAUAUUGAUGUCUAUUGCAACUAUUAUGGAUCCUGGUUACAAAAUGAAUCUUAUUAAGUUUUGCUUUCUUAAAAUUUACCCUCAGAUUGAAUUUGUUGAUCAUAUUCUAAAAGUUCAGAAAGCAUUAUUUAAUAUAUAUGAAAUUUAUGUACUCGAGCAAGUCUUAAAGUACCUACACAUGAUGUUGGAGGACCAAAUUUAUCAAAUGAUGAAAUUGGUUAAGAUUUAUCUAAGAAGACAAAAGUUAAGACAAAAGAAAGAGUUGUAUUUGAUUUAUUCUUGGAGACAGUUGAUACAAUGAAAAUUAGAAAAUCAGAGUCGAAGAUUUACUUGGAAGAGCAAAACGUGAGAUGUGAUGCAUCUACAGACACAACAUUUGAUGUUCUUAAUUGGUGGAAAAUGAACUCUCACAAGCUUUCUAUUCUUGCACAGAUGGCAAAGAAUAUUCUUUCUGUACUAAUUACCACGGUGAUACAGAAUAUGCAUUUAGUGCUGGUGGAAGAGUUCUUACGAAUUACUAUAAUUCACUAUCCACUCUUACUGUAGAGGCCCUAAUAUGUGAAGGAAGUUGGAUUCGCGAUGCUUCAAAACUACAACUAAAAUCUCCCAAUGUAAGUUAUUAUAUGUUUUUAAUCUUGAAUUUUAUAAUUUACUAUUCAUUACUAGUGUUUUAGAUAAUUAACUAUAAUGGCUAAAUUUACACUAUGAUUAUCUAAAUGAAGAGAGUCUAAUCAUUCAAAUUCCCGAAGUUGUGGAUCCUUAGCUUACUUAUUUCUCUUUUGUAAGGUGGAUAAUUUUAAAAAUGCACAUAUUACAUACAUUUUAUUACUUUUUAAAUUAUUUUUUAUGUAAACUAACUUUUAUUAUGUUUUUUUUGUGCCAGAUGGAGUGAUUUUGAGUUGAAGACUUAACGUUGUUUUCUAUACUUUAUUAUGCCACCGUGAUGGCUCUUAAUACCUAUAUGCAUUUGAGAUUAAUGUUAAACUAGUGUAGAGUCCGCGCUUCGCAGUAGAUAGUCAAUUAAAAUAUAUAAUUAUAAAAAUUUUAUAAUUAAAAAAUUAUUUAGUACAUUAUAAAAAAUAAUUUUUUUAUUAAUAUUUUCUUAAUUUUUGAAUAGUCAUAUUAUUUUAAUAAUUUUAUUUAAAAAUUAAUUAAAUUUAAUAGUUUAAAAAUUGUUCUAUAAAUAAUAUUUUUAACUAAAAAGUUAAAAAUCUGAAUACACCACUUAUCUCUAAGUUAGUAUAUUUUAUGUGAUUCUCACAACUAAAUUUCGUAAAAAAUAAAAUUAAUUUAAAUUCCAUCAAUCUUUCUUUUAUUUUUUAAUAUGUAAUUUAUAUUUAAAUGCUCAAUAUUAUAAAAUAAAAAUUUAUAUUUAACACAAACGGUCUAAAAUAUUAAAAAAUUAUUUAUAUAUUUUAAAUUUUAUAAUAAAAAAUAAAAAAUUAGAUUGGAUUUUUAAAAAAUAUAAAUUAUUUUGUAUAUAUGAAGAGAGCAAAAAAAAUUAAGAGCGGAAAAAAAAAAAAAAUCUCCUCCCCUCCCCGAUGGGCUCCAUCUCCACCGGGCCCACCCUGUGCGCUCGCGCCCACGCGAGCGUCCGCGCCAGUUGGCCCGAGCGCGAGCAUCUACGCCAGUUGGCCCGAGCGCGAGCGCCCGCGCCGUCUCGUGCCCGACUGGCCCGCGUCGUCUCACGCCCGCCAGCCCGCCCCGCCGCCAUCUCGCAAUUCCCCCAUCUCUGCCACGUGGCUUAAGAAAAAUAAGGAUUCAUUGUAUUUACUAAGCCAUAACAGUCGCAGCCAGUCGCCAUCACCUUAGCGCCACCGGCUGUUGCGUCAUCACCUAAGCUGCAGCUGCCGUCGCCCAUCGCCGUCGCCGCGAAGGCCGGCCAAAUCCCUGCACGAAAAGGUUUUCAAUGAGAAGAGAGGGGGGAAAUAGGAGGGGCAUAAGAGAAGAGAGAGAGUAGGGAAGGGAGAGAAAAGAGUGGAGGACAGCUGAAGUGGGGAAUUAGAAUAGAGAGAAUUGGGACAGCUAGAGGAGGAAGGAGAAAGAGAGGGGGGCCUUCUUAGGGAAGAGAGAGAAAGAGAGGAGAUGAGAGGGGAAGAGAGAGAGUGCUAGAGAGACAGGGAGAGAGAGAGGAGAUGGGUUGACGAAAUGGGUUGGGGGAGAGAGAGUGGGAGAGAGGAAGAGAGAUGGUAGAGAGAGAGUUUCAUAAAGAAAUCUGGGAGUCCCAAGUAUUCAUAAAUCGCCAUGUGGAAUAGGAUAAUGUCCUCACGCACCACGUGUACCUGUGUUCUCUCAAAUUAAAUAGUACAAGUAACAUCACCAUCUCAUGGUUGCCCGCAAGCGGGCCGUCCAAACUCCGUGCAUGCAUCACAGAUGUGAGGGGGGGUAGUUCUAGGUAGUUGCCCAUAUAGGGACCCUCCCCUCCCAAAUAAUUGGCUGUGCAGGGCCCAAUCUCCUUGUUGCCAAGUAACAUCACCAUCUCGCCAAAAUUUUUUUAAAAUGUCAAGAACAUGCAGGCAAAAAGUGAAUAAAUAAUGUAAACAGUCAAAGUUAUCCAGUGUAGAUUAUGGAAAUAAAUACGUCGCAGUUAAAGCUAGCAUGUACGAUCAUCCAUGUGAAAAGGACAAAUGAAGCACCAAAGGAGGAGCCAAGAGCGGUUGCCCGCUUGGCGGGCCGUCCAAACCUGCUUAGCAAUGACAAAGCCAUUUUUUUUUCACUUGCACAUCAACAGGGCGUAAAAAAAUAUUUAAAAAAACCACCAGCAAUCUAAAAAAACUGCUCUGCAACGGCAAAGCUAUUUUUUUUCUCACUUGCAUAUCAACAGGGCCUUGAAAAAACUUAAAAAAACUACCAAGGAUUAAAAAAAAACAAACGAAAGAUCAGAAAAAAUUAUAAAAAUAAAAUAAAAUGGUAGGAAUCAAACUAAACAUGCAGGAAAGGGAUGUCUGUGAAUAGGACGCCCAAAAUCCCAAAAAAAAAGAAAAAGAAAAUGACAAAGCCUCUUAGUAUAUUCAAAAAACAAGAAAACGAAAAUCAAUCAAAAUAAGAAAAAUAUCCUUAGAAAGGCGGAAAUUUAUAGGCACCUUAGUAACAAAAGACUGUAGCAAAUUUAUGGUGUGCAGGAGAUUAAACAACAGACUGUAGAAAAGUUACGGUGUGUAAGAGAUUAACAGAUAUGUAACAAUAAAAUGUCAAUUUUUAUCUUUUAUGCUUCAAAAAGACUUUUAUCCCACCUUUAUAUUUGUGUACAGAAACAAUCUAUACUGUGCUGAAAAGGCUAGCCUAUUUAUAGAAAAGCUAUAGAAGGUCAGAAGAGAAGAGAAGAGGAAGACUCAAGCAACGUCCACCAUCUCUCUCAGUAGAUUCAAAAAAAUUAAGAAAAAAUAUAUCUAUCCCAUCGUUGCUGUCGAAUCAGUAGGCUGGCAAAGCUCUCAGAGGAAGACGGAGAAGAGAAAGAAGAUAGUAAAGAGUAGCACCGGCGACCAGGGGGGAGAGGAGGUAACAGCGACCGUUGGAUCGGCGAGCGUAGCAACCUGAAUCAUUGGAUCGGCCAAGUAGGGUAGGUGUAGGCGACCGAAUCAUGAUGCCUAACGAUGGAUAGCUCAGGCAUCGAAAGAGCGGAGGGAAGAGAGGAUGGAGGUGAGAGAGGAGAGAGGAGAGAGAGAGAGAGAGAGAGGCGGUGAGAAAGAGCGAGGCGUUGAGAGAGGGAGAAAGAGAGGCAAUGAGAGAGAGAGAGAGAGAGAGAGAGAGAGAGAGAGCGACACUUCGGGUAUUGGAGGGGCACGCGCAAGGAAUGCGCGGAGGGGAGGAGGAAGGAAACCACCAAAAUAGACAGCGCAGAUUGAGCGCCUGUUAGAAAAGAGAAAGGGCAUGUUUCGGGCACCUUUGGAUUAUUAGAGCGCUGUGGUAGACCGUUGGAUCUGGAGCAAAAGAAGAGGCAAUGAGAGCCUAGCCUGCCACGUGACUGAAUAGGAGUCUCAAAUAGUAAGAUUGUAUAGAUAAGAUUUUUAUUUUUUAUAUUGAUGUAGUUAACUAUUUGAUGUUAUUACUUUUAUGAUACUAUAUUUAACUAAAUAUGCUUAGUUAAAUUUCUUAUCUAAAUAUGCUUAGCUAACUUUUCAAUAUCGAAAAUUUUUAGUUUGAUAUGAUUUUAUUACGUUAUAGUAGAAUUGAAUAACAUAGGUUGUUUGUUUGAGAAAAUAUACAAAAUAUUUUUAAGGUAAAAAAAAAUAUUCUUUAUACAAAAUUUUUAUGGAUAGUUCCAUCUAAUAUUUGUUUAUAUAAUUUAUUCAUUUUUUGACUAUAUAGAUAAAAAGGAAGGGAUAUCGAAGGCGAAAGAGAAGAUAUUCAUGGCCGGAACAAAAAUACAAAUGCAAAUUGACAUUCAAGGUUAGAUAUCCAACUCAAAUUAUUUUUCUUCAAAUUAUAAUAUCAUAUUUCAUGCUGACUAUUUGGUAUUUUAAAUUAUUAAACAUAUUUUUGCAUCAAAUUGUUGAUAAUAUUUUAUAAAAAUUUAACUAUUGAUCAUAUCAUAUGAUGUCGAGAAUUUUAAACAGCUCGUUUAAGACUCGAGCUCGCUCGACUCGAAAUUAGGCUCGCUCAAAAUAUGCUAAUUAUUUGAUAUUUUAAAUUAUUAAACAUAUUUUUGCAUCAAAUUAUUGAUAAUAUUUUAUAAAAAUUUAACUAUUGAUCAUAUGAUGUCGAGAAUUUUAAACAGCUCGUUUAAGACUCAAGCUCGCUCGACUCGAAAUUAGGCUCGCUCAAAAUAUGCUAACUAUUUGGUAUUUUAAAUUAUUAAAAAUAUUUUUGUAUCAAAUUAUUAAUAAUAUUUUAUAAAAAUUUAACUAUUGAUCAUAUGAUGUCGAGAAUUUCAAACGGCUCGUUUAAGGCUCGAUGUCACGGCCUUAGCGUUUCUGUUCGCAAAGNGAUUAAGAACAUAAGUAGUGUUAAAGUAACCUACUUGCAUGAUUCCAGAUAUUGCAUAUUGCAUUUCGUGAGGCAGGACAUGUAUUUCAAUUGAAUAUAUAUCUGUUGUAUAUUGUUGAUCUAACAUGUUGCAGUGCCUCGUUAGACCUGUUGGCUGAGCUUGUUCUCUUGGGUGGCUAAACCCACUGAGGACUAUGGACAAUAGUCUCACCCCCGUGUUGCUGUUUUGGGGGUACAGGUACACACGUGUGCGGCGCGGCGGCGCAAGGCGAGGACGUAGUUCUGCAGAUAGCGUCCUACCCAGAGACUGAGAUAGCAGUACCCGAGUUGGUGGUCUAGCUUGGGAGGUUUAAAGACAAGAACAAACUUUUGUUUAAGUUGUAAAAGAAUCUGUAAUAAUUAUGAUUGUAUUUGGAGGUUGAUUGUAAAAGAAAAAUUAUGUUGUAAAAUGCAUCUAAGUUGAAUGCUGUAAUAACUUAGUAGUUUAUGUUUUUGAUAUUCCUUAUGCAAUCUAUGGUUGAAUAUCUGUUCCUAUUUGGAACCUCUCGUAUUGUUUUGAUUGCGACGCCUUGAACGUACAGGGGAGACUCUGUCCGUUCGGCGGUCUGUCGGCGGCGCCGCGACCCGGCCAAAUAGGCGAGUGGUCGCGGGUCGUGACAGUGUGUCCGCCUUCUCUCAACUAGCCUCGCCGAAUGGGAGAUUCUUCCACUUCACCAAGUACUUAGGAUUCGGCACGACCCCACGUCGCCGAAUGAGUCGAGUGUCCAGGAUGGACUCCGCUUCUUUGUCGAACGAAGUCGCUAUGGUUGGAGGCGCUCGCUGCGACACUCAUCGGCUCGGAUCCUCCGCGUCUUCGUUGUACAGCUUCAACCUGCUGACAUGAAAAACAGGGUGGAUCCUGAGGUUUGCGGGCAGCUGCAGCUUGUAGGCCCCCUUGCUCACACGCUUGACGACGGUAUAUGGGCCUUCGUACUUGCGCAGCAGUCCCUUGUGCACCUUCCGCAAGGCUUUGAACUGCUGCGGAUGAAGCUUGACCAUCACGCGGUCGCCCUCGGCAAACUCCCGAGGCUGUCGCUUUUCGUCAGCCCACUUCUUCAUCCGUCGUGCUGCUUUCUCCAAGUUCGCCCUUGCGAUUUCACCCUUUUCCUGCAAGUUAGUAGUAAACUGAAGAGCAACUGGGCUGCGGAACUGCUCUCCCGCAGCAGCCGUGUGAGGGGCAAGUGGUUGUCGCCCGAUCGCCAACUCGAAAGGGCUGCAGCCUGUAGACUCGCUGCGCCGCAAGUUGUAAGCAAACUGGGCUACAUCGAGAUGAUGCACCCAAUCCUUCUGAUUGGCACUCACAUAGUGCCGCGAAUACUCCUCCAACAGAGCGUUCACCCGCUCAGUUUGCCCGUCGGUCUGUGGAUGCCAACUGGUGGAGAAGAGCAACUCCGACCCCAAGAUUUUGAACACCUCGGUCCAAAACUUGCCAGUGAACCUGGGGUCGCGGUCGCUCACGAUGCUCGUGGGGAUCCCCCAAAGCUUGACGAUGUGGCUGACGAAGAGGCGUGCCGCUUCUUCAGCCGUGCAAUCGGCCGGCGCAGCAAUGAAGGUCCCGUACUUGGAAAAACGAUCAACCACCACCAGAAUGGACCCAAGCACCCCCACCUUUGGCAAGGCGGAGAUGAAGUCCAUAGAAAUGCUCUCCCACGGACCGCUAGGCACAGGUAAAGGCUCGAGGAGUCCGCCAGGUCGCUGGUACUCAACUUUGUCUUGUUGACACACCAAGCAGGUUCGCACGUAGGCCUCUCCACGUCUUCGUGCAUCCGCGGCCAAAAGUAGACGGCCUCGAGCAACGCCAGGGUUCGCUUCUGACCUGGGUGGCCCGCCCUCUUGGAGUCAUGGCACUCCUUGAUGAGCUCGCGGCGAAGGUUGCCCCACUUGGGCACGUACACCCGUCGUUCAGCCAAAACCUUCGCGUUUUGCCCUCCUUGACAAGCUGUACUAGAUUUUGAGCGAUAGGGUCCUCGUUGGUUCCUGAACGAAGUCGAUAGCGGAGCGUUCCUUGAAGUUGCCACACGGCUGCAAGCUUAGCCUUGCGGCUGAGAGCAUCAGCCACGCGGUUUUCCUUCCCGGGCUUGUAUUGCAUCUCCAUGUCGAACUCCGCCAAGAAGUCCUGCCACCUUGCCUACUUAGGCGACAGCUUCUUUUGCGAUUGGAAGUAGCUCGUGGCGACGUUGUCGGUGCGCACCACAAACUUGCUCCCGAGCAAAUAGUGCCGCUAGGUUCGCAAGCAAUGCACCACAGCGGUCUUUUCCUUCUCCUGGACGGUGUAACGCCGCUCGGUGUCGUUGAGCUUGCGGCUCUCAUAGGCGAUGGGGUGCCCAUCCUGUACGAGGACACCGCCAAUGGCAAAGUCAGAGGCAUCAGUAUGUACCUCAAAGGUGCAACUGCAGUCGGGUAGUCGCAGCACUGGAUCCUCCGUCACCGCUCGCUUUAGGUCCUCGAAUGCCUCCGCGCAUUGAGAGGUCCAAACCCACGAGUGGUUUUUCCUCAGCAGAUCCGUCAACGAGGCUGCUCUCACAGAGUAGCCAGCAAUGAAUCGACGGUAGUAGUUGACGAGCCCAAGGAAAGACCGCAACUCGGACACCGUCGUUGGGGUCUCCCAUUCGCAGAUGGCUCGCACCUUCCGCUGGUCCAUGCGAAUCAAGCCCUGGCCUAUCCAGUGGCCAAGGAAGUGCACCUCUUCUUUCGCGAAUAUGCACUUCUCCUUUUUGACGAACAGCUGGUUAUCCCGCAGCACUUGGAAGACGGUUCGCAAGUGCUCGAUGUGCUCCUCCAAGGUGUUGCUGUAUACCACGAUGUCGUCGAGGUACACCAUCACAAAGCGAUCGAGAUAGGGAUGGAACAGCUUGUUCAUAAGUGUGCAGAAGGUCGCUGGCGCGUUCAUCAAGCCGAACGGCAUGACAAGGAACUCAUAGGCCCCGUACCUCGUCACGCACGUGGUCUUCUCCUCGUCUCCUUCCGCAAUCCGCACUUGAUAAUACCCAGAGCGAAGGUCGAGUUUGGUGAAGUACUUUGCUCCGCCCAAUUGGUCGAAGAGAUCUGCAACCAAAGGAAUAGGGUAUUUGUUUUUGACUGUUACCUUGUUGAGCGCUCUGUAAUCGAUACAAAGCCGCAGGCUUCCGUCGCUUUUGCACUGGAACAAAACUGGUGCUCCAUAAGGUGCCUUCGACGGUCGGAUGAAGCCCGCAUCGAGGAGCUCCUUCAACUGCUUUUGUAGCUCCUCGAGCUCUGGCGGGGCCAUUCUAUAUGGCGCUUUCGCUGGCGGUUUGGCUCCUGGCUCGAGCUCAAUAGCAUGAUCCACCUCCCGCCUAGGUGGAAGUUGCUUCGGCAACUCCUUUGGCAUGACAUCCUGGAAAUCUGCCAAGACCGCCCCAAUCUCCACAGAAAGGCCCUCCUCGUCGAGGCCCUCGUCGCUCACCUCGCGGAUGGCCGCAAGGUAAGUCAUCUCGCCACGGUUCACACCCCUUCGCAACUGCAACGCCGAGAGGGUUGGUGGGUGCUUACCGGUUUUCUCCUGACUCGCACUGUAGGAUCAUAGCAUGGGGCGCCAUCGUCAUGAUGCUUUAAGGCCCCAAGGAUGUGCAUCGGGACGCUUCGCACGGAAAGCCACAGAAGAGUCUCACUUGCCUAGUAUACUUGGAGUCGUACGAUGGAUGCGGCGGUGAGUUUGCGGUUGCCUCUCCAAGGUCCCACCGCAUGGCCACGCCCUGGCCACGCCACCAGGCAACAGGUUGCGCUUCAGAGUUGACGGCCUUGAUCCUGCUAGCAUCCUUCUCAAGAGAGAAGGUGUAAGAUACCAGACUUCUAAAAAACUAUAAAGUUUACGGCUAUACAUUUAAAUGGUUCCGGUGAAGUUGCGGUGUGGAAUGUACAUCUACCGGAUUUUAAAUGUAAAAGUGAAAAUAAAUAAAAUAGUAUGAGAUACUAUUUUUAUUGAUUUAGAAAAGUGAAUGUAGGUUGGGAAUGACUGUGCUGAAAUCGGAGCGAAAACAGAGAAUUUAAAAAUUUGUCUGUGUGAAACGGAGGCAUGAAAAAUUAGCAGAAAUGCAGUGUCAGAAAAUUCCGAAAACUGAGAGGAUAGCCAGAAUUAUUUUUAUGAGGCUAGAUUUAAAGUUUCACAUCAUUCUGACACCGGUCAAGGUGGAAAAUAAAAUCCGAUAGUGAUCUGAUAAAGAUUACAGUUCGGUACAGCUUUCAGUGACCAAAUGGGGUCGAAACUGAAAGAUUAAAAUUUCUUUCGUUAAGUUAAGCAAAACCGAACAUGACUAUCAAAUUUGAGCUCAAACGGAUAUUCAGAGGGCUCCGGCGAAAUAUAUCAGAUUUCGAAUUGCCUGAAGUGAAUAGUAUAUGCUACUAUUGGAGUGUUGACUAUAAGUAGAAGCUACUAGGCUUCUUCCUCUUCACAACCGACCACCACCCCACACAAGCACACGUUCAUGGUGUAGUGAGAGAAACCCUCCCUUUUCUCUCUCUAAAUAUCUCUCUCAUCUCUCUAUAUUUCUCGCCCAAAUUCGCGGCGUUGGCGGAGAACGAGCUUGCGAACGCGUUGCGAGCGACGGAUUGAGCUUUCGUGCACCCGUUGGAGCGGCGUGCUUCCGUCUCGGCGUUCACAUUUUGGUAAACUUUUGGGAUUUGGCUGAAUCCUUAACCUUAAGUAUUCUAGUAGUCUCUAAUGAGCAUUCUUAGCAUGUUGCUCUAUUUAAUUUGGAUUAUUUGGAAGUAAUUGCAUGUUAGGGCUCAAAAAUGAGAUUUUGCAAUAUGUGAGGGUUUGAUCUAAAUUGAUCAUGUAUAAACCUAAUUGCUAGGUUUUCUGGCGCGUUGGCGAAGUCGGUUCGGCGAUACGACGAGCGUACGCGAAGAUAUUAAAGAACGAAGCCGUUAAGGUACAGAUUGCCGCAGCUCGCGGCGAAAACUUCCAAAAAUCACGAAAUCGGAACCCUAGCCUCGUGAUAGCGAUAAAAGGUGGGGGGUGUCCAUCCCGAAGCAACCGGGCUUCCUUUUAUGUCUAAGUUAAAUGUAUUGAUCAUAUAUCAACAUUAUGCAUUAUAGGAUGUGUAGAUAGUCGCAUUUCCAUUCUUGCAUGCUUCUUAGUAGUGUAGCAUUGUGAGCUUGACACAUGGACUAGGGGUGCAUGAGGAUUGGGUCUUGUGACAUGGAAUCCUAUAGUGGCAUAAAGAUAAACUUGGAUAUGUAAAUGGCCUAGAAGAGUGACAUUUGGACUAGUGUUAGUACUAUGCAUGAUAGGAUAUUGGAUAGUCGCAUUUCCAUUCUUGCAUGAUCCUGAGUAGUAUAGCGACAUGAGUUUGGCACUUAAGUUAGGAUGCAUGAGAAUAGAGGAGUUGUGACAUAGAACCCUACAGUGGUAAAGUUAAAUGAUGAACUUAAUCUUGUAUUGACAAAGAUUAGAGAACGAGUGGCAUCUAGACAAUGUUGACAACUUGACGAGUGGCAUGACAAGUACUGUAUAGAUGAAAAUACUUGUUGCAUGUUGAACAUAUAGAUGAAAUAGUUCCUAAGUGGAUGUUGACCCUAGUAGCAGGGUAUCCUCUGUGACGAGGAUUUGAUCAUACUCACAUGUCUGUUCAAAGCUUGUAGGUGGUCGCUCCACACAAGCAGUGCACUCCGGAGUUGUCACACGAUAGGGAUAGCCUUAUGGGGUCUCGAGGGAUAGCCUUAUGGGGUCCCGCAGACGGUCUUGGGCGAGUGAGCGGAUCCUCCCCAAGUGAGUCGGGUGAGUGAGCUAAUCCUCACCUGUGAGAUUGAGGUUGGGUUGUGGUAGCUGUGUUGAGUCGGGCGAGUGAGCAGAUCCUCCCCGUUGUGAUUAGAUCGUGAGUCGGGCGAGUGAGCGGAUCCUCCCCCUUGAGACUAGAUUGUGAGUUGGGUGAGUGAGCGGAUCCUCACCCUUGUUAUUGAGUAGAUUGCAUACUAUGUAGUAGUUCUAUGCAUUCUUUACUGUUGAGGCAUAGUAGCAUGUGUAGAUUGCAUACUAUGUAGUUGUUCAUACAUUGGAUUAUUGAGGCAUAGAUCAUAUACUAUGUUGUAGCUCAUUCCAUUGGUUAUUGAAGGCAUAGUAGAAUGUUGCAUAUUACUUUACUAUGUUGCACUUCAAUUUCACAUCUAUCUAUCUAUCUAUCUAUCUAUCUGCAUGUGCCUACUUGGACCUAGUGGGAAGAUCGGCGGAGUCGGCGGCCGAACCCACUGGAAACUAUGUUUAUAUAGUUCUCACCCCACUUUGUUGCAGGGCCUAGCGAGAGAGCACCGGCAGAGGACCGUGAUAAGGGCAUCGCGCCCUAGGUAUAGUUAGCAGCUUCCACUUGCAUUAGUGUACCUUCGUGUACCCCGUGACAUAUGAUGUAUUGUGGGAGGUUGCUUGUGUAUUUUGGAGAUUAUCAUGCAUAUUCAUUUUGGAGAUGUAAAUGUAAUCAAGGAUCUAAAUGUUGAAUGCCUUGUGGAUGUAAUAGCUAGAUGUUACUCUCUUUAUAUCACUCGUUUUAUUACUUGUGUCUUGCUCUUAAGUGUAUAGCACAUGUGGUGCUUCGUAUUGUUCAUGUAUGUUGUAUGUCAUCCUGGGCGACAAAAAUGUACAUGAUCUUGUUGUUGACCCUAGGGCGGACAGGGGAGGUGCUGUCCGUUCGGCGUUUGUUCGACGCGCCCGAACCGGAACAAAUUGGUAGCGGUCUCGGGGCGUGACAUAUACCCUGGAGCGAUGUGGGUGAGCGUACAGAGUUCGGCCCCGAUGUUUUGCGAGAAGCGGAGGAGAAAGUCCGCCUUGCUCGCAAGAGAUUGCUCACGGCGUAGUCGAGACAGCAAAGCUAUGCGGAUAGGCGCCGACGAGAUAUAGAGUUCGCGGUGGGCGACCGCGUAUUCUUGAAAGUUUCACCGAUGCGGGGUGUGAAGCGGUUUGGAGUGCGGGGAAAGUUGAGCCCCCGAUAUAUUGGGCCAUAUGAAAUAUUAGAGCGAGUCGGCACGAUGGCCUACCGACUUGCUUUGCCGCCGAAGCUUGCAGAUGUACACAAUGUGUUCCAUAUCUCCAAUCUCUGCAAGUAUAUUCACGACCCCGAGCAUGCAAUGCUAUGUGAGCCACCGGAGCUUCAAGGAGACUUGAGCUAUGAAGAGUUUCCGGUAGAAAUUAUCGCCCGAGAGGUGCGAAAGUUAAGGAAUCGAGAAAUCCCCUGUAACAUGCCGAACUUCUAUAAUUAUGAAGUUUUUAUGGUGUAUGUUAGCUUGGAAAGCUGUUAGAAUGGUUACGGUGAAGUUCGGAAGCAUUCGGUUGCUUCAAUGCGCGUAGGGCGCAAAAACGGGGCCCGAAAGGCUAUGAUGGACCAUGGACUAAAUCUAACAAGGGCAUGGAUGAAAAGAUGGUUUAAACAUGUUCGAAAACAUGUUUGGAGAGUCUCGAAUCGAUUUGAAACGAAUCGGAGGUCAUACGAGCGAAAACGAGCGAAAACGGACCCAAAGGCUGAAAAUGCUGAAAAUGCUGAAAAUUUGGCUAAGUCUGGAAUGCUGAUUUUCUGGCCUUUCGGGGACCGGUCUCUCACUGCCUGGGACCGGUGCCAGCACCCGAAAAUGCCCAGUUUGGGCUGGGGCAAUGUGUUAAACAUAGAGGGAUGUGGGGGGUUAAGUGCAAAUGUGUAUAUAUGAGUUUAUAUGUUGGAGAGAUGAGGUUUAGCCCUCAUUUCUCACCCUCCAACCCAACAUUGUUAAGGAUUUUAUAAGUUGGCGAAUUUCGUGAAGUAUUGGACGGAGUCUCGAAGAAUUAGAAGAUGAAGAUUGAAGAAAGAAUUGAAGUUUUGUGAUAAAAAACCCUUGGGAUCUCAAGUAUGAUUAUAAAUAAUUUGUGGUGAAGUUUUUAAAAGAUGUUUAGAAGACUUGAUUUAUAUUUGGAUUGUUCAAACUUAUGUUUUCUAAAAAACUCAGGGGUCGGGGACCGGUCCUUGAUCAGAAGGACCGGACCCAUCAAGCUUCUCUGCGUAGAAGGUUUGGGAGACCAGUCUCUGAUCUUGAGGACCGGUUCCCGUACGUGGUUUUCCUUGUUGCGCAGUGUAAUAUAUCGAAAAUUCGGAAAAUAAAUAUCGAACUUUAGUCAAAUUGACCAAAGUACGAGGACGGUACACUUCGAAAAGUCCGAAGGUGCUAAAAUGAUCGAAAGUGAGUUGUGGAAGGUUUUCGAGAGCUAAAGAAUCAAAUUCUGCAAGACUGCAGAUUUUCAGCUCUCGGGGACCGGUCCCUAAAGGGAGAGACCGGUCCCCGAACACGUAUGAAAUGAGACAGCCGAAAAAUCGGCUAAGUCCUGGAAGGAUAGCUCUCGGGAACCGGUCUCUGCCUGAGAGACCGGUCCCCCAGAGACCGGUCCCAUAAGGAGAGACCGGUUGCACNCCUACGACUAAGUAUGCAAAGGGAAUGACAAAAAGAGAGAGGCAGAAGUUCACUCAAAAAACUAAGUACUACACUACUUAGAAAAGAGAUUACAACCCACACAUACACACACUCUCUCUUGUGUGUUAUGGCCUUAGCCAACCCCACUAUUUAUAGGCCCAAAGAUGCCUUUUCAACUCACCCACUACCACAUAAGUCACUCAUUAUUACAUACAUAAUGAGCCUACAUAAUGAGCCCUCAUAAAUGCCAAAAGCUCAAGAGUCACCCAUAACUCCCAUAAAUUUCAUGACCCUUGAGUUUCCCACAGCGGGUUGGAUUUGGAUCUACUUGCCAACCCGAUUCGACCUGUCUUCAACCCGAACUCGCUAAGCAGAUUUGGGCCAGGGACCGGGCUGCAUAGAAAUUUUUCUAAGUCCCUGACAUCGAGCUCGCUUGACUCGAAAUUAGGCUCGUCGAGCUCGGCUCGAAUUAAUUUCAAGCCUAGCUUGAGUCUAAAUUUAGACUCUGAAAUUAAUUUCCAGCCACAUAUGAGCUGAGGUAAGCUCGCUCGAGCUUGGCUCGUUUCCACCCCAACCUAAACGUGAGCUUGUAGCAUGAUCCUGCAUUAAGAUGCACAAAGUAUAAACAAAGACGCAACCUUACAAGGAAACCACCAUCUUUUACAUAUUCAUACCAGCUGAGUUUUACAAUUGGAGUACAAAAGGAGAACACAGAUGUAGACCUACGUGCCAUAAACAAUUAAAAAAAUGUGCUAACAUCAAUGAUAAAACAAGAAAUAAGCGGUGCAACUGGAAAUAACAGGCAAAACAUGAAAGUCUCAAUCAGAAUUCAUAUACAUCGGUAGGAUGAAUCAACCACGCAUGUAGUUCAAAUCGUACAAUUCAUCACAGACAAACAAGAACUUGGAUCACAUCAAUCAGAAAAACCAGUAUCUUACACACGAAAAAAGGCAAUUUCUACACGAAACAUCAGUGUCGAGGUCAGAUAGUGAAUGAUGAAGACGAGAUAUAAAAUUGAAUAAUGCUGAACGAUUGCUGCUGUACACAAUGAGAAAGCAUUAGAUUCUACUUUACAGAUGAUUUUUCCUCCGAUUUUCUUUUUUUUUUUCCUGGAACCGUAGAUGCACUUCAAUUUCCAGAUGGUUCAAAGGAUGUUGAAUUUGGCUACAAAAUCUACCAGACUAAGCAGACGAAUAAACAGAAAAGAACUAAAGCAAGCUCCGGUGGAUCCAAACCCUUUCAGAUCUCUCCCCUUGAGCUGAUGAUGCCAAUUUAAGUAAAUCGGAGAGGCUUCAAGCAUUUCCGGCUUUCGGCAACUGGUUAAUGAAAAAGCCAUGAUAAGAAAUUAGCAUCUAUAACUGAUGAGUGAACAAGAACGAACCUUUAGCAUUGCCGCCAAUGGAUUUCGACAAGAAAAAUAGGUAAAUUGCACCAGUAUCAUCAAUCCUAGAACAAUUAUUUUGUUCCCCAACCUUCAUAUUGUAACUAUUGGGAAAUUUGCAUUUCAUUGAAAUGUCACCACAUUCAACACUUGACUUGUCAUUUGUGUUUUCAGGCUGCUCUUUCGUGGAUGGUGCUUACUUAUAUGGUGCUUAUGCAGACAUUUCAGGCAAAUUAACAGAGGAAUUAAUGGCCAGGCCAUGAUUCCAAUGGAAUGCAAAGAAAGGUUAGGGCCAAUUUAUGAUAAACAAAAGAUUGGAAUCCAAAAUGAAACCUCAUGAAAAGAUUGGGUGCCGUGGAGCGACAGGAAAAGAAAUCAAACAAGGUGCUAGCAUAGAUGGAAGAAAUUCUAACCUUCUUAGGUACUGGUCUCAUGGUACUUGCCCCGCCUGCCUUAGAUUUAUUGUACUCGAGGGGUUUCAAUAUCUCGAAUGAGCACAAGAGAGAUUCAUCUAUGCUCAACAAAGCACCCGCAUUGUCGAAUUCGCCACAAUAGUUCGGGGCUGAGAAUAUUGUAACUAAUCUCCUUUGUGCAAAGAACUCAUAUCCGUCUUCCACUACCUGAAAGGCUAAAUGUGAGGAACACUUAGUGGUCUUUGAAAAAGUACAGAAAAAAAGGGUUAAAUCACUAAAGAAAACCAUGGACUGUUUCCUAAUAGUUGUUGAUCCCCUAACUUAGGUGCAAAAAGGCCACUACAGUUGUUCUGUGCAAUCUGACCCACUUAGUUUGAUUUGGUGUAAGAGCCUAUCUAAUCUUAGAAAGUUUAAUUUGAUGAACAAAGAAACUCAAAAUUAGUCCACAAAGCUCGAAACAUUGAACAGUUGGUCAGCUUUACGAUACCAAAUUAAACCGUGUGAGCCAACUUGCAAAGAGAAAGGUUGGUGGGUCAUUUUUGCACCAAAUUAAAGUUACGAUCAAACAGCAAUUAGGAAAAAGUUGCUCCAUUUUAUGAUUUCAAAUAUAUAAAAGAAAGGAGAAAAGGGUAAGUUAUCACUAACUUGAUGAGCUCGGCAUAUAAGAUCAAGUUCAUUCUUCUCCAAGAACUCUACAAGCUUAUCGGCACCAAAAGUACAGGAAACUCCUCUAUCACUCGUACCCCAACCUUGAACGUCAGAAUCAGGAUCAGACCAAAGCAAAUCGCAAAGAAGGCCAUAAUCGGGAAUCUCAGUAGGCCUGGUUAUUUCCCUUAAUUGAUCUAAACUAUUCAAUUCUGGCGAAAGGCCACCAUGCAUACACAGUAUCUUUUGAUCAAUUAUUGCUGCAAUAGGCAAGCAAUUGAAGCAAUCACAGAAUAUCUUCCAUAGCCUAACAUUGAACCUUCGUUUGCAUUCAUCGUAAAAACCAUAGACUCUGUUGAUUUUUGCAUCUUCAUGGUUUCCUCUGAGGAGAAAGAUUUUGUCAGGGUACUUGAUUUUGUAUGCCAGAAGUAAACAUAUUGUCUCCAAGCUUUGUUUGCCUCUAUCCACAUAGUCUCCAAGAAAUAUAUAAGUUGAAGUAGGAGGGAAGCCGCCACACUCAAACAACCUCAGAAGGUCUGCGAACUGACCGUGUAUAUCACCUGCAGUUCAUACAACAUGUUAGACUAACAGAUGUUUCUCGCUGAUAAUCAAACAGUAAUAUGCAAGAUUAGCUUCCUUAAAUUAAUAGUAUGCUUCUUACUGCUCUUAAAUGAUUAAGCUGAAAUUGCUGUAAUUAUUUGAACCAAAUUUUUUUAACCGCCAUCGUUAAUUCAAUACGACAGAGAUGAUAAACCAAAAAAUUUUGACCAAAAAACAUGCAUAUGGUGCAAAGAAUCCUAAUUAAUAUAACUCAUGAGAAGGGCAAAGAAUCUGGCACAUCAAAUGAUUAUUCGAUGCUUUACAAUAUUAAAAUGUGUAGUGCAAGACUUUCUGUAACCAGAAUUAAGACGAAUAUGAUAGCUAGAUAAGAAAAACUCUAACAAGAAGAAUGUGCAUAAUUAACCCCACCAACAAGAAUUGCAUUGCCAAGUGUAACAUCUUAAUUGCAAAGCAUUCAUACUUAAAAAAAAAAAAAAAAAAAAAAAAAAAAAAAAAAAAAAANGAAGCUGUAGGAAAUCAACCCAUGAAAAGCUCACUGAAAUCUUUCUUCCAAUCAUAUGGAAGCACCAACCACAAUGAGAUAUAAAGUGCAUAAAACGAAAACAGAAUUGAACACAACAAUUAAAAAUAUCUGCCUUAACAGAAUUCUCAAGACUGCUGCUUGUCAGUAUAAUCUAGAAUUUACGGAAUCUUGCUUCCCAAAAUGUCUGCUUCGACUUUGUGCUCGUUAAUGCGAAAGCACUGUGCUCAAGCUACAUCUCAAAUAAGGGCACUGCAUCUUGGCUAAAAUAUUAUUAUAAAAUCUAAAUUCUCAAGACGGUAUAGUGAACCAACCGAUCACCAUAGCAGAUUUUCCAAAAUUAGAAGAUUGCCAGCCUGGUGUAUAUUAUGCUUCUAAGACUUGAUAUGCUGUAUAUGUCCAUCAAUAUAUCUCAUCAACAAAAAUUCCAUAUAUGCACCGUGUUCAAUGCUCAGCCGUAGAAGUUUUCAUGGGAUAUAACACUAAUGUUUCCAAUAAACUACAAUCCGUGCCAAAAAGAACAAGAAAGAAAAAGAUAUCCAGUUCUCUCAUGUUUUGCCAUAAUACCAAUGCUUUCUAAUCUGGCAUAGUGUCUUAAUACCUCACUAGCAUUUGGCUUGGCUUGGCAUAUAAGAUUUUCUCAUCAUAACCUUCCUUCAAAAAUGUAGACAAAAUAGAACUAAUCAUCACACUAUCAGCAUAGAUUUGACGUGUCAGAUAUGCUGACUCAGAGAAUUGUUGAAGACACUAUAUUUCACCACUCUAAAAUUCUCAGGAAAGACUAAAACCUACAUGAUUAAAUUAUCACAACUCUAUAAUUCUCAAGAAAGGAAAACAACUGAGGAAACAAAAAGUACGAAGAUGGCAUAUCAAAAUGAUGUCAGUUAAAGGGGAUGAGAGGAUCAUGCUUUCUGCAGGAAAGUUUAAGACGCUAAAAUCACUAGGUAGAUGUAAAUUCCGAGCAAGAGGUUGUAUUCAAAAGAGAAAGUAAAGUCUGCUAAAAUUUAGCUGCUUUGAUGGCCUUGUAGCAUAUAAGCCAGCUCAACUACAUAUAGGGCCAGCCGCCACUAGGACCAAGCCAGAAAGACCCGACCCAUCCAACCCACCUGUUUUUGGAUGGCUCAGGUUGAGCCUGACCUGAUUCACAAGGCUGGGCCAGGUCUCAAAAGAAAAGGCCCAAGAAAAUUCUGGGCAGGCUUGGGUUUGCACAGAUGACUCUUAUUUGAACAUACUUGAACCAUUCCUAGUCUAAAAGCAACCUAUUUGCUAACAACCUCUUUCUUAAGCAGUCUGCCAUUUUGGACCAGGCUCAAUCUUAAAACAUAUCUAGAUAAAUGCCGGGCAAGGGUAAGGCUCGGUCAAGGCAUUGCGACUUCCUAUUUACCCGAAAUCUGGAAGUGGGCAAGGAUUUGCACAAGUUCAGUUCUCGAAGCUAAAAAGGGCAACAUUAAGCCAAAUUCUUCAGGAACCUAGAUAUGAAAAUCCUGCCUAUACAAUAUCAUGUCAUUAGAGGCAAAUUUUAUGGCAUCAUGAAAACAUCCACAAUAACAAACAACAGUAAACCUCACAUGUUUAUAUGCUUGUUGAUCCAUCAGAAAUAUAAAUCCUUCAUAUUACUAGCUCAACAGAAACAAAUAAGCUAACCACAAUUGCUCCAUUCCUUCAUAUUUCUCCACUCUUAUAUAUAUAUAUAUAUAUAUAUAUAUAGAGAGAGAGAGAGAGAGAGAGAGAGAGCUGGUAUGCUUCUGGAAGCUUCCGUGCUUCCAAGUCGUUUUCGAUGUUGGGACUUUCGAAUCGACGAUCGGCUCCGUUAAACUUGAACUAGAGUAUUUGAAGUACCUAGAAAAUAAAUUUUGUGAUUUUUCCAUAUCAUUUGUCUAGUGAUCGACGGGGCUCAAAAUCAAUAAUUUUAACGGCCGUGGUGAGCCGUUUGUUGUAAGUUUAACGGUGUAGAAAUAUCCAAAUCACGAGAAAUUUUAAUAGAAAAUUUUUUAUACUAUAUAAAACAAGAUCAAUAUUUUUUAUCUAAAAUUUUAAUGUCAUAUCAUCAUAUUUUGUAAGAUUUUUAUUUUCAGCCGUUGAUUUUGAGCCACUUCGAUCACUAGGCAAAUGAUAUCAAAAAAUCGCAAAAUAUUUUCUAGAUACUUAAAAUACUCUAGAUCAAGUCUAACGGAGCUUAUUGUUGAUUCGAAAAUCCCAACAUCGAAAACGACUUGAAGCACGGAGCGCUCCGUGCUUCCAGAAGCAUACCAGAUUCACUAUAUAUAUAUAUAUAUAUAUAUAUAUAUAAAAGUCAGGAACUUAAAUAGGAAAUAAGGUCCUAUUUCAGUAUAAAAGGCAAUUUAUAUACAUAUAAACUAUACACAAAACUUAAGAACCCUCAUUAGGCUGCAAUCGAGGAUAUAACCCUCAGAUCGAAAGUAAGACUAGGAACUUCAACAGAUAACAGACUACUUAGUUAAAGAUCAUCCAUAGAGAAACUGUUAUUGUCAUCAAGCUUAAUAAUAUUAGAAAUGGUAAUUUCUUCACAAACAGUGUCCACAUUUACGUCCUACAAUUACGCACUAUAACUUCAAAACCCAUUCACAAUUAAUUACCUCCCCCAUAUUAUACACAUAUUUAUGCAGCACACCAAAUUUUCAAUCGAAAGUGAAUAUCAACAAGGCUACCAUGCUACCUCCACCGUGAACCAUCCCCAUUCGACGCAUAAGAUUCGUGAAAAGAGUACCAUAAAAACAGCAGAUAGGCACAUUUAUGAACGAGUCAAGAAAUAUAUAUAAAUCCUGAAUCAUUUAAUACCGAUCCUAGGCCAUUUCUCCCCAAUCUAACCAUCCUCCGCACCAAAUUAUACCCAUUCUAAAAUCAACAACACUAAUAUCCACACAAUUAUACACUACAAAUCGAUUCCCCGCCGUAAAUCUCCCCAGCAAUGAAGCGGAUCGCGUCCAAACGCGCAAAAAAAAAUAAAAAAUAGCGAUUAAACAGGGGAAAAAAGAUUAGACCGCAGAUCUUAACGGGGGCGGCGAUUUCGACGAGAGAGGGCUCGUCAAGUAAGACGCGCUUCGCCUCGACGCAGAGUUGGCGGAUCUCCGCCUCCGACAGCUGCACCUGCCGCCCCCCGCCGCCGCGCCCGCCGUCGAGGAGCCGCCGCAGCACGUCGUCGAGCACCGCCCCGUCCAUCGCCCCCAUCGAGCUCUUCGUCAUCAUCAUCUUCGCUCGCUCGAUCCCUAACCCUAACCCUAACCCUAACCCUUCGAUUCCCCCCUCCCUCUCCCUCUCUCUCUCUAUCUCUAUCGCUUUUUCUCUCUCUAUGUUUCGAGGAGGAGAGGAGAGAGAAAAGGGGUGAGGAGAUGACGUAAUAUACAAGCUACAACCAAAAAAAAAAAAAAAAAAUUAUUAGCGAAACGCAGGAAAUAUUCAAAAGCGCGUGGACGCGACGGAGCCGUUGAUGGGAGAUGCCGGGGAAUAUAGGCCGUUGGGUUAAGCGCGUCGGUGGAAGAGCGAGGACGCUCCAACGCCCCACUCGUAACGGAAUUAUUACACGGACCCGGUCCACAGUGCACCGUACACCACACCUAUUAUUAUUUUAGAGAUUAGGGGAAAAAAAGGGUGAAUUGCACUAAUAAAGGGAGCAUUUAAAAUGAUGAAGUCACCAGUCAACCGUAAAUUAAGUUGGCCAAUUUGCAUAAAAAAUUCACAAGUUUUAAACUUUAUUAAAAUUAAGCUAUUUUUUUCGAUUUUUUAAAUUCAGUCCGAAUUUUUAGUAAACUGAUCAAAAUAUCCUUAUGCUAUUUUCUCUCUCCUUUUUUAAAUUAAGCCAUUUAUUUCUAGCGUUUUUUUUUUUUUCUCUCGCAAACGAAGGCGACGAAGGCGAAGGCGAAAACGACCCCCAUCGUCUCUGCACCUCACGCACUCACCGUCGCCCACGCACCCCUCCCCCUACUCAUCUCCGACCACGCCGAGGCCGCGCUGCGACUCUUUUUUCUUUUUUUUUUUCUCUCUUUGACCCUCCUCCACUGCCUUCGCGGCCCUUCGCGACGAUAACGAGAAUGGUAACACGUCCUCUUCCUCCAUUUUCGCCCUCCACCUCCAUUGCAGCGGAUUUUGCACCCACCAAACCCACUUCUGAGAAUUCGUGUUCCCACCGCCGCCACCAACGAUAAAGAGAAAGCAUUCCUCAGCGUCGAGAAGCUCGCCAGCGAGGGAGGGGGUACGCGGCCCACCCGCCUACCCCAAAGAGCGGCAACGAGCGCGGCCUCGACGGUGUCGGAGGCGAGAAAGGCGAGAAAUGCACGAGAGCAUCUCUACAUUAGCAGUUUUGUUUGUUUAAAACAAAAAAAAAAAAACCCAAAAAUCCAAAACUAGAGAAUAAUAAAGAAAACCAGAGAAUAAGGAAGAAGAAGAUGAAUUUGCACGGUUAAGAUUAAAUUGCAUUGUUUUAAAAGAAUGUUACACUAUUAUGAACGUAAGUUGCACUUUUUUAAAUAUAAAUUGCACCCUUUAAGAUGAAAAUUAUACUCUUUAAAUAAAAGUUGCACUCUUUAAGAAAUAUGUAUACUAUUUCUGCUCUUGUUGCACUAUUUGAUGUGUAAAUUAUACUCUUUAAAAUAAAAGCUACACUCUUUAAACAAAAGUUGCACUCUUUAAGAGAUAUUUAUACUAUUUCUUCUGUUAAAUGAUACAGUUUACGCAUCAACAUAUCAAAUAAGAAAUAGUGCAACAAGAGGAGAAAUAGUGCAAAUAUCUCCUCUUAAAGAGUGCAACAAAGGGAGAAAUGGUAUAAAUAUCUCUCAAAGAGUGUAACUUUCAUUUUAAAUAUGCAGUUUGCAUCUCAAAGAGUGCAACAAGAGGAAAAACAGUAUAAAUAUCUAUCAAAGAGUGCAACUUUCGUUUAAAGAGUAUAACUUUCAUCUUAAAGGGUGCACUUUACAUUUAAAAUAAUGCAACUUACGUCCAUAAUAGUGCAACGUUCUUUUAAAACAGUACAAUUUAAUUUUAACGGUGCAAAUUCAUGUUUUUCUUCCUUCUUCUUUGAUUUUUUUUAUUAUUCUCUAAUUUUUGACUUUUUAGUUUUUUUUUAAUUUUAAACAAACAAAAGUGCUAAUCUAGAGAUGCUCCCGUGCAUUCCUUACCCUCCUCGCCUCCGACACCGUCGAGACCGCGCUCGCCGCUGCCCUCUGGGGUAGGCAGGUGGGACGCGUGCCCCCUCCCUCGCCGACGAGCUUCUUGGUGUUGAGAAGUGCUUUCUCUUUAUCGUCGACGGCGGUGGUGGGGAUGCGGAUUCCGAAAAGUGGGUUUGGUGGGUGCAAAAUCUGCUCUCACCGGAGUGUAACUUAUUUUCUCCCUCUCCCUCGCCGGCGUGCUUCUCGGCCCCGAGAAGCACUUCCUCUUCGUCGCCGGCAGCGGCAGUGAGAACGGUGGAUUUGUUUGGCGGGUAGAAAAUCCGCUGCAGAGUGGAUGUGGAGGGCAAAGGCGGAGAAAGAGGAAGCGUUACCAUCCUCGUUAUUGUCGCGGAGGGCCGCGGAGACUGUGAAGGAGGGUUGGAGAGGAAAAAAAAAAAAAAAGAACGCGAAAAAAAAGGAGAGAAAAAAAAAUAUAAGGGUAUUUUGAUCAAUUUACUAAAAAUUCAAACCAAAUUUGCAAAAUCGAAAAAGGCGGCCUAGUUUUGCAAAAGCUUAAAACUUGUAGAUUUUUUAUGCAAAUUGGCCAAUUAAGUUUAUUAAAAAUAAAAAUAUUAGUAGAUACAGAAGAGAUACUAUAGUUUUCAAAAUAAAUUUUAGUUGAAAUGAUCAAGUUAUUUUUUACUAUAGAAAUAUCUAAACUUUAGAUUACGCGUAGACAGAGAGUACUGAAGUUAAUAUUUUUUUUACUUUCAUUAAAUUUGGACUCAGAUCAUGUUCGGCUCAAAUUUUGAGUUUAAAAUUAGAAUCAAAAUUCAGAUUUUUUAAAACAAGUUACCAAAUACACUAUUGAAGAAAAAAAUUAUUUUCGGCCUUAAAAUCACUUUUCGACUCGUUAAGACUUCGAGCUGAAAGUUUCAGCUCGUGUUCGGUUCAUUUAUUAAUCUCAAACUUAUUUUAAACCAAACACGAAUUGACUUGCGACCGACGAGCUGGAUUGCCGGCCCUACUAUACAAUGAGCCAAGAUCAGCACACAUCCCAUGAGUAUGCUCAUCAAAUCACAUCUCAUAGAAAAUGGAAUUAGACCUACCUAAUACUUAGCUUUUUCCAAACCAUUGGAUGGAAAAUGGACCACUCCUCUGAUAGAAGAGGAUUUCAUACCUAAGUUGUUACAACUUGUGUGCCCACUAAAAUUACUAUUUGUCGUAAGCAUAACGCACUGCAUAUGACUGGAAAAUAUAAAAAAUAAAAAAAUAAAAAAAGCAUGUUGAUGGAGUGUACAUUGCAUUAGAAUAAGUCUAGGUCUCAUAUGAAAGAUGAUCCAACAACUAACAAGAAUAAUUGUUGUUUAGUGGGGAAAAGGAAGCCACUGAAAUUAAACUCAAAUUUUGAUUUCAAAGAUUAAAAAGAUAUUAAGUUCGGUGUAAAGUUGGAUUAGGUCUUAGUAAACUAAUGUGGAUUUCUUUUUGUUCACAAAAAGGUUAGGGUCAAGAUCUUGUUGGUUAAUUACUUCCAAGAAUGCUAGUUCUACAUUCAAGUUGCACUUCGGUCUCUUAAAUGAACAAUAAAAAACAAGUAAAUAUGUGUCAAACAUGUAGACUUUUGUUAAUUUCAACGUGUGUGUCAGUUCUAAUAAAAUUCUAUUUUCUCAUAUAAGAUUACAGUUAUAAUUUAGUAGCAUACGAAUGCGGUCACUCUGGGCACUGAUUUUUUCUAAGUUUCUGAAAGAACUUGAUAAUAUAUCUGACUCACCGUCGAGACAUCCAACACACCAAAAGAAGCGAUCAGCAUCACGAAUGGAUGCCUCAGUCUGGAACUGGAAGUGAUGUGUUCUUUUGUACUGAUAACAAGACCUCAAAACAAUUUGACGGAAAUCCUUCACACGUCAAUUUAAUGAAACCCAUAAUCAAAAAUAAACACAAGUUCGGAAUGAAUGCGAAUCAAAAUUAGUAUAAAUUAGGUAUUAAAAGUCUACGACUCCCUCAAAAUAACCUCUAAAUAGAAGAAUUCUCCAAUCUACAACAAGCAAGAAACAACCCUUCUAUUCCUAAAUAAGGCCACCAAACUCUGUAAAGAUAUAUUUCCUAUUUGUCCUGAGGUCACAAACAUUCAUUUGUAUCGAUUCUUUACUGGAUCUAUUUCCAAUGAAUGUAAUAAUAAAGUUGACCUCCCAUAGAAUUCUGUUGGAAACAAGCUGAAUUCCGAAGUAGAUCUCUUCUUGGUUAAGAGACUUAAAUCAGCAGAUCUCCAGUCCAAACAUUCAUAAAAUGGGGCAAAGAAAGACGAGAAGAGAUUAACACGGAGAGAAAAGUUAAGCAGAGGAAAAAAUGAGACAGAAGAAGAUGAAAAGAUGGGAAUAAACUCGCAGCCAAUAUAUUUUCUUUCCAAAAUUAUAAUGUGCAAAAUGUUAAUGCUAAUAGAAGAGUAUUAUCAGUUAAGGCCAAGUUCAGUUUGUUCUGACUUCUGAGGGUUGUCGAUGAAAGUGGAAAAGGUGACGUAACUAUUGUUUGUGAGACACCUCCCUUCCCCAACAAACUUCUUCUCCCAACAUGGUUGUGAUGGCAUCUUUCUCCGCACUUUAUCCACCUGCAGCAGACAACUCUCCUCAAAGGUUAAAAAUGCCCAAAGUAGCACAAUCCAACAACUUGCUCCCUCUACACCCUAUACAGGGAUGCACUAAGUACCAAAAAUAUCGGCUCGAAUUUCAGUCAAGUUGGAUUCUUCAAGAGUUAGAAGAAGUAAGAACCAAAUAGUCGUUGUCUACCAACUACUUACCCAGCAUCCAUUCUACAUGAGGGGCUUGACCUCACUUAGGGCUAUUGCAACGAAAAAAAAAAAUUUGGAUAAAAGUUAGGGCAGAAAAUUUUCAAAAUAGUAAAUAACAACAAAAUAUAAACUUCCUGACUAACUCACUAGACGCAUUUAAGAGUUAAAGACUUCAACCAAGACUCGGCUAUAAACCCAUAAUACGUAUUCUAGACCCUAUUUGCAAACAAUAUAUUAACUCAAACUAACACUUAUUGGGUUAGCGCAAGACCAAAGACAUUGUACUUUGAGCUAUGUGCAAAUAAGACAUGUAACGUGUUUGGCAAGUAAUUGGAUAACACUUGUUAGACAAAUAGCUGCAACAAGAGCAAUCAAAUGGCCAGCUCUACAGGAAGGUCAACUAAUCAAAACCCGCUAGUAAUUUCAGGGUUAAUGGACUGCUGGCAAGAAUCAGUGGUUAAUGCAACAGGGCAGGUAAAGGUGAUGGAGGAGCAGGUGAAUAUAGAACUGUCAGCGAAAAUUGGACAGUAGUUUGAUGUAGGACGGAGGAGGGAGAGACCGAACUACUUCAAGCUAACCACACUGCCAAUACUGCUAUAGGUCCAAUUACUAGAGUUUCUUAGGAAUUCACAUUGAGAAUAGUCCUGCAUAGAAUAAUAACUAAAGGAGUAGAGGGAUCAAAUAGACUACAGAGCCCAAACCAACAGGGAUAGCCUUUUGAGUUGGAUGGGUUCCACUAGUCACAUCCUUGGACUAUGCAGGCUUGGACCAGACAUUAACACCCUUAAUAAUUGGGAAAAAAAAAAAAGACGAUAGUUGAUGAUCCUAACCUACUCUUCUAAGAAGAUGCAGCUGAUCUACAGGCCGUUUUGAAAAAAGCAAGCUAAUGAGGAAUCACAUGAUAUGACGGUAUGGAGCACUCAAAAGAGCGGGGCCCUAAGGUUUAGGGUAUGGAGAUGUGGGUUAGGCGCAUAUGCUCAAAUGAGAGGGUUCCUAGUGACGCAUAAAAAACUUGAAAGGCAUAUAUUGGGGAUGAGCAAACAUGAUUUGGUGAGGAUUAAUGAGUAGAGGAUUAGGUUCGAGGAUGUUUGUUCACACGUGAAAGGGCAGAUUGUUAGGAAUAAUAACUAGAGCAGUAGAGGGUUCAUAAGACUACAUGGCAAAAACUUACAGGCUUAAUUUUUUGGCUAAAUGUGUUCCAGUAGACAUGCCAAAUCUUCGGACUACAGAGGCUUGGACCGGCCCUUAACUCCCAUAACACUGUUGGGUCCUUAUAUUAGCUACAGCUAAAGCAGCAACCACAACAAUUUAACCAACUGCGUCUCACCGUACAGUAGGGUGAGAACCAGGUUGUAAUUUGAACUUUAGUGCAGCUGCAAGUGCAUUCAACCAAAUGGGCCCUAAGUUGAUUCAUUUGGAGGUAAACAUACUCAACUUCCUUAAGUAGCCUAAAUUAAUACGAAGCAAUUGCAUAGGAUAAUAGCAUAGCUGAAUUACAAACUAAAUUAUCCUUUUCCUCUUUGAUGUAUAAUUAGCAUUUUUACCGUUAUUAAGUUACUCUCUUCUUAAUCAGAAAAAAAAAAGUUGUAAACCCUUAUACAGAGUUUGCAAAAAAGCUGAAAACUGUAAAAUCAAAGAAAAACAUCCCUAAGGAUUGCCAAAUGAGCACUUUGGUAUAGUAUUAUCUAACUAUAAAGAACCAAACAAUUUUCAACUCGCCGUAGUUACUUGACAAAAAAUCAUAUAGUAGCUAGUUUCUAGAUUCUUGAUUCUCGUUGAUCGAUUAACAAAAUAUAGAGGCAACUGCAUACGAAAGGAGUAGAAACUAAGGCCUUGGUUGGAUGCUGGAAUUAGUUAUCUGAUGAUAGGUUAUUCCGUGCAAAGGUUUUCUUGUGUAAUUGGAACGUAGAAGUUUGAUUUUUGCUCCUUGAAAGGCUUGACAUCCAUGAUUUGGCGGGAUAACAUAUUUCACCUAAUACAAGGUGAUUUAUCUAGUUUUGAAAAAAAACAACUCGAAGGCCGAAUAUGUUAUUCUAUUCUAGACACUUGAUCACACUCCUAGCUUCCAAUCAUAAUAGAAAAUCCUCACAGAGAAUAGGAAAUCACUAGAAAACUUAUUCCAAUAUCCAAAGAUGAAGUUUUCAGGCAUAAGGCCACAUAGCAAAUAGUACAUCAUAUUUCACAAAAAUUGGAGUAACGCGCUAUGACAUGGCAAAUAUAAUCCUAUAGCUAUUCAACUGUGCAAAAAGGAUUUGAAAGAAGGUACUACUGAAAAUGAUGCUAGCAAACCUAAAUAGAUAAGGAAUCAAACAAAAACAAAGUUUCCAACAAAAAAAAUACAUCCAAAGAAAAAAAAUCAUAUGGGAAAUGAUAAAAAUAAAAAUGGAGAAGUAUUACUAAUCAGAAAUUGUGCUAGAUAACAAAUAAACAAAUACCAAUCACACCCUAGAUUACAUCAACCACACCCAGAAGAAAAGAGAGGGAUAGAAGUUCCCGUACCGUAUUAAAAGCAUUACCUUCAGCUCACAUCCCUGAGCCUUUUUAUCAAUGCAUCCAAAGAUUUCUUUUUCGUGUUGUUCGUCUUCGCGCCUCUCGUACCAAACGUCGAGAACAACCUAUCCGAGGAAUCCCUAAACUUCUCCGAUAUCGCCACCACCUUCUUAUAAUCCAGCUUGUUGUAACUCCUCUCACGGAUCACAGGGUUCAAGAAACUCUCAGGGUUGUUGCUCAUGAGCAAGUUAACCAACUGCCUCGCCUCGACCAUUGCCAUUUUCAGCUCGGUCGCGCUCGAUUCCUCGGAAUCGGCAAAUAAGCCGGAUAAGUUCUCAGCGAAGGACUCGAACAGCCGGAGAUCGGCGUCGACUCCCGUCACGGCACUAGCAUUAAACCUCUUGACCGAAUCACUCAGGAAGAGCCCGACGAUCUUGUCGGACACAUGGGCGAGGACUCCUUGGAGGACUCGCCGCAGGACGGGGAGGGGAAGAAUUCGCUGCGCGGUGGAAACAAAAGUCUCGAGGUAUAUGAUCACUUCGUUGGAAUAGUCGUUCCCGCCGGGCGGCGGGUCGUCGGCCAUCCAGCUGACGGUCUCCGAGAGGAGGAAGAACUCGUCGAUUUUGGAGCGGAGCAGCCGCAGGAGGAGCUCCUCCGCGGCGUCGCGGGACUUCUUGAGGGGGAAGUCCCGCCGGCCGCGCUCGGCCACGCGGAGGGGGAUGCCGGAGAGCUGGGCGGCGUGGCGGAAGAAGAAGUCGCAGGCGCGCUCCAUGACCGCCAUGUUGGCGGCGACCUGCAUGGCCUGCGAGACGCCGAGGCCCCCGCCCUCGACGAGGCGGAGGAUGGAGGCGUCGACGGCCUCGGAGAGGAGGCGGUCGAGGUACCUGUUGACGACGGGGAAGAAGUCGAGCUGGCCGCCGUGGGACAUGAAGCUGACGGAGUCCUCGACGAAGGAGCGGACGAUGCGGCAGAGGCUGGGGACGGCGGAGGAGAAGGGCGCGACGUAGGGGAAGGCCGGCAUGAUGUCGGAGGUCUGGAGCUGGAAGGCGAGCACGUUCAUGGAGUACUCGUACUCCUUCUUCAUGAGCAUCUGCUCGAAGGCGUCGGCGGCGAGGGCCUCGGAGACCUGGCGGCGGCAGUCGGCGAGGAGGAGGUCGUGGUACUUGUCGCGGUGCUUGGCGAGCACGUCGAGGAGGGGGUCCACGGCGUAGCCGUAGCGGCGGAGGGUGACGCCGAGGAGGCUGACGUAGUCCUUGAUGAGGAGGAGGUGGUUGGCGGUCUGCAUUCGGGAGAACUGGUCCUCGAGGACGGAGACCAUCUUGGCGACGGCGGCCUCCCAGAGGGCGUCGACGCCGGGGCGGGAGAUGAGGCCGCCGCCGGUGCGGAGGAUUCGGUCCUCGACGAUGAAGAAGCCGGCGACCUGCGCGAAGAACUGCUGGUGGGACUCGAGGAAGGGGGCGACGGAGGUGACCUGGAAGUCGGAGGUGAGCUGCAGCUUCCGGUUCUCCAGGUAGUACUUCUUGAAGCGCUCCUCGAGGCCGAGGGUCUGGUGGAUGUGGAAGGCGCGGUAGAGCGGGGUGAGGUCGAACCACUGGGCGGCGGCGCCGUCGUCGUCGGAGGAUUGGGCGGCGGCGGCGGCGAUGUCGUCGGCGUCGGCGUCGGCGUCGAGGGAGUAGUAGACGGGGGCGGCGAGGGCGAGGGGGCCGAGGCCGACGCGGGACUGCUCCUCGGCCUGGCGCUGCUUGGCGCGGAGGUCCUCCUCGCGCUGGCGGGCGGCGGAGGCGCGGGCGAUGGCGACCUGGCCGAGGUGGCGGCUGGCGACGCGGAUGCGGACCAUCCAGUCGGAGAAGUCCUUGGAGAUGCGGCGCUGGGCGUAGGCGCGGACGGCGGGGACGGCGCGGGCGAGCAUGCGGCGGAGGGCGGGGAGGGGGAGGGGCUCGCGGGAGUCGCGGGAGUCGAGGGAGAGGUCGCGGUCGACGGCGUCGACGGCGCGGAGGGCGAGGUAGAGGUCGUCGGCGGCGAGGUGGGCGUUGGCGCGGGCGCAGAGGGAGAGGAGGCGGGCGCAGCGGCGGGCGGCGGAGAGGGCGGAGGAGAGGUUGGCCGCGAGGGCGCGGGCGGCGAGGAAGGCGUCGAGGGAGGAGAGGAGGGGGGCGGCGGCGGAGAGGAGGAGGGCGUUCGAGUCGGAGAGGGAGGACUUGAGGGAGUCGACGUCGGAGAGCAGGGACCGGAGGUCGUCCACCGCGCGGAUGAAGUCGUGGUAGUGNGCUGGAGCCCGGGAAGCAGGCCGCGCGGAAGCGGAGCCCGGCGGGCCUGCGGGACGACAGCCGGGAGGCCGUCAGCCGGGCCAGGUUCCUCAGCCUCUAGCUCCGGCAGACGGCGCGGGUGAUGGUGCUGAAGUAGGCGCGCCACCUGCUGGAGGCCAGGGACGAGAGGCUGCAGCUGAGGGAGUUCAGGAGGGAGAGGCUGAGCUUGCGGGAGGAUCGCCGUUCGAGAUCGCGGACGACAGCUGCACGAGGUCCUGCCGGUCGGAGUCGCCGCCGCCGGCGCCGCCGUUCGGGAGGCCGGCGGCCGACGACGCGGAAGAGGAGUCGGCGGCAGCGAUCUUGCGGCGCAUGGCUGCUCGGAUCGGCUGCGCGACGCAGAUCGAGGGAAAAAGAAUGGAAAAGCGGGCGAGGGAGGGAGGAGAUCUAGGAGGAAGGAGGGCGGAGCAGUCUCCGCGGUCGGGUGGGUGUGCAGGGAAAUGACGGAAUUGCCCUCAGGCCCCAGGACUGGGACUGUGGGAGGAGGACUGGAAACUGUCUCAACCAUUGGGAUUUGUUUCGCCAUUUUGGACUUUGGAGGGGAUAAAUUAUUUUUUGGGAUAAUUUCACACAAUUUUACACAUUCCCUAAUAACAGUGUAUUCUUGAGUGUUCAUAUUUAUCCCUCAAAAAAUUUUGGCCUUUUUGCAUAAAAAAUUCACUUAUUUUAGACUUUUGCAAAACCGGGUCAUCUUUUUCAUUUUUGCAAAUUCGGUCCGCUUUUCAGCAAACUGACCAAAAUACCCCUAUUACUUUUUCUCUUUUCUCUUUCUCUCUCCUCUUCGUUCUCUCGUUCUUUCUUUUUUUGCCGAAAAAAAAUAGCGAAGGCCAGGCGGGCGCGCCGCCGGAGCACCGCCAGGCGGGCUCUUCUUCUUCUUCUUCCUGCAGGAGCAAUUUUUUUUUCUCUUUUUCUUUUUCUUCUUCUUCUUCCUCCUGCUGGAGCAUUUUUUUUUUUUUCCCUCUUCUUCUUCUUCUUCUUCUUCUUUUUCUUUCUGUAAGAGCACGGGNNNNNNNNNNNNNNNNNNNNNNNNNNNNNNNNNNNNNNNNNNNNNNNNNNNNNNNNNNNNNNNNNNNNNNNNNNNNNNNNNNNNNNNNNNNNNNNNNNNNNNNNNNNNNNNNNNNNNNNNNNNNNNNNNNNNNNNNNNNNNNNNNNNNNNNNNNNNNNNNNNNNNNNNNNNNNNNNNNNNNNNNNNNNNNNNNNNNNNNNNNNNNNNNNNNNNNNNNNNNNNNNNNNNNNNNNNNNNNNNNNNNNNNNNNNNNNNNNNNNNNNNNNNNNNNNNNNNNNNNNNNNNNNNNNNNNNNNNNNNNNNNNNNNNNNNNNNNNNNNNNNNNNNNNNNNNNNNNNNNNNNNNNNNNNNNNNNNNNNNNNNNNNNNNNNNNNNNNNNNNNNNNNNNNNNNNNNNNNNNNNNNNNNNNNNNNNNNNNNNNNNNNNNNNNNNNNNNNNNNNNNNNNNNNNNNNNNNNNNNNNNNNNNNNNNNNNNNNNNNNNNNNNNNNNNNNNNNNNNNNNNNNNNNNNNNNNNNNNNNNNNNNNNNNNNNNNNNNNNNNNNNNNNNNNNNNNNNNNNNNNNNNNNNNNNNNNNNNNNNNNNNNNNNNNNNNNNNNNNNNNNNNNNNNNNNNNNNNNNNNNNNNNNNNNNNNNNNNNNNNNNNNNNNNNNNNNNNNNNNNNNNNNNNNNNNNNNNNNNNNNNNNNNNNNNNNNNNNNNNNNNNNNNNNNNNNNNNNNNNNNNNNNNNNNNNNNNNNNNNNNNNNNNNNNNNNNNNNNNNNNNNNNNNNNNNNNNNNNNNNNNNNNNNNNNNNNNNNNNNNNNNNNNNNNNNNNNNNNNNNNNNNNNNNNNNNNNNNNNNNNNNNNNNNNNNNNNNNNNNNNNNNNNNNNNNNNNNNNNNNNNNNNNNNNNNNNNNNNNNNNNNNNNNNNNNNNNNNNNNNNNNNNNNNNNNNNNNNNNNNNNNNNNNNNNNNNNNNNNNNNNNNNNNNNNNNNNNNNNNNNNNNNNNNNNNNNNNNNNNNNNNNNNNNNNNNNNNNNNNNNNNNNNNNNNNNNNNNNNNNNNNNNNNNNNNNNNNNNNNNNNNNNNNNNNNNNNNNNNNNNNNNNNNNNNNNNNNNNNNNNNNNNNNNGGCCGGCCGGACCUCGUCCAGCUGCUGCUGGAGUUCGGCGCCGACGUCGAGCCCCCGGGCCGCGGGCCGACGACGCCGCUCGAGGAGUCGGCGCCGGCGAGGGAGGCGCUGAUCGCGGAGCUGCUCCUGGCACGGGGCACGCAGCUGCGGCGCGAGGCCGGGUCGGCGGCGGGGCCGAUGCACGCGGCGGCGGCGGGCGGGCACGCGAGCGCGCUGCGGCUGCUUCUUCUUCUUCUUCAUGGUGUAAUGGUGCACCAUUACACCAUUAAUGGUGUAAUUUUAUGGUGUAAUGGUGCACCAUUGCACCAUUACACCAUUAAUGGUGCACCAUUACACCAUGAAAUUACACCAUUAGUGGUGUAAUGGUGCACCAUUGCCUCCUUCCCUCCCUUCACAUGCGGCACGCACGGGGCCCACUCCAUCCUCGUCACCCUCUCCCACUACCUCCCGACGGUGCGCGGGGCGAGCUCAGGGGCUCAGUGGGGGAAGAGCGGCACGCGGGGGCGAGCUCGACGACGCGGCGCGCGGGGGCGAGCUCGGGGGCGCAGCUGUAGUGGCGGAGGAGCGGCACGGGGAGGAGCAAGAACUUGGCGAGGAGGAUGGAGUAGCGGUCGCGGCGCGUGCCGUAGACCCACUUGCGGCGCGCAGGGUCGAGGUCGUGGGCGCGGCCGAAGAAGCCGACGAGGGGCGGCGCGGGGCCGGAGCGGGAGGAAGAAGAAGAAGAAAAAGAGGGAAAAAAAAAAAGUGCUCCGGCAGGAGGAAGAAGAAGAAGAAAAAGAGGGAAAAAAAAAAAGUGCUCCGGCAGGAGGAAGAAGAAGAAGAAAAAGAGGGAAAAAAAAAAAGUGCUCCGGCAGGAGGAAGAAGAAGAAGAAAAAGAGGGAAAAAAAAAAAGUGCUCCGGCAGGAGGAAGAAGAAGAAGAAAAAGAGGGAAAAAAAAAAAGUGCUCCGGCAGGAGGAAGAAGAAGAAGAAAAAGAGGGAAAAAAAAAAAGUGCUCCGGCAGGAGGAAGAAGAAGAAGAAAAAGAGGGAAAAAAAAAAAGUGCUCCGGCAGGAGGAAGAAGAAGAAGAAAAAGAGGGAAAAAAAAAAAGUGCUCCGGCAGGAGGAAGAAGAAGAAGAAAAAGAGGGAAAAAAAAAAAGUGCUCCGGCAGGAGGAAGAAGAAGAAGAAAAAGAGGGAAAAAAAAAAAGUGCUCCGGCAGGAGGAAGAAGAAGAAGAAAAAGAGGGAAAAAAAAAAAGUGCUCCGGCAGGAGGAAGAAGAAGAAGAAAAAGAGGGAAAAAAAAAAAGUGCUCCGGCAGGAGGAAGAAGAAGAAGAAAAAGAGGGAAAAAAAAAAAGUGCUCCGGCAGGAGGAAGAAGAAGAAGAAAAAGAGGGAAAAAAAAAAAGUGCUCCGGCAGGAGGAAGAAGAAGAAGAAAAAGAGGGAAAAAAAAAAAGUGCUCCGGCAGGAGGAAGAAGAAGAAGAAAAAGAGGGAAAAAAAAAAAGUGCUCCGGCAGGAGGAAGAAGAAGAAGAAAAAGAAAAAGAGAAAAAAAAAUUACUCCUGCAGGAAGAAGAAGAAGAAGAGUCCGCCUGGCAGUGCUCCGGCGACGCGCCCGCCUGGCCUUCGCUUUUUUUUUUUCGGCAAAAAAAAAAGAACGAAAGAACGAAGAGGAGAGAGAAAGAGGAAAGAGAAAAGGUAAUAAGGGUAUUUUGGUCAGUUUGCUAAAAAAACGGACCGAAUUUGCAAAAACGAAAAAGGUGACUCGAUUUUGCAAAAGCCCAAAAUAAGUGGAUUUUUUAUGCAAAAAGGCCAAAAACUUUUUAAUAAUUUUAAAUAUUUUACUGCUAUUAGUGUCUAUUUGGAAAAUAUAGUUAACCAUAAAUAAAAUUUUUAACCUUGUUUAGUGAGUGAAUUAACUUUUUUUACUCCUAUAGUAUUAUACCGUUCUUCUCUCAAUUCAAACUCGUAAACUCUAGUAAUGAAAACUCUUCUUCCGCUUUCUCUUCCUCCUCUUCCUCUUCCUCUUCCUCUUCCUUGUGCUAGUUUUGAACUCAUCUUCCUCUUCCUUGUGCUAGUUUCGAACUCGUAACUAAGGUUUCUCCGUUCUCAUUCAUCCACAGUGCGUGUUACUUCGCUCAUGUGGAGCGCCCGAGAAUCAAUAGUAGAUAGGUGAAAGAGAAAAAGAAUGAGAGAAGAGGCAAAGAAGAGAUUGUAAUAAUGGUUGAUUGAGUUAGUUUUUAUAGAAAAUGAUGAUGACCAUUUAGGAAUUUCUUGGGAGUACAUCUCUGCACGAUUCUAAUAGUUAGGGUUUUUGGAGGGACGUAUUUGUGACAGUAAAUAUGAUAUUUUACUUGUGUUAAAAAAUAAAUACUGAACUAAUGGUAAUAAACCAAAUGGAUAAAUAUGAAUUUCAUUAGACUUUUGAAGGGAUAAAUCUGAAAAGUAGAAAUUUGUAAGGAUAUAUCUGCUAUUUGAUAUGUUUACAGAAAACUCUAUAAAAUUAUCCCUAUUAUUUUUUAUUGAAACUCUAUAAGAUAAAGUUUGGAUCGAAAAUAAGGUGUUUUUUAUUAUUUUUGUGGCAGACAAAAUUCAUGAGAUAAGUUAGAACAAAACCGAUUUUGUAUUUUUGAAUAAAAAUUGUGUUGUUUUUUUGUAAUAAAAAUGUAGCAUUUAGAUAGUUAGGUUGAAACAGUGAGAAUAAAAAUAAUUAUUUUUUAAAAAAUAGUAACAUUUUAUCUAAUUAACUAACAUCAAAUUAUUAAUUAAUUAAUCAUAAUUGCGGCUAGAUAGUCAUAUAAUUCUAAUCAAUUAAUAAUGAUAAAAAAUAAUUACCCCUAAGUAAUUUAAUAAAUUAAUUACUUAAUUAUUUAAUGGUUGGCCGAUUUGCAUAAAAAAUUCAUCGGUUUUGAGAUUUUGCAAAGUAAGUCGUCUUUUUAAUUUUAUAGAUUCAAUCUAAAUUUUUAAUAAACUAGCCAAAAUAUCCAUAUUCCUCUUUUUCUCUUUUUUUUUUCACACCAGUCUUUUUCUGUACAACUUAUAUUCUCCUCCCACUCUCUCAUUUCUCCUCCUCCACCACAUCAACGCCGCGCGCUCCUCUCUCUUACUUCGCCCACACCAGUUCGGAUAUGGCAUAGAUCACGAUGCAACGAAAUAUAUAGUCGUGGAUGAUGACAUCGAUAGCGACGAAGGUGCCACAGAUUUUGAGGAUGACGGAGAGAGAGAGCGUGUCAAGGCGGAGGCGGAGGCGGAGGCGGAGGCGAAGGCGGCUGCAGCAAAGGCAGAAAGCGAGGAAGAAGGUGUGGUAACAAAAAGAGAUGUAAAAGGUGAAAGAAAAAAAAUAAAAAUAAAUAAUUUUUUUACUUUUAUAGAAAUUUUUUUUCACUAUUUAGAAUAAGAUCAAUAACUCUGAUCUUAAAUUCAUAUAUUUUAUCAUCAUUUUUUAUGAAAUUUUUAUUUUUAUCCGUUCAUUUUUAGACUACUCAUUUGAUAGAAAAAUAAUGUCGAAAAUUAUAAAAUUUAGUUUCCAAAUAUUUUUAAUAGUGCAGAUCAAGUCUAACGGAGCCGAUCGUUAAUUUGGACACCACAUCAUUGAAAACAACUUGGUAGUAUGCAGGCCUCCGUGCUACCGAUAGUAUAGCAGCCUAGCUCUCUCUCUAUAUAUUAAAAAUAUUUAUAAAUAUAUAUAAUUAUAUAUAAUAUAUAUUUUAGUUAUAUAUAAUAAGUAUAGAGUUAUUAUGUUAUCUAAAGUAUAGAGGAGUUGGUGCUUUCGAUUUUUUGGCCCUUGAAUCAAGGAUAAUAGGGUCGGAAUGAUAGUGGUUUCCUUUAGGGUUGAGUGGUCCCCCUAGGAUAAUAAUAUUAAUCCAAAAGUCAAAAAUGAUCAAAGAGCUUAAUCCAAAGGCUAAAAAGUUGGAAGCACCAAUUUCCUUAUACUUUCAAAAGUAUAGUAACUCUACUCUAUAUAACAAUAUAUAUUAUGUAUUUUAAUUAUAUAUAGAGAGAAUUUAGGUUAUUGGGCAUAUUUAUUAACCUACAAAACCAAACUAGUAAAAUCUUACUCUAAUUACUCGCUUUCUUUCACUUGCUCGCAGAGUCGCUUCCCCUAAUUUUUUUAACAUUAUAAUAUCGUAUUUCAUGCAUUCAUUUUGUAUGUUGAACUAUUAGACAUUUUUUUUAACAAAUUUUAUAUAAUAUUUUAUAAAAAUUAAACUAUAGAUUGCAUGAUGUUGAGAAUUUCAAACAGCUUGUUUACGGCUUGAGCUUGCUCUACUCGAAGUUAGGCUCACUCAAGCUCAACUCAAAUUAAUUUCAAGCCGAGCUUAAGCCUAAAUUUAGGCUCGAAAUUAGGCUCGUUUCCACCCCUACUAAAUAUAGAUGAUUUUCCCAUAAUAAAGUGAUCACCCAUCUUAUAACUUCUCUAAGGGGCCGUUUGGUUAGAUGUAAUUAUAAAUGCAGUGUAAUUAGAGACGCAUGCAGUUGAAAAUACAACAAUUACAACUAUAUGAAUCAUGUUUGGUUGGAUGUAGUAGAAAGCGCUGCAAGUAUAAACAAUUUGUUUGGUUGCAUGCAGUUGAGAAAUAAUUAUUAAAAUUUUAUUAUUUUAUAUAUAUGAUGGUGAGAUUACCUCCAAUGUAAAAAAGGAAAAUAAUUUUUGUUUAAAAAAUAUUGAGGAGGUAAGCAUACAUUUUAUUUAAAGUUACUCUCUCCAACUGCUGUAGUUGGAACUGCGGCCAAUUUGGGCGUAGUUCGAACUACUGCAGUUGGACCUCCUCCUGCAGUUCCUACUGCAGCAGUUGGAGUUAAAUACAUUAAACCAAACACAAAUUUGUAUUUCCAUGCAGUUGCAACUGCAGUGCAGUUGCAACUACAUGCAACCAAAUGGCCCCUAAGCGUAGCAUGCUUAACCCUCUUAACCUGGGUCUAGCCAUCAUCCAAAAUACUAUAACAAGGUUAAGACGGUUAGCCCUAUUAUAUCUUAUAUAUAGGACUAUUCUAAAUCAUGACGUCCUCGUUAGAUGAUGUGAUCACAAGUAUCAAACGAUGUGAUACUUUUCUCGCUAACUUGAAUUGACCUUGUAGGGAGCCGUGCUCCAUCUACAGUGGUUAUCAGUCAGGGAGUCGCGGUCCACCCACUGUAUGACUCUAGCUCAAGUGAGACUCAUCUCGCACUUUCAGCUGGUGAUUGACUCUGAUACCAACUGUGAUGCCCCGCUUUCUAGGAGGUCACCUAUUUUAGAACUAUUAUAGGCUAGCAUGCUUAACCAUCUUAACCUAUUGGGUCUAAUCACCACCCAAAAUGCUAUAGUUAGGUUAAGAGAUUUAACUUUAUUAUAUCUUUUAUAUAAAUAUUUCAAAUUUUAGAAGUGUUACAAAAACAAUCCAGGGAAUUUGGAAGAUAUGAAAAGAGAAGAACAUUGUACACUCAAAAUAACACAAAAUACUGUAAUAAAACUUUAUAUAAUUAGGUGGAUGGAUGAUAUUGUAGGUGGAUGACCGAGUGUUUGCUGUCUAUAUUUGAGGAGUACGUCGAUAAUAAAAGAUAAAAAGAUUUAGUAACUUACUUUUUAGUCUAUAUUUUGUUAAAAAGAUAUUGUAUAUGGUCCAAUUUCCUUGCAAAAGAGUUUAAUGACGAGGUAUAAGAUUUCUUCAAAAGAGAAAAAAGCUAUCAUGUGUGUCAAUGAUUCUUUAGAGGAUUAGUAUAAUUAUGUUCUAGAUCUGACUUCUUUGGUCGGAUAUCUUAACAUAAUUGAUUUAUUAAAAUCUCAUACAAAAUCACAAAGAAUUAUUAGUUUCUAAAAUAAGGACAAUAAAUAAAUAUUAAUUAACUUAUAUUAAACACUUUAAACUUUUGUCCAUAUGACAGGCUUUGUUAAAUCCUGGGCUUAUGAGACCUACAUGUCAGUGUAAGCUUUAGUUAAAUUGAAAGUGCGUGGGACCUACCUGUUAUUAUUUCCUACUCAUUUCCUUCCGUUGAACCGGUUGAUCUUCCCAUCCUUCAACCAGUUUUCUUUGAAUUGGUUGAUCUUCUCAUCCUUCAACCGGUUUUCAUUGAACCGAUUGAUCUUUGCCUCCUUUGUCAUCGCUCUGGCUCUUGACAUGCCCCGUUCUAGACGGAAAAUUGGGUCCGGUGCAUUGUUGCUUCGUCUCCCCUCCCCGUCGUUUGCAUUGAUUCCUCUUCAAAUGGAAAAAUGAUUCUCAUUCAUUAUCCUUUCUGCUCCCUUCGCCGCAUCAAUUUUCUAUGUCUGUUGAAUCCAAAGGGUUGUUCUACUAUGUUUUCAGUACAUGUCGCUGCCUAUAUAAUAGGGCAUCCAUCAAGUUUUUGCUGUGUAGGAAAGGUCAUCUACUCCUCUAAAAAGACCUUCGACGUCACUUAAUCUGCUAUCAGUGCUGUCUUCUUCUGUACACUAGUUUUUACCUUUCAUUUUUUGGGUAUUCAAGUUUAUCUACUACCAAUUCUUAUCAUUCUUCAUCUUCUUACAUGCUUUUUUUUACCUAUCUAUUAUGCUGCUUCUUUUUCUUAUGAAUUUCAAUGAAUUUUUUAGUGCAAUAGUCUUCUCCUAAAAUUUUAUUUUAAAAAUAGACCUGUUAAAUUUUUAUUUAUAAAUAUGAUCUUAUAAAAGCGGUGAAUGGUUCACCGCUUUUAAAAGCGGUGAACCAUUCACCGCUUUCUUUCAUUUUCUCACUUCUUUUUAUUUUUCUACGAUGGUAAAAGCGAUGAAUGAUUCAUCAUUUUUAUUCUUUUUCUACUCCCAAUGAGUUAUGAAUACGGUGAAUCAUUCACCACAUUUAGAGGUCUAUUUUUAUAAUUAUUUUUUAAAAAAAAUUAUUUUUAUAAUUAUAAAAAUCGAUAGGAUUAUUUAUAAAGCAAAUUCAAUUUCAAUAGUUUUUUCAGCCAACUUAAAUUUAAUAAUUAUGUAAAAUUUUAAAAAAACCUAAUACAGUUCUAUCUUAUUAGCUUUGCUUUGCCUUUUCUUAUUAUGAAUUCUAACUAUUUUCUUCCAAAGUAAGUUUACCUCUCGAAUUAGGAAUUUUUUUUUUCUAUUCUUAAGCUCUUUUUAAUUUUUAAAAAUUUUUAUUCUGCUGAUGCUACGGCUUCCGUCUUCUUCUUAGGUACCUUUUUCUCCCUCAACUGCUGCUCUUGCUACUAUUAGGAGUUGUUUGGUUGCCACGCAUUUGCAACUGCACCGCAGUUGCAAAUGCAUGCAACCUCAAUUUCUAGUUUGGUUUAGUGCAGUUGAGCUCAAAUGCUAUAGUUCCAACUGCAUAAGAAGGUCCAAAUACUGCAGUUGGAACUACAUCCAAAUUGGCUGCAGUUCCAACUGCAGCAGUUGGUGAGGAAUAGAAUCACCCACAAAUUAACAAUAAUAAAUAAAUAAAUAAUAUAUAUAUAUAUAGAUAAAAAUACUUGUAAAUAAACUCAUACUAAUAAAAUUUUUUAGGCAAUACAAGCUUUGUGCAAAAAAUUAAUUUCACGCCCCGGAUUACUCGUUUCCCCGGGUUCGCUAAUAGACACGCCGUAUACAUAGGUAUUUUCUCUGUAUACGAAGCGAAAAGUAAAAGUACCUGUAAUCAUGCAAUACUACAGACAGUAGUAUAGAACAGCUAGGAGAUAAGAAUAAAACAUGCAUAUAUAAACUGUGGUUCUAUACAUACAUGAGAUCCAAGAUACAAAAGCACUCGCACUGGCGAGAGUACAACAUCUGUAUGUAUAAACCAAAACUACACUACCUGCAGUGGUCCUCCACUAGCUCAGCAACUUGACUGGAAGGGCUCUAACUCGCGACGCCCUUGCUACAAUCAAUAUCAACAACAGCAGCAGCCGAAGACGAUGGCUCUGCAAAACAGUGGUAACAAUUAGGCAUGAGAACUACUGUAAAAACAAGUAGUCCUCAGUGGGAACCGCCCUCAAACUUAUCGGUCCACCCUCUAAGUCUACAUGAAUAAGCAGGAAUAGUAAGGAAAGCUGGAAUAAAUCUACAGCUAAAUGCCACUACACUAUCAUGCUCCAACUCUACCCUCUGUAGAAUAAUGUCAUCUCUGACCCAAUCUCAAAUAAGGACUGUAAUCAUACACAUCCCUGGGACUGUGAACACACCCGUCCCGCCCGGUCACGACUAUACAGCUACCUCCACAUUAACCAGUCCGUAGAAAGCAAAUUCAACCUGCACAAACGACACCAACGCAAACGCACAAAGCCCGACUCCGGAGUGGCACUCGUGGGCGCUAUCCAACCGAGUAUGCAAGCGUAUCUCUGUCGAGCUCAAUCAGACUCUAACAAGCCAAAGACAAGUAACUAGGGUCAAAACAGGUCUAGAAACCGAACCCACGUGCCCUCGGCACAAUCUGAUACCAAAAAUAGGAAUCUGGGUCCACCGUCCACCACGACGGCACCCGACAACCCGAAACAGCCUAGACUCUGCUGUAAAAAUAAGCUCGGCGUCCCAGCAUGAGCGUAAAUGCAUUCUAAACUACCCCGAGUACCCACCGCACUGAAACAGCAGUGAUACAAUCAGACCACGACUCCUAGAGCUAAAUCAGGUAGUUUAAACAUAUGACGGGUUAAAAUCGCAGGUUUUCUCUUAAGUCAAAUUUCACGUCCAACAUGUAUAUUCAACUAAUUACUAAGCAUGCCCCAAAUUCAGAUUUAUAUAUCAUACUCAUCGAUGAAUUCGAGCUACAACACGAUAUUCCGAAGUCGAAACUAUAUAUAUACUUAGGAGCCAAAACUGAUGAUAAACCCACCUUAAUUACGAAUCCUGGCAGCAAAGAAGGGUCUCAAACCAAAGCUAAUCCCUGCUGGAUCAACCGAAAUCCUCCAAGACCAGAAAUCAAGCUAUCUCCAAGUUCUACACAUUGAAUUCCAUCAAUUAUCACUAUUUCAGCACUAAAGCUUAAUUUAAUCUCAAUUGUAAUGUCAAAACUCACAUAAUUACCUCCAAAUCAGGUGAGGAAGGUCUCAAAUCCAGUGAAUAAUAAUGGAGAAUGUGUCUCAGGUCCAAAAUCCCACAGCCUAUGAAGAUAGUAUCAAGAAAAGCUCAAAAAUCUCAUUUCCAGCUCAAGUCAACAGCAGUCCAGAAAAACCUCAGUUCGACCAAGCUAAUCUCAACCAAAAUCUACAAUUCAGGGCUUGGAUUCCUCUGGCAGUCUAGAAUCCAGCAAACCAAGUUUUACCGCGAUCCGACCUUCCUACGUAGCACACGAGCCAAAACACUGGAGGUCGUCGCUGAAGAACUGCAGAAUCAGCACCUACCAAGCUGAAUCAAUGGAAGUUUGAUGCAAUUUGAGGCAAUUCGAGGGUUUAAGAUGCUAAAAUGAACUUCUCUAUGAAGAAGGGAGGAAAAGAGCAGCAAGGGGGCACAUUCUACCUAUUUAUAGGGUGAUGGUGCGGUCCAAAAAGCCUUAGGAACAAAGGCUGCAAAACUGGUACCCUGGUAGAAAACCCCACUUUCGGGCGCCCAAAACCCAAUUCUGGGCGUCCGAAUCCUCCUGGCUGUAUAACAGCUGCGCUUCGGUUCCAUCGCCACGGUGCGCUAUGCCCAUAACCGGCUCCGGCAGACUUCUCCUACCACCAGCCACGUGUCAGCGCAAACGAUACUCACGAUGUGAACUUUCGGGCCCACAUCCGGGCGCUCGAAACAUGGACCCGAAUUGGCUUCCAGUUCUGAUCAAAUCUGCACUCAACUUCUGGACGACCCAAGACCGGUUCUGGGCGCCCGAAUCUGGCAAAACUCCAGUUUUGUUUAUUUGAGUGCACCGAGUUCAUUUCUGCAUCCAUUUCGUGCAGAAACGACUCCGACUCAGUCCGACACUCUCCAGAUGUGUCGACCGGUCACUAAAACUGAAGCCAAUACUGUCCAAAGCUCAGAAACACUACAAUUAAAUUUUUUUAAAUUUAUUUUAUUUAAAAUAUAAAAAUAAUUUUUUUUUCUAAUUUUUAUAGAAUGUAAUUGUGUAUGUUAACUUAAUAAGUUUUAAUCAAUUAUAAUUAUUAAAUUUGAAAAAAAAAAUGAGAGAAUCGUUUAAAUUUUUAAAGUUUGAUUUACAUAUUAAAAUUAAAUAAAUUGAAAAUUUUAAAUGUGUCCAUUAAUAAAUUGAAGAAUUGUUGAAAAAUAUAAAAAUAUUAUAUAUAUAUCUAUUUAUUUAUUUAUAANAUUGAAGAAUUGUUGAAAAAUAUAAAAAUAUUAUAUAUAUCUACUUAUUUAUUUAUAAAUAGUAAGUUUAAAUGAUUAAUAAAAUUAUACAAUUAUUUUAUGCAUAGUGAAGAUAAUCUCACCACUCUAUCUGAAGAGGUGACAAAGUUCAAAAAUACAAUUACCAUCUUCAUAUUACCAAACAGAAAAAAUGUAACUGCAGCAGUUGCAAUUAUAUAAAACCAAACAGACUAGGUAUAAUUAUAACUACAGCAUUUGUAACUGCAUGUAUUUCCAACUACACUGUUUCUGCAACUAUAUCCAACCAAACGGCCCCUUAGUAUUACUCCAAAUUAUGCUGCAUCUUCAGCUAUUUUUUAUUUUCUAGUUAUUUCCGGGCACUCUUUUGCUUUUUUCUUUUUCUUUUUUUUUUUUCUGGAAAGAGAUAGGUAGCACGCUACCCGCUUCAUUUAUUUUAUUUAGAAAUAAACUUAGCUGAAAAUGUGAAUCAACUAGGAUUCAAACUUAGGUCUCGGGUACCAACCACCAAGUCCUUUGCCACUUGUUUUAGGGACGGUCGGUCUCUUUUGCUAUUAGCACUGCUUCUUUGUGUUCCUGUUGUUGUUGCUGCUUCUUUUCCUACAUGUAUGUCUACUGUAGUUUCUGCUGAUGUUAUUGCUUUCUUUUUUGGUGGAUCUUAAGUUUUUUUUUCACUACUUAUGUAUUAUAAUUAUUCUUCUAUUCAAAUUGAAUAAUUUUUAACUUUUUUAUUUACUAUUCCAGUGCUACCACUUAAAUUUAAAUUCCUGUUGCCGUUGCCUCUUCCGCUUACAAAACCAAGGUUGCAUACCUAUAUAUUAUAAGGAAAAGAAUAAUCAAAUAUAAUAAAAAAAUUAACUAUAAUAAUAUUUAUCCGCCACAUCAUGUGGUUCACUACACUAGUUUAUAUUUAUGAACUUUUUUAAAAAGUAAUAUUGUGGGUGUCAUAGAAUGUACAGCAAAAUGUACUUGAUGAUGAACUUUGUACAUAUGCAGCCUAUUAGUGAUUUAAUUUUUCAGAGAUAACGGUGUUACGUCCAAAAUUUAAAAACCUAAAACUCUUAGAAUGAUGAUAUCUGCAAGAGUUAAAAUUAGAAUAGUUAUUAGAAGCAAACAGAACCACUGACUUCUGCAUUGUCUAGGCUGUUUGAGCUUCAUAGGAUCUCAAUUUCACAAUUUUACAACAUCAUUUGCCAAGUGAUCAAGUGGUAUCAAAUUCAUCUUAUAUUAGCCAUAAAAAAAUAUAUAUAUUUUGCAACACUGAAUACUAGACAAAUGAUAUAGAAAAGUUAUACAUUUGGUGAAUGUUCAAAUAAGUUAAACCAUGUUUAACGAUAUUGAUAGUCGAUUCAGUAUCUCAUUCUCAGAAAUGAUAGGGAACCAAACACGAAUUUUUUUUAUAAAUAAUCCCAUCGAUUUUUAUAAUUAUAAAAAUAAUUUUAAAAAAAAAAUUAUAAAAAUAGACCUCUAAAUACGAUGAAUGAUUCACCGCAUUCAUAACACUUCUUUAGGAAUAGAAAAAAAAUAAAAGCGGAGAACCAUUCACCCUUUUUACCAUCGUAAAAAUAUAAAAAAAAGUAAGAAAAAGAAAGAAAGCGGUGAAUGAUUCAUUCACCGUUUUUAUAAAACCAUAUUUACAAAUAAAAAUUUAACGGAUCUAUUUUUAGAAUAAAAUUUUAGGAGAGUGCUACUGCACUAAAAAACCCAGCAAACACCCAUACUUCUAAAAAUAUUAUAGCCUAGAUGUAUAUACAAUGUCAACUUCAUUUGUAGGCUUGUAGCAUUACACCAUAGAGGCCGCAGGGAAUUACAUAUUGACCUCCCAGUGAGUAACUGAGGCUUGCACAGAGUUUUAAAGUCUUAUAAAGUAGGAAAACUCUCACAUAUAUAUAGUAUUUGCUAAGAACAACCAAUUUUAGGCAUUGCAAGCAAAAAAACUAUCAAAAGAUAAUCAAUGAGUUCGUGAUAGUUACAACAAUAAAUAAUGGUGGGGAAGAAAAAGCGAUCGACAAAUCAUUCACAUAUACAACACAAAGAUACAAAACAAAACAGACCUAAUGGGCAAUUAGUUUCUGAUGAACCACUCAAAAGACAUUGAAAGAGUUGCUUCCUUCAACACAAGUGCACAGUUAUAUGUAUAUACUCACCACGACAAAUAACUUGAGCACAAGAAUAGAAAAGGCUCUGGCACGUACCAAUUAUGCGGAGAUUUUACGCUGGUCAUGGAUUUGCCGCAUGAAGGAUAGCCCGUGGUGGACAUUCAUCACUUGAAGUUGAAAUUUACAUGAAUGACGUAUCGCAUCUUUAUCUGAUUUACAUUGUACACAAUGUACUCAUUAUAUAGCAAUGUACCCUGCAAAAGAUAAACAAUCCAAAUUUGUUCACUAUUUGCAAAUAUUAGAAUAAUGGGACAUAAUAAUUAUACAGAAAAAAACAUUGGGGAUUACAUAAUAAUAAAGUUAUGAUCAGGGACUAAAUUUGUAGUUAAGCCAGUUUAUUAGCAUUAAUGGAAUACAUUGACAAGCCGCUUUACCUUAGCAAACCUGUCCUCCUUUGGCAUUCCCUGGGGAACAACCACACCAUCUUCAAGGGUCACAGACUCCGACGUAUCUGGUGCUGUUUUACCUACUCCUUUUGUACUGCGACAGAAGAAUAAUGUAUAUUCAGCUUAGAAGAUAUGAAGAGAGCUCAACACCAAUGUGUUGUGGAAACACGACCAAGCAAUGUAGAUUUCCUAUAGUUAGACAGCAUAAUAAUCAUUUUUCCCUUCUCAAGAAGAGGAGAAAUGUAGAAAAGGUCCAUGAAUUUUUGACUUAUUGUGGUUUGAUCCCUAAAACUUUUUAAGGAUUGCCCAAAAAUCUCCCCUAACUUUCUUCUUUGAAAUGGCACCCUGGGUUUCGUUUUCAGACCGAAAUAGUGCUAGCCUAAGGGAUGAUAGCACAUCCUACAUGGCAGUGAUCAUGUUAAAUAACCAUUGUAUUCUCCUUUGCUCUAAACAGACUCACCAAGAAAAGGCAACAAAAAUGUUAGGUAGAUUAGUUAUUGUGAAGUUUGGACUUUUGGAUGGAGGAACAAGGCAAUGCCGACAAACAUAUUUAAGUGAAAAAGAAACAGAUCGACUUGCAAUAGGUCCAAAUUUCUAGCACUGAUCAUAAAAAUUGUCCCUCUUAGAAAUGAAUAGUGAUGAAGUGUAAGAACUACUGAUUUGUUUGGAGUACUUUGGAGUGCUUUCUUAUUUUUGGAGUACUUUCUUAUUUCAAACAUCAAUAGUUUCGUAGAAAUAAGAAAGUACUCCAAAAAUAUCCAUCGGAACUCUCAUUUCAUGAUAAUUUAGCAUGUAUGCAAGCCAUCGAUGUCCAUAAAUUUAGAAAAUCCACGAGAAGAAAAGAAGUGAUUGUUGAAACAAAAUCAGGUAAAGAACGGACCUCAGUUUUCCUUUUGGCAGUUUAUCAGCAUUGUAAUCAGAAAAUAAUAGCUCAUUCAUAUCACCUAAUGCAACCUGCAAAAAGAAAUUUGAAUAAAAAUAAAAAUCAGGGCAGGCAUGUCCAGUAUAUAGUAAAACAUGUAAUCAAUGCUAGGAACAACCUCACAAAGAAGCAGCACUCCAGCCGUAGAUGCGUGUGAUGCAUAGCAAUAAUUUGCACUCUUGGAGAACAUAUCGGCAAAGUAAACUCCUUUCCCAAACAUGUAACCAGUAACUGGUGCUUCCGGAGGAGCGAUCCGUAAUCCUGUUUAUAGAACAAACCUUUUUAAAUGACCUUCUUACUUGAUUUGUUUCUAGUCAUAGUUUCACAAGUAUUGACUAAAUGAGACAUUUUGACCUGAAAACACAUGCUCAUCACAGGUUGGCAGUGAACAAAAUAAACUUAAAAAAGAAUGUUCAUAUAUUAGAGAAAUUUACAUAAAUAUACCUUGGAAUAAAGCCUGUUCCCGUAUAGAGACUAGCAUAAUCUGAACUUUCACAUAUGACCUUUGAAAACUUAAUUUGUUACACGAUGUUCUUGAAGACACAUGUAACAAAACCAACUUUUCUCCACAUGAAUUCAAUUAGAUAAGGGCAUCUUUGUAAGAAACUGCACAAUGAGGAGUAUAUACAAAUAUGUGGACUUUUACUGGGGUAUAUAUGUAACACAGAUGAGUCAAAGAGAUAUAUAUGUAAAAGCUCUGAUAAAGUUUAUCAGUCAAGUUUAAAGGAAAUGACAAUUAGCAAGAAAACAAGGAUAACCUUGAGAAAGAAUCCCAGUCCAGUUAGAAAGGCGAGAACCAUGCCAUAGAAGCAUCCGAUUUUUUGUAUCAGAAAACUGCACAGAAGCAAGAGAUACAAUCAAAAAGGAAAUUAAAACUAAAUCUAAAAAACAUUUUAAGUUGAAUAAGAAACCGAAAAGGAAAAAAAAAAAAAAAAAAAAAAAAAAAGAUCUUCACCUUUUUGAAGUGCUCCAAUUCACCAUCCCUGGAAGCUUUAAAUAUCUGUACUAUAUCAACUGUGUAAUUUGAGUGUGUCUUGCCAUGUGUAUUUGCAAUAUACUUCUUUAUCUGGUCAAUAGAUAAAGAUUCAGUCAACUGAGGUUGAAAGGCCAGUAACAUAUAUGAUAUAUUCUGAAUUAGUACAUAAAACUUUCCAAGAAAGUACUACCAGGUUACUAAGAAGAAUCCCACAAAAUUUACAGAAAAGAGUAGAAAACUGUAUGCCUCUCAUUUUCGUUCCAAGAGUAUCUAAAAUAAUUAUACUUUACAAGUGAUAGGACAUAUAUGGCUAACAAAAUGUCUAUAAUAUGGUUUUGCAGUUGUUAGAACUAUAAUUCCAAUUGCUUUAUUCUUUCAUACAUCAAAUCUGUCAUAGAAUUUAUGAUAGGUAGUAACUUAGUUAUUAUCUAUCACUCAAGUAGUCUCAAGAAACUAUGAUAAACAUCAUAAAACAAAAAUGCAACAGAUACUCAAACAUAUAGACAUAUUACCAUAGAAUAUUCAUCUGAAUCGGCUUCCACUGGUACCAAUUCACAAUGAAGCUGCUUAUAGCGGGAAUACAAAGGGUCAUCCUACAUUAUGGCAACAUAACAAAGUUAUUUUUUGUACUGGGGAGGCCCUCAGUUUUAGUGAGAUAAGUGCAAUACAUCCAGAUCAAUAGAAGAUCCGGUCAAGCAAUAUAUGUCAGCAAUAAUAUUAGAAGACAACAUACCUGCAUUUCUUCAUCCUCCUCCAAAAGUUUGGUUGCAAUCUCUAUCUCUCCUAGAGCUUGAACCUUCAUUGAAAAGCCAUCAAAUAAGCCAUUAGAUGGCUCACGGAUCAAAUUCAAUGACAUGUAAGAUUGAAUGUGAUGGUGAAGAAAGCAAACUUCUAAUAUAGCAAAUGUAACAUAGAUUGUCUACCAUCACUAGAGAUUGGCCAAAAUUACCAAGUUGCCUGAUAAUUCAAUAGAAAUGCUAUGCGCACCUAGGAUGUGCCCAGAAUGUUCUCUACAAAUCAGCUUUAAACAGAUGGCAACAAAUGAAAAGUUAAGCAUUUGUUCUAGUUUCAUAUGUGGUAGCUAACAUGGACAUCAAUUUUGACCAGGUACGUCAAUCAUUAGAUGGCAUGCGUAUAAAGCUGGUUCAUCAACAACACUAUAUACAUCUUUAUGUACCACUGGAACUUCUUUAAAAAAUAGCAAAACAAUACACGUUCAUUAGAUCUGAACUUCUCGAUUAAGAAGCAUAAAGAUGAUCUGAACUUUUCUAUUAAGAAGCAUAAAGAUGAUUCCAACCAUGGAACGGUAAUAUAGACAGCAAAAUCAGCAGAAUAACUAAGAGAUAGUAUUAAUUACUUUCAAGGUCUGAUCUACCAGUAUUCAUAAAGCACAAACACUUUCAAUUCACAUAAGGCUUCGCAGUUAAGAAAUUGACAACUUGUCGACCAUUCAAAUUUAGAUAAAAUUACCCAUAUGUAGUGUUACCAAGAGACAAACUAUUACCAUUUCGAGCUUGCUUUUCAACUUUUGAGGAGUGUCAAUGACAAAGUCACCUGCCAAGAUAUCAAUAGUUACAACUCAAAUCCCAGUACAGAAAGUCAACAUACCUAUAAGUCCAUUUGAUUGAAUGUUACAUAAGUUAGAAAUUUGAACUUACGCAUCUUUCUAAAACCAAAGUCAUGAGGAAUCACUGUGUAGAACUCCCUGAAAUUAUAUGCAAAAAAAGAGGUGGUAAAACAUUACAUGAUAUUCAUAAGAAAGCGCUAAUAAAAGUUCACAUUAAGAAAAGAAAACAAUAAACAAAUAUGAGUAAUGUAUAUGGGAAUGAUUAAGGUUAGAAUGUCGAAAUGAAAAAUGGUCAGAAAGAUAAAUAUGCUCCCUGUAGCACAAAUGAGUAUAUAACAUGAUAAAUCAUCUCUAAAAGAUCAAAUCUAUGAAAGGAAAAUAGAAAAACUUAUAUGCUACUAAAUUACUGCAAGUGCAACAAAUUACUGCAAGUGCAACAGAGAGAGGAAUAUCAGAACAGAUCUAGAUACAACAGUUAGAAAAUACUUCUUUAUGUCCACAGAGGACAAUAUCCUAGAAAGAGAGAGAGAGAGAGAGAGAGAGAGAGAGAGAGAGAGAGAGAUUAAGCAUAACAAAUCACCCUAUUUUCUGAAUGGUUCUCAUUAUAUAUAGUGCAGUAGGAAGAGAGAGAAGUCGAUUUGGCUGACUUGGGCAAUUUGAGAAUAUAACAAAAAAGUGGCAACUUUACAGCUUAGAAACCAACCAAGAAUUUAAUUAUUCUGUUACAACAAAUUCUCGCGAGACAUAACAAGGCCAAUAACAACAAAUUUUCAGGAAGGCCAAUAACAACAAGUUUUUCAGGAAGCCUGUCUGUUCCGAAAGGAACAAAAAAAAAAGAAUCUUCAUAUCUUCAUACACAAAAUAUAGAAAAAUAAGCGAACGAAACUUCAUUGUUUAUAUGAAAUAUUAAGUCGAAAAACAUUACUCAACUUGUAUCCCGCCAUUUUCCUCUUAAAUACAUCUUCACAGAAUGGCACUAUUAUGAAUGUAACUAAAUGCAUUCAUCAAGGCUAUUCAAGGACUCACCCACUUAAUUGUUCAAGUUUCUUCCUGUCAUUUGUUGAAAUCACAUCAGAUAUCCUCCUUAAGGCAUCGUAGCCCUGCAAAAUGAUUGAUCACAUUAUCCUCACAAAAUCACAUAAUAUCUAAGAUAACCAAAAUAGAUUUAUCUAUAUACAUAGCCCAUGCAAAUUAUCAUCCAUACAUCCCCUUGAAAAAUCUGAAUUUUCAUAUAUGCCCUUCAGAAUCUGCCUCCCUCGAGUGUUAUAUAUGAAAAUUUGGAUUUUACAGGGAUCAAACAUGCACAAAUAGAUGACCUUUUUUUCUUGACAUUUUGUAGAUUUAUGUUACAUUGCAUGUCCAGCAAGAAAUCAAAACUAAACAUACGGUCAAUUAUAAGAACAAUCUCACACAUGAAAUAAAAAUAAAAAAAAAAAAAGAAUGCUGCAUAGAUGUGAAAAAGGGGAUGAGCAUCUAAGUCUUCAAAAGCAUAAAAAUGCAAACAAGUUACAAUUGAAAUCAUAAUGUUUGUGAAAAUAUAGUUAAAACUUGUAUGAGAUGAAGUUUAAACAGCAUAUUGAAUCGUUACUUUGUUAUCCAGUUGGUUAUCUGCCAUCUUCAUAACCAACAUGUGAUGAACUAAACAUCAAGUUUUAAUGUCUCAAGUAAAUCUUAAUCCUCACCUUCAAUAUUGUAGAUUUGCUAAGUUUACCAAGUGGUAGCUUUUCAGCAUUAUAUCCUGGAAGGAGAAAAAGAAAAGUAAAUCACUAAUUCCUGCCAAAAAAAGGGGGAAAGGAAAACUACUUCACAAAGUAAAAGAAUUUAAACAAUUUUGUAAUAUAUGUUGAAUUAUGAAAAAUUGAGAUCAAAUUGCAUAUUCAAAUGUAGCUGAAGUUGGUGAAUCGACUCCGAAGUUCACACAUUGAAAUCAUGAAAAAGGCUUAUCAUAAAGUCCGCAAAUUUUAAGUUUGUGAACUUUCCCACAUAGACAACCUACAAAAACAAAUGCACUUUGCAACAUAGAGGUAGGGUGGCAAAUUGUGAUCCCACCUGGUUAACGGACCUAAAGUAACCAACUGCAGAGAUGAAUCUCAUCAGGAAAACUGGUUCUAGAUAUUUCCCCCGACAAAAUCCCAGUCCAUGUCUGACCCAGGUCCUAAAAUUUGGAAAAACCGGGUCAUCAAACCCAGAUUUCUUGUAAUAGUUUUAAAUAGAUACAUAUUUCAAUAGUUUAUUUGAAAAAUGAUAUCUCUAUAUAAGAAUACGGUUUUGUUUCCAAAUGUAUAAAUUUUGUGUUCAUAUUUCGAUCUUGUACAAACAUUCCCUUUUUGAAUAUGUUAAACAUCCGGUUAAACUAGGUCAUGCCCUGGUAUGCAAUUUAAUCAAGGUCCAGGUUUUGGACACUUAUGUAUGUUUGAAAUCUAUCUCCUGGUAGAGCGUCUCCUGGUAGAGCGUGGACACAAUGCAUAAUUAGUAAUUUCCUGACCCGGCUUUGACCCAGACCCUGCUUCUUGACACCCCAACACAGAGCUGUAUGUUGUUUAUCUAGUAAAAUGGUCUUCAAAUUGUACCAGUUUAUUGUAAGAUGAAAAACCAAGAACAAUUCUUCCCAAAUUUUACCGGAACUUCAUAUAAGCAACAUGCUGGGAAUGAUAACUCACUGUUGUGUAAACAUACAUGUAUGUCAAGGGGGAAAAAAGAAUAAAUCAAUUACCUAUCUCCAUCAUUUGCUGCUUCAUCAUCCCGACAUUGCAUAUGAGGGAUAUAAAGCUUGCAAUUCUGGAAUCAAGUUUUGUUUCUUGUGGUUGAGCACUGAUGGACGCCUGAGCCUUAUUGUCUUUGGCCUAGUACCAACUAAGACAGUUUAAUCACUAAGAAAUAAAAGACAUGAUUAUUUCAAAAGAAUCGUAAAAAGAGGAAAUCACUCAAGGAAUUUGAGAGCGAAAUAUAACUGUUUCCUUCUCGGCCUCACUGUAAUCCAUUUCCAGCCAAGUAUAGAGCUUUGGGUAAUAUAUGAAAUUUUUGCGGUUAGACCAAUGAUUUUUUGUCUUGUCGAAGAACUUGCCCUCAAAUUCAUAGAUUGCUCGUUCUCGCGUUCCGAAGGGGCCGUGUAGCUUAUCUUGACCACGCACUCCAACUCUGCCCCAUCUAUUGUAAACCAUGUAUGUCCGACCAUCAUCAGAUUCUGCAAAAUUAUUACCAUGUAAAUUUUCAACUACUGUGAAAUAUAAAAGUAGUGCAAAAGAAAACUUCUUCAAGUAACAUAGAAAAAUUUGAUAAUUUCUCAAUUUGCGCUGGAGAUUUCGAACAUUUCAGGUUAAAUUAUCAAAGGACUAGGCAUUAUCACAUCGUAAAAAACAUUUUGCAGGAAAAAAAAAAAAGGCAAGGAAUAAAGAAAUGAAAGGAGAUCUAGAGCUUAAUCUUUAUAAUAUCUGGUUCUCGUCAAAUAAUUGAUUGAAUAGAAAGAAGCAACAACUGUGAAAAAAGAGAUAACAAAUUGGUUCAUUGCAAAACUAACUGAAGUUCUUUUAAAUGCUAAGAAGAAUUAGCAACAGGAGUGAACCUGUGCGGCAGAAAGAACACUGAUGAUAAGAGGAAAGACAUGGCAAGAAAUUUGAAGUGAUCAGAUGUGAAAUCUACUAUAAUUUGUAACACUGAUAUGUUAACUUGCAUUUUCUCUGAAGAGUGAAGAGAAUGCAAAAAGUGAGCUCAAAGGAACACACCUAAAGCUUGGAUAACAUAAAACUUGUUAUUAUUGUCCCCAACGUUCGUCUGGUUCAAAGUGGCAUCAUAAAUUUCCUCUCCCUGCAACAAAUUUAGAACGUUCAUGCAUCAACCGGCUUAUGCUACACAAGCAAUCAAAUAUAUUGUAGCUUUCCAAAAUUGUCUCUGUCAAGAAUAAUGGCGAAGGACAAAUUCAGAAAAGCUCCAUCAGUUAACAGUGGGAAAUAAAUGUUGAAAAUUUUUUAAUCAGUAUAAUUUCUUAUUUAUCACAAUAAAAGGAUGUACUUUUAAAAUGACAUCAUGAAUUAUAGUUGCAUCAACACUCAUCUGUAAGUAAACAAGAAAAUUGGAAUUAAAGCACAAUGCUCCUAACUGUAAAUAAUAAAACAAACAGUUAACAGAGAAAAGCUGUUUGUUACCCAAUGUAAACAAAGUCUAAACAUAGUUAACAAGGAAAUGAGCCUUGAAAUCAAUUUUGUGUUAAAAUUCCAAGAUCAAAGUCAUGUAUUUUGCCAUUUUGCAACAUAUAAACUGAAAAAAAAACACACUUCAACGCAAUUAAAGAAGGUGCUUAAAUAGCUAAGAUAUGAAACAAGCUGAAAUUUAUAUACCAACUGCAAAACAUGAAAGGAGGACUUCAUAUGAUCCGGGAGGUGCUGAUCCAACACUGCGGCGCCCUUCUUGGUUGCCGUCACCAACUUCUCCUUCUUGGGCUCCUCUGCUUCCCCACCAUUUAAUAAUCAAAAAAAUCAAAUAAAAUAUGCAAAACCGUUUUUUUAAAAAAAAAAAAACAGAGCCCAAUAAACAACAAUGAUCAACAUAACAGAAAAUUACAGAAUCAACCUCUGCACUUCAAUCUGUGUUUCACUUAUGCUCCCACAUUUCUAGCUGCUUUAAUUUCAAAUCUGUGUUUUAGUUGCCGCAAUUAGGUGCAAAGAAACUAUAGUAAUUGUUUGAUUCAAAUGCAAAACAUUACAAAAAUGAGUUAGUGCAUGAUUUUAGUAAUACUUGUCCCUUCGGAAAAGAAUCGCAUACGCAUAGAUUAAAUAAUUUGUUCAACGAAAUGCCAAUUUAGGCGGCCCUAGUACAAAGGAAGAUCUCUUUUUUCGGCUCGAUCUAUUACUUAGACUGCAAGCUAAAAGAUGUUUGAAUACAGAACGUGCAGUGCAUGCAACUCAUUUUUCUAAAGUUUUGCAUCCGAUUUAAUGGUUAUCGCAAAUGCGGGAUCUAAAUGAAACAAGAUGCACCAAUAUAAAAGGUUAAAAAUGAGUGGAGACCCUCUGAACUGUAGGCCAUUCUUAAUGGCCUCCUUCAUUUUAAUCGAUUGAUAUCCUUUACUUUUGAUUGUUUUUAUUUGAAUGAUUUUAUUCAUAUAGAUUGCAAAUUUCACUAAAUUCUACAAUGAUUCUGUUACUUUUAACAUCCGUAAUCACCUAUUAGCAAAUAAAGUAGCAAGAAUUAGCAACUAGUAGCUAAAAAAACUGUCAAAGUUAACAAAAUUCUCAACCAAACUAACUAAAUGACUCGAAAAUAAUUAGAAGUUGAAGAGGUGCGGAGUAAGAAAUUGGGGAACACCAUGAUACGAACCUGCAUCUCCUUUUCUCUCAUCCUUGUCCUCAGCAGAAGAAGAAGAAGAAGAACAUAGCCUCUCUGCAAGCUCCCUCUUCGACCCGUUCGCGGGUACUCCCCGCGCCUUCGCCAUUUCCCUCAACUCCCUAAUACCCAUCUCUAGAAGCUUCUCCACAUCGCCGAUCACCCCAUUCCUAUCUCCAUCCCCUUCCCCGUCCACGUCCCCGUCCCCCGCUAACUCGUCCCGCUUCCUCUUCUUCCCAGCAUUUGCAGCGGCACCGUCACUCACCGCUGCCGCCGCCGCCUCCGCUUUCUUCUCCUUGCGGAGCGCCGACUCGAGGCGCCGCACCUGAGAAAGAAGCAGGAAAGAGGGGAACGGGGUUAGGGUUUUCGAUCAUAGAGAGAGAGAGAGAGAGAGAGAGAGAAAGUGGGGAUUUACGAGGGUGGGUUUGGUUCCGGAAGUGUCGAGGCCGCGGCGAGAGAGCUCGGCGCGGAGCUCGUCGACCUUGAGCUUGGAAGACGACAUUAAUGGCAAUUGGGUAGUAUGAGAGAGAAAGAGAGAGAGAGAGAGAGAGAGAGAGACGACGACGAGGAAAAUGGCGGGGGAAAGGGAAGAGGUUUUAUAAUGUACGGAGAGAGAGGGAGGGAGCGGAGUUUUGGUUCCUUCUCUGAGAAAAAAAGGUGCUUCCAAUGGAAGGAGCAAGUGGUUUAGAGAGAGAAAGAGAGAAUGCGUUCCAUAGACCUGGUAUAUGCUAUGAAGCAGAGUACAAUUUUUCUCCUGUUUUCAUCUUUGUAAUCACCCAAACUACCUCGGAGAUGAUUGUUACCAGAGGUUUUGUCAGAAUCUACUAAAAGCACGCGGAAGUCGAGGAGUCAAGUCAGAAGUAAUAAAUGUAGGCUCUUAAGAGCUCGUUGUCUUUCAUUUUGACUAAUAAUUUUGCGUCACUUUGAAUCUUUCUAUUUGCUCUCUUGGUCUGCGAAUUACCACUAUAUACUUGUGGUUUACACCCUCUCGGAAUAAAUCAGUUGUAGCUCUCUAUUCUUAAGUAAAAUAAUAUUAUUUUUCUGAAAACAAUCUCUUGCACUUAGUCGUAGGAUGAAUAGGUUCAGGCUAGCAUAGAAAGAGCAAGUUUGCUCACUUCGCAAAGAAAGGUGAUCGCCGCACGAAAUUAACAAACGAUUUUGCUGAGUCCAUGACAUAUAAACCUGAUCUCUAUCGUAAACUGGGUACUUGAUAUAAAUUUAAUACAAAACAAUGCGCUCAAGAAUUGAUCCUGCAUCUCAUUAGCUACACGGUUAACAUGCACUACACAUAGAAACAAUUCGUGGAGUUAAUUCCACCAUAAUAUGUGAACGGCGUAUCGACCGUCCCUAAAGCAAGUGGCAAAGGGCUUAGUGAUUGAUACCCGAGACCCAAGUUCGAAUCCUAAUUGAUUCACAUUUCUUGCUAAGUUUAUUUCUAAAUGAAAUAAACGAAGUGGGUAACCGUGCUACCUAUCUCUCAAAAAAAAAAAUUUAUGUGAACGGCGUAAAUUUAUUCUACUACUAAUGAGCGGUAAAAUAAAUUUUUAAUAUUAACAUUUUACGAACCAAAUAAUGGUAUAGUUGUCUCUCCUUAUGUUUAUAGGACUAUCAUAAAUAAGCUAUUUAUGUUUAUAGAUUAUACUUUUUUUGGAAUUGAUUUUAAUUUUAGAGCAUUAGUAUUAAAUAUUGGAGUGCAUGUAUACACCCAGAGUAGGCAAUAAUAGCCGUUCAUAUUUUGCUGGGGCAGAUGUUAUUGUGUAAGUAGGGCUGGCAAAUGAGCGAGCCGGCUCGCGUUCGACUCGAUAUUUGUCUCGCUCGAGCUCGACUCGAAAUUAAAUGAGUCGAGCUUGAUAAAAAAAAAAAAGCUCGAAAUUCAUUUCAAACCGAGCUUGAGUAUUACUCGGCUCGUUCGAAUUAGGCUCGAAAAACUCAAAAAGCUCGAAUAUAUAUAUAUAUAUAUAUUAGAGCUACUACGCUAUUAAAAGUAUAGAAGAUCCGGUGCUUUCGAUUUUUUUAUUCUUAGAUCAACCCUUUUAAUUAUUUUUUAUCUUUGGAUUAAUACUAUUAUUAUCUUGUAGGGACCACUCAAUUAUAGAAAUAUUAUUUAAUCCUAGGGGGAACUGCAAUCAUCUCAACCAUACAAUUCUUCAUCAAAGGGUCAAAAAUUCGAAAACAUCAAAUCCUCUAUAUUUUCGAUAUCAUAGUAGUUCUACACUAUAUAUAUAUAUAUAUAUAGAGUUGGACUGGGCUACUAUUAGUAGCAAAAUUCUAUUGUUGCUACCAGUUUUUUAGCCUUUGGAUCAACUCUUUUCAUCAUUUUUAACCAUUGGAUUAAAUACUAUAACCCAGUGGGGACCACUCAACCCUAGGGGGACCACUCAACUCUAACUGACUAAUAUCAUCCUAACCCUACAACUUUUCAUCCAAGGGUUAAAAACUUGAUAGCAAAAAGAGGGUUUUACUAUUAAUAGUAUUCCAGUCUAAUUCUAUAUAUAUAUAAUACAUAUAAAUAUAUACUAAUAUAAUAUAUAUAUAUAUAUAUAUAGUUAUUAAAAAAUAUAUAAAUAUAUUAUAUUUAAUUCAUAUAGUUCUAUUAAACUAAUCUGAUUUAGAUUAGAAAAGGACAAAUAUUGUUGGCCAAUAAAACAACCAAUAACAAAUAAAAAUGCAAAAUUUACUAAGUUUAAACCAUUUUUCCUUUCUUCUUUUUCACAGAGGCCUAAUUUCAAUAGUUUAUCUUUUUCUUUUUCUUCUCCUACCCUAAGUGCCGCAAGCGCGACAGCCCUCCAAUUACCCAGUACACAAUAUACCUCAGCCGUUCCCUACCUUACUAUUACAUUAUAUGUUUAGAAAAUAUACAUAAUAUUUUUAAAGUAAAAAAUUAUUAUUUAUAUAAAAUUUUAAUUUUAGUUAUAUAUGAUUAGAUAGUUUAAUCCAAUAUUUAUCUAUAUAAUUUAUUUAUUUUUGAUUGCAUAAAUAAAAAUGAAUAAUAUGAAGAUUGAAGGCGAAAGAAAAGACAUGUGAGGCGGAAAAGAUUAGAUAUUCAACUCAUAAAUUUUUUUUUUUCAUAUUAUAAUACUAUAUUUCAUAUAAUUAUUUUGUAUUUUGAACUAUUUGACAUAUUUUUGUAUCAAAUUAUAAAUAAUAUUUUAUACAAAUUAAACUAUUGAUUGUAUGAUACUGAGAAUUUCAAGCGGCUCGUUUAGGGCUCGAGCUCGCUCGACUCGAAAUUAGGCUCGCUCGAGCUCGGCUUGAAUUAGUUUCAAUCCAAGCUUGAGCUUAAAUUUAGACUCGAAAUUAAUUUCAAGCCGAAUUUGAGCCGAGAUAAGCUCGCUCGAGCUCGGCUCGUUUCCACUCCUAUGUGUAAGUAGUUCCUCAAUUUUUGUUAAAAUUUUACUUUAAAUUUUAAACUUUUAAGUUUGCGGAUGCUGUUGACUUACAAUAAUUUAGUAGUGUAUUUUGGAAAAAUGAAUUAGAUUUAUUUACACUUGAUUUAUUCAUUUAUUAUUGUAUAAUAAGUUUUAAUAUUACAUUUUUUUUCAAUCACCCACACAGCAUNNNNNNNNNNNNNNNNNNNNNNNNNUAUUAUUUAUUAAUAAUUAAUUAUUAAUUCUUAUUCUUAAUAAUUAGAUAAUGGAUAUUAUUAUUAAUUUAUUAUUUAUAAUUAAAUAAUAAUUAUUAUUAUUAUUUAUUAAUAAAUAUUAAUAUUAAUUAUUAUUAAUAAUCAGAUAAUCAAUAUUAUUAUUAAUUUAUUAUUUAUAAUUAAUUAAUAAGAAUAAUUAAUAAUUAUUAUUAUUUAUUAAUAAUUAAUGAUAAUUAUUAUUAUUAUUAAUUAGUUCAUCCAUAUUGUUAAUUUGUUAUUUAUAAUUAAUUAUUAAUAAUAAUUAUUAUUUAUAAUUAAUUAUUAAUAAUUAAUUUCUUAUUUAUUUUUAAGUAAUAUUUUUAUUUAUAUUAAUUACAUAAUAUAAUUUUAAUUUCAAAUUAUAACUCUUAUUCCUCUUGUUCCAAUCUAACCAUCCAAACACUAUUUGCCUUAUUCCUAGGAACAACCCAAUUUUCAUCCAAACGCAAAAUUGGUCUAGUUCCUGCUUAUACCUGAACUUGUACCUAUCCCUAGAACUAGCAGUUCUUACUUAUACCCGAACCAAACGCAGCCGUAGUACUUUACUGAGCACCAUUAUUAUUUUGUCAUUAUUUUAUACAUAAUUUGCAUGAGAUAAUUGAAUAACUUACUAAGAUAUCUAUUAUAAUCUUAAAAAUGGUAAAAACAUAUAAAAAUAUUUUUUCCCUCAAAUUAGCUAAAGAUGUGAAAUAGAUUCCCUACUAUUUAUUAAUCAACUACUUUUUUCCUAUCAUUUCUAAGUAUAAUGUGUACUAUCCCUGGUUUUUGGGUUGCCCAUGGAUCUAAGCAUCUGAGACUUGCCGACAUAUCUGGAGAGUGUCAGGACAGGUCGGAGUCGUUUUAGCGCGAAAUGGACGCAAAACGGACUCAGUGCGACGCGAGAGCAGAGUUUUGGCAUUGGAAUCUGUAAAGUGUAGGUUUUUAGUAUUGAGUACCGGUACCAUGCAGGAGAGUACCGGUACCCCAGUGUAAAUCCUGGACAUCAUGCUCUCAGGUUGCGCCAAUUGAUGCUGAAUACCGGUACAGCAUCGAGCUGGUACCGGUACCGAGCUUGCGGGCUGAGGGGCCGAGUACCGGUAACCAAAUCGAGUACUGGUACUCCAGCUGUAAUUUUGAAUUGGUGAGGGGCCUUUUGGUCAUUUGAAAUGACAUUAAUCCCCUAUAUUUUCCCCACCUCUUUAUCUACGUAUAGAGAGACAGAGAAGGAGGUUUUUGGACUGCUGCUCUUUCUCUCUAGUUCUUGAUCGUGUUCGAGGUGGAGGUCGCGACUCGAGCUCGUGAGUUUAUCACUGUUGCGCCGGAGGGUCGUUCGAGCGUGUGUGCAUCGCGGUUGUGCCGUUGGAGGCCAGACGAGUGCGUGAUUUUCCUCUCCUUUCGACUUCUCACCGUAGUUGGAUUAGCGUUUCAAGGUGGGUUGAAGUUUACCGAAAUCGCUAGAAUACUUCCUGAGUUCUUAUAUCGCCGACAUGAUUCAUUUGGUUAUUUUCUUGCUAGUACUCGAAUUCAUGGAUUAAAGAUAAAAUCUGAACUUUGAGUUAAACUAGUAGUAUAAUUUUACAUCUUAGACGUGGAAUUGACUUAGGAGAAAACAUAUAGAUCCUACACCGUCAUUUCUGAAAAUUACCAGAUUUAGCUUUAGAAACUGUGGUUCUUUUGUAUCGUCACUGUUAGUAUGCGAUGGAUACCCAGAUUAGUGUAGGAUGAGUUUACACUCGUAAUGGGAUGUCGAGCUUAUUUUACAGUAGUGUGUAGACUAUUUCGAACUGUCAGAUGCCGUAGCGGUUGACGGUGGACCCAAAUUUUUGUAUUUGCACCAGAUUGUGCCAAGGGUACGUGAGCUUUGGUUGUUAGACCAGUUAGACCCAUUUACUUUGAUUAUAGCCUGUGAGAGCCUGAUUGAGUUCGGCAGAGACACGCUUGCAUACUCGGUUGGGUAGCGCCCACGAGUGCCACUCCGGAGUCGGGUUUAGUGUGCUUGCGUUGAUGUCGUAGUGUCAUGGUUGGACUUGCUCUCCACCGACAAUCCAGCGUGGUAGUGGUUUGUGUAGCUUCGACAGGCGGGAUGGGUAUGUUCACAGUCCCUAGUGAGUUUGGGUCAGAGAUUGCAUCUUGCUUAUAUUUACAGAUAGCUAGUGUUGGUUAGCGAUAGUAUAGUGGCAUAUAGCUGUAGAGUUUUACCAGCUUCCUUUACUAUUCUUGAGCAUAUUUUCUGUGGACUUAACGGGUGAGCCGUUAAGGUCGGUAGCGGUACCCACUGAGGACUACUCCUUUUUGCAGUAGUUCUCACACCCAGUUGUUGAUCUCCUUUUGCAGAGCCUUUUUCUGUAGCUGCUGCUGUCGCCGAUUCUGAUCGUGGAAAGGGAGUCGCGUGCUAGAUCCCUUCACUGAUUGUAGUACUAGAGGAGUACCAUCUACAGGUAGUUUUCGGAUAUUUUGGUUCAUGUACAUACUUAUGCUGGUUUACUCGCUGGAGCGAGGGAUGUUUGUAUUUUGGAGCCUUUAUAUGUAUAGUAAACCUGAUGUUUAUUUAUAUGCUAUUUUCAGUUUAGCAGCUCGUUAUCUUUUGGUUGUAGCUUGAUUUGUUUAUAGGUACAGCUAUCGCUUCGUAUAUCGAAAAAACUUUCAUAUAUACGGCUAGUCUGUUGGCGUGUCCGGAAAAACGUGUAAUCCGGGAGGUGAUAAUAAUGUGUAUAUAUCGACAGUUAUUUAGUAAUUCAACACAAUAUAGAACUUGGACGAAACAGUUACAAUGUAAAAUUAAUUACUGUAAUUUUAAAUUCGAAAGUAUAAAAUAAAUAUUUUUAAAUAAUAGGUGGAUAAACUACAAAAAAUAAUAUUUUUUUGAUGAAACAGUUACGUUGCAUUUUUCUGCACUUUUGCCUACAAUUUUAGUAGAACUAUCUAACUUUUUAGACAAAAUAAAGACUGCAUAUCGCAAAAUUGUAGGAUCAAAAUAUGGAUUGGAUUGACUAUUGAUUUAAGUUAUUAACCCUCGGACUUGAAAAGUAUUGAGUUAGGAUGUCAAUGGGUCGGAUUCGGAGUAGAUUUUUAAAAAUCCGAAUCCAAACCUGACUCCAAACCAGAAAUCCGAAUUCAAAUCCAAACCCGGCGGAUUUUAAAAAUCCAUAUCCAAACUUAAAACAUAAAUUUAAAUAUAACGUUAAUUUUUUAUAUACAUAUUAUAAAUAAUGUAAAAUAAAUUCGGGUUUGGGUCGGAUUCGAGUUCGGAUCAGGUACAGUCCAAAUUUAUAUUCGAAUUCAUAUUCGUCUGGUUUUUAUUUUUAAUAUUCAUAUCCGAAACCAUAUCCGUUUAGUAUUGAAUAAAUCUAUUCGGUUCAGAUUUGAAUUUGGUAAAAUUUUGGGUACCCGUAUCCAUUAAUUGAGGGCUAAAGUGUCGCUAACGCUUGCGAGCAAUAUUACACUUUAACUGGUGUGGUUCAUGAUGACGUGGUAGACUUGGUUCAUCUAAAAUAAAAGUUUUUCUUACACCGUCGUGACUAGCACGUUCCGCAAUGUUAGGCGGGACUCGGCACCGCGGUUCAAAAUUUCUUCGUUAGACUAAAUUGCAUUUUGGCCCUCAACUUUAAGCCUUGUGAGAUUCUUGUCCUCAAAAUUUAAUUUUUUGUGAUUUGUAAGCUUAUUUAUUUUAAAUUAUUAUAGUCGAGUCCAUCAUCAUCAUUGAGGUCUUGGUAAUAGCGUUAUAACUAAUAACACGAAUAUUUCUAAGAUGUCACUACCCCAUCAGUAUCUAAUCAACAAAAUCGGACAUAAUUGCAAUAAUUUAAAGGGAAAACUUUAAAAACCUCCUUGUGGUUUCGUAGUUUCUUACUUUAGUAUCCUGUGGUUUAUAGUGUAUCAAUUUCCCCCCCUGUGGUUUUAUUUUUAUCUUUUCGAUAGCUUUUUUGUUAAUAUUUCAUUAAAUUAUAUACAAAAAACUUUAGAUACCUAUCUAAAUUUAUCAAAUAUUCACUUUAGUACUCUUUAAUUUUAACUUUGUCAUUGAUUUAAGAAAAAAAAUGAUGAAAUUGAUAAGAAAAAGAGAAAAAAGAAACCACAGGGGAGCAAAUUGAUAUAUUUUAAACCACAGGGAGGCAAAGUGAGAAACUACGAAACCACUGGUGGGUUUUUUGAAGUUUUCCCUAAUUUAAAAUGUAAAAUAAAAAUUAUUAAAAAAAUUAAAUCUUUAGGGCCAGAGUGUCAUCCUCAUUAAAAUUUGAGGACAAAAGUGCAAUUUGACCUAUGAUGGAGUAAUCACUGAUUCGUUUGACUUUUUUAUGAGAAAGUCUUGUGCACGAUUGUUUCAAGGAGACAUUGCAAUUUUUUUUUUUCAAUGUAUAGUGACCCACUAAGCUAUAUAUAUUUUUUUCAGUUAAAAUCCUCUCAACUUUUAAUUUUUAAAUAGUGGAAGGGGUUAUUUCACAAUAACCAAUAAUUGAGGAGGUUCUCCAUACAUUGACCUUUUCAUUCCUAGAGAAAAGCUUUAUAUAUAUAUAUAAGCAAAAUUUUUAAACCUUGAUGUAUUACUAGUUUAGGGGCCUCGCGUGAUGCGACGGGAAGACAAUACAACAGUAAAUUAUUAUAACUAUUAAUAUUAUUUUUUUUUCUAUUAUGCAUUAAUAUUUUUAAAUAUUAUUUAUCACAGUAUUGAAUAAUUAAAAAUUAAAAAUAAAUAAAAGAAUGAAAUUAAAGUAUAUUUCUUUCUAAAAAUAUUUAAACCUAAUAAGUAAAAUAAAUAAAUCACUUUAAAAUAAAAUAAAAGCUUAUUACAGUAUUGAGAAAGAUACCCGGAGAGACUUCUAAAAGGUUGUCAAUUAGUAUAUAUAUAAAUAAAAAAAAGUCAUCGCCAGAAUUAUGCACGCCAUGUAAAAUGACAAAGAGAUCUUCACGAAAAAUAUAGUUGCACGAUUCAAUUAACCCAAUCUAGUUUAAUAGGGUAAAUUACUCUUUUGGUCCUCAAACUAUGAGUUGCGUUUACAUCUUAGUCUUUGAAAUUUAAUUUGUUGCAAAUUCUCGCUCGAACUAUGAGGCGCGUGACACUUUAAUUCUCAAACUUUAAGUAAUUGCAAAAUCUGGCUUGAACUAUAAAAGAUGCGACACUUUAGUUCUCAAACUUUCUGAAUUGUAGCAAUAUUCUAUUUGAUAAUGCAACAAUAAUUAAAAUGCUAUAUUACUUGGACAUAAGUAAUUCAUCAAUAGUUAUCUAAAAAAAUUGAGUUGUGGUAUUUGAUUGCUAUAAUUUAGAAAGUUCGAAGGUUAAAGUAUUAUAUACAUCAUAUUUCAAGCCGAAAAUUGAAACUAAUUAAAGUUUGAGAAUUAAAGUAUCACGCAUCUCAGAAUUUGAGUCAGUAAAUAUAACAAAUUAAAGUUCAAGAACUAAAUUGCCAUGUGGCUUAUAGUUUGAGUACCAAAAGUGUAAUUUAUCCUAUUUUAAUAUUUUAAAUUCAAAGUUCUUCACUUCAACAAAAAUACAAAAAAAAAAGUCUUCCAAUUUUCAGGUUCCAUGUGGAAUGAGUUAUAGAUAAAGUUACGUGUGGUGAGAUAUUAUGCUUGUUUUCAUAUGUAUGUAAAUUUUUUUACUCCUAUCGCAAUAAAUCAAUUUAGAUAUAGUUUGCAUGGUUCAAAAAAAAGAAAAUCAAGAAAUAUAUUUUCAUUUGGGGCAAUUUCAUCACUACCCCUCUCAAAUAUGUAAAUAUAGUAGAUACCCCUGCAAAGUUGAUAAUAUCAUAUAUACCCCUUCAAAUGCAAAAAAAUUUCACAAUUACCCUUUCUUCUAACGGCUGUUACUAUAACCAUGGUUAAAGUUUGGUUAAAUAAAGGUUGAAUUACACAAUGACUAAUUUAGCCCUAAAAAGAUUAGGUGUUAUUUUGAUAGCAAAUAAUUAAGGGGCAAUUUCAUCAGUACCCUUCUAAAUUUUAAAAAUAACAUCUCUAGCACUAAUUAUUAGUGCGUAAAAAAUAAAAAAAUCCCUCACCUAUAGAUCAUUUUGAACUAAACCCCUUUAAGUUUUAUUCUUUAACAUUAAGAGACCUUGAACUAUUAGUUUUUCUUUAUUUUGACUUUACUUAGUUAAAAGUUUUUUAAUUGAGAUUCCUCACAUGAAUUUGAUAAAAUUUUUAAUUUUGUUGGGAAAAACACUCAAUUGCUAAAAUUAAAAAAAAAAAAACACUUAGGUUGAGAGGAUAUAUAUAGAGAGAGUUUUGUUAUAAUACUAUCGGUAGUACAGCUUGAUUUACUACGAUUUGUUUUCAAUGAUAGAACUUUCAAAUUGACAAUCGGCACCAUUAAAAAUGAUAUAAACCAUUUAAACUAUCUGAAAAUUAAAUUUCACGCUUUUCCGAGUUAGGAUCAUGUCGAAGUGGACUAUAGAUGAGAGGGUUUUCAUAAAAUUUUACUUUAUUGUUAACAAUAAAUUUUCAAUUAAAAAAUUUUUGUUUGAGCAGAUCAUAUAAGUAAUACUCUAAUAUCGAGAAUUUUGAUAUCAAAAUAUUUUUAGCAUGAGAUAUGUGAGUUAUUUAAAUGAAAUUUUUAAAAAUAAAUCUUUAAAUAGUUAAUGUUGAAUUCUACUAUGGACAAAUUGCAUUAUAACUAUGUAUAAUUUAAAAGCGAAAAAUCAUAAUGAGAUUUAAGAUUUAACUAUUACACUUAAUAGACUAUAGAUCUUUAAUUGAAAUAUUUUAAAAAUAAUGUUAAAUUAUUAUGUGAUUCAAAUGUUAAAAAUUGAUCAGAUAAUUAAUCUUAAAUAUUACAUAUUUAAAAUGUUGCUAGGGGUAAAAUUGGUAUUUAUAAAAUAUUGGAUGACCACUCGACGGAAAGUUAACCUAAAGGGUAUUUGUGAACAUUUUUGGUUUUAAGUGGGGUAUUGAUGAUAUUUUUUAGUUCAGAGGGUUAUUCAUGAAAUUAGGAUUUUUCAGAGGGGUAUUGAUGAAAUUAUCCCUUUUCAUUUAGCUUUGCCCCAAAUUUAAUUUGUCCAGUAGCAUUAAAUGAGCCCUCAAUCCCAAAUAUGUCUUUAGUAAGCUCAAAAGUUGCAAUUGGAACUGACUUUAAUGGAUUGUUUAAAAUAUACAAUAUUCUUGAAUUUUUAUAUUGUAGUGUAUUGGAUCUUGACAAAUUAGCAAGAUUGCAGUGUAAGAAAUUAGUCGGCACCUCUAGGGAGUGCUGGACUGAGUUGAAGCCGUGUUGGCACGAAAUUGACAUAAAAACGAACUUCAGAGGAGUGAAACUACCUCACUGUGUGUUUCACCAAUUGUGGAUUUGGGCACCUAAUUAUGGUGAUUCGGGCUAGGUAUUUUGGACCUUAGUUGUGGACGCCCUGUGUUGAGGGUGCAUUCAGUAAUUUGGCUCAUCUUCUGGGCACCCGAAUGUUAUUGUAGCAGUUCGAAAAUGAGUUGGUGAGUGAUAUGACAAGCAUUGUGAAGCAGGUUAGUCAGCAGGUGACUCAGCAUGAUUCGGAUGCCCGAAAGUGGUUCCGGGCGCUCGAAACCUAGCGUUUUGGCUGAGGGCUUUAUAUUUGAUGCUUGAGGUUGUUUUUCUCCUUUUUUUCACUUUUCUUCACUUCCACAGCCAGAGAGAGGGAAGGGAGAAAGAGAGAAUUAACUCCAGUGAUGAUUAAGGACCUCCACGUGUGAUUACUUCUCCACGUGAUUUUCGAGGAGUUCGUCCUUGGCUAGUUUUGUAAGAGUUGGCACAGUGAUUCCUUUUCCUUCUUCUUUCUUGGGACAACACUUACAAGUAGGUUUCUGAUUGCCGAAAUCGGCAGACUAACUCUUAUUUUCUAUUUUGCAUUGGUAGUAUACGGGAUGCUUUAUUGAUAUAGUUCAGAUGUUAGUAUUGUGCUAAAUUCAUAUCUUAUGAAUUGAGAUAUUGGCAACCUGAUUGUACUGCCCAUAAUUAUUCUAUAUUUCUAUUAAGAUUGGUAGAGGCAUAUGUGUAGUAGAGCUAUCACAGAUUAUUCUGUAUAUUGAGAGUUGAUUAGACAGUGAGACUUUAUCUAGUAGCACCGUGAGAAAUUACUUGUUGAAUUGGUCAUUGAUAAAUUCUUGUAUUCCUACUAUUUAAGAUUAUAGUAUAUUUAAAAUAUGCAUUGUUAUGUAUAAGCCAUGGGGCUAUUGACUACUGUAGACAGUAACAUUGAGAUUAUGCCAUGGUGCUAUUUGACAGUAGUAGUUAGAUAUGUGGUGAGAGUGUCAGGACAACAGAACAAUACUAUUGUGAUCUUUUUAAUUAUUGCAUAUGACUAUACAGAUCUAUAUUGAGCUUAACAGAGAAAGUGACAUUGAUAUAUGUUAUGAUACUUAGUUGGGAUAGCACCUGCAAGUGCCACUCCGGGGGUUGGACAAAGCGGUUGGCAUGAGCUAGACAAAUAGUUGGAUAGUUGAUUAUGUUUAGGGGUGUAAUGUGGGGUCGUGCUCAUUCGGGCUAGGGGCCGGCCCGACCCGGCCAGAUUUCAAAUUCGGGCCAGGCCAUGCCGGGCCGGAGCUACCAACUCUUUGGCCCAGCACGGCCCUUCCGCUCAGAAUGCUCGGACCGUGCUUCGGGCCGACCCCUAAAGGAUUUUAUUUUUUUAUUUUUUUAAAAAAAUAUAUAUAAUUUAAAAAUAAACAAAUAUUUUUUUAUUUAAAAAUUUUAAAUUUAUAAAAAUAAUUAUAGUAUAACAAAUAUUUAAAUUUUUAAAAAAUAGAUAUAUAAUUUUUUAUUUAUUUUUUGAAAAAAAAAUUUGGAGAGUGUUUUUGGUCCAAUGGACCAAAAACCUCCUCCCAAGGUCUGCCACAACAGACCUUAGGAGGAGAUCUCCUUGGAAUAAGGGCCAAGGCCUUUCUCACCAGGAGAUCCAACCCCAAGGCCCAAGGCAAUAGGUUCGGGCCGUGCUGGCCCGGUUGGCAUGACCUAAGCGGGUCGUGCCGUGCCAGGCCACGGGCCCCUCUUCGGCCCGGCAUGGACCAGGCCCGUAUCGUGCCGUGCCGGGCCGGGCCGGGCCGUCGGGCCUAAGAAGAUUGGCCUAGCAUGGCCCAUAGAGCUGGGCCGCCCCGGCCCGACAUAAUGCUACAGUAGCCGUGCUGGGCCAUGGCCCGGCCCGCAGUCGUGCCAGCCUGUUUUACACCCUCACUUAUGUUUAGUAAGGCUUAUAACAUACGAGACGGUGCAGGCUACACAAGACGGUCAGUAGUUCUCACGCCCUCUUUUUAUUAUUUUUUCUAUUUAGAGUUUUCAGUGCUUACUUCUGACCGAGGUAAGAGGAUAGCAAGUUAGAUAGCGUCUCCUACACGUGUACCUGAGUUAGAGGACCCGAGCUAGAGUUGUACAUAGCACACUAUACAUUUUGAGAUUGGUUGUGCUAGAGAAGUUCUAUGUAUUAUGUAAUUUUUGGAUGUUUGGUUGUUGGAUGUAUAUGUAGAGUGUAGUUAUAUUUCUAUAAUUAUUUUACAGACUGUGAUACUUGUGAUUGUCACGGAAACCGAUUCCACAGUGGAAGCCCAUAGGGACAUCAAUAGACCAGCUGAACUGAUGGAGUUUUCCCUGUUCGAACGAAGGGUCAACAAAACAGAACAGUAACAAAACAAUUCUAAACCCAAAAUCAACAACGAAACAAUUUCUAGAGUUUGCAACUAACAUCCAACAUGUAUCGAAGCACUAUAAAUAACAAUAAAAUUGCUAUACAUUACUGUACAUGAAACCACAACUCCAAGAUAUAAAUAUACAAAUAAAAAGCCCUAGUCUCGCCAGUCCUGAUGUACAGUACAUAAUCCAAAAAUUAUCUAGCUGGGGACUUCUCUAUAGCUCAUAGACACGGGUAGAAGUUGCUAUUUGUGGCGCGAUCUCCUCACUUCGAACAACCACCGGCUCAGAAGACUCUAAAAAGUAAACCACAAGAGGGCGUGAGAAUUACAAAACUAUAGUUCCCAAUGGGUACAGUCGGCGACAACCAUGGCCUGCCCACUAUAUCUACUAGAGACAAGAUAGAGAAUAACCGAAUAAAAUAAAUAGUACCUAAACUAUCCACCAACAAUAACUAUCACGCCUCUAUACAGACACCAUACAAAGUAAUAACCAUGUCAUGCAUCAGCUAAAGUACUAAUAAGAAAUACAAGAUAUCACCCACUCAUACACAUGCAACCUAAUCAACACACUAUAAACCAAUCAUAAACUAAUCGACUUGACAGUCUGAUCAAAUCUGUGCAUGCCUAUUGCAAGGACUACACCCCUACAGGUGCAUCCAUCAACACAUAGGUUAUGCCUCCAGCCUGGAUGCCACUCCCGAAGGUGGUCUGUUUUUCCAAAAGCAAAUAUCUCUGCCAAAUCACAAGCCAGCGCUUUAGAGUAGUAGUCGAAGGAGAGCAACCCCUAUUGAGUAUUAUAGCAUAUUUCUAUUCAGCUCAUUAUAGCUCUGCAGGUUAUAAUCUAUGCAAUGAUCAAAAAGAUCACAAGUAAUCAUUCUAGUGCCCUUGGCACAAUCAUUGUAGUGUCCCGGGGGUUUUGUAUCGGAUUGGCUAUAGUGUAGCGACUGGUCGACACAUCUGGAGAGUGUCGGACUGAGUCGGAGUCGUUUUUGCACAAAAUGGAUGCAGAAACGAACUUGGCGGACUCAAAUAAGCAAAAUUGAAGUUUUGCCAGUUUCUGGCGCCCAGAACAUGGUUUGGGUCGCCCAAAUCUUGAGUGCUGAACUGAACUGGAACUGAAAGCCAAUUCGGACCCUAUUUUCGGGCGCCCGGAAGUGGGCCCGAAUGUUUACCUUGUGAUUAACGUUUGCUUUGACAUGUGUAAGGUGGUAGGUGGGGUACACCGGACCACGUUAAGGGCACAUCACACCAUGGGUGGAGGAACCAAAGAAGGAGUUUUGUAUUGCCUGGGCGUUUCGGACACCCAGUUGUGAAUUUCGGGCGCCCGAAAGUGCAGAUUUCUGUAGGGAUAACAAGUUUGUAUUUCUUGUUCUUAGGGCUUAUUGUACUCUUCCACCUCUCUAUAAAAGCAUGUGGUCGACCCCCUGAGAUGGUUUUUCACCCUCCUUCAUAGUGAAGCCUGGAUUUUGCAUCAAAGUCCCUCUAAACUCUCUAAAUUGCAUAAUUCCACCUUUAGGACCGCACUUUCAGCAAAAUUCUAGCAGCGACCUUCGGCGUUUUGGCUCGUGUGCGACGUAGGAGGAUCCGAUUGCUGCGAAACUUGAUUUGGUGGUUAGUAGACUUCUUGGAGAUUUCGUGAAGCUAAUUUGACAACAAUUGAUUGAGGUUAGUAUGGUCAAAUUGAUGUUUUUCUGAGCUGCUGGUGUACUUAGGCUGAAAUUAGAAUUUUAUGAUUUUCUUGGAUCAAAUCUUUGGAGGAAGCUGGGAUUCAGACCAGAGGAUGUUGCUCCAUCAUUCUCUACUAGUUUUGGGACUUUACUUUUCUUCACCUGAAUUGUGGAUUGGAAGGUGAGUUUGACAUUAAGGUUUUGGAGGAAUUAGGCUUAAGUGUUGAAUUUGAGAGUAUUGAUGGAAACUUUGAUGUUCUUGUGUUAGAUCCUUAGGGAAGGUUGUUGCUGGUUCAAGGUUGAUCUUGGCAGAGCUUCUCCUAGCGACUUCCUGCCUUGUCGGACUCGCGCUAGAGGUGGGUUGAAGUUUACCGAAUUUUUCGGAUUUCCUCCUAAGCCUAGAUGUUGUCAGCAUGCGUUUUUAGCUUCAUAUAUCAUGUUAGUAGCUCGAUUCGUAGAUUUGCAUUAUUUUUAAAUAAAAUCUGAAUUGGAGCUUUAUAUGCUAGUUUUAUUAUACAUGUUGGACUUGGAAUUGACUUAGGAGAAAACUAUAGAUUCUACACUGUCAUUUUCUGAAAACUAUCAGAUUUAGUUUUAGGAGUUGUAGUUUGGGUUGUAUCGCCACAGUUUGUAGGCGAUGGAUAUUCAGAAUAGUGUAGAAUAAAAUUACGCUUGUACUGGGAUGCCGAGUUUAUUUUUACAGUAAUGUAUAGACUGUUUCGGACUGUCGGGUGCCGUUGUCGUUGACGAUGGACUCAGGUUGCUGUUUUUGCAUCAUAUUGUGCCGAGGGCAUGUAGCUUAUGGUUGUUAGACCAGUUAGACCCUUCUGUUUUUACUAUAGCCUGUGAGAGCCUGAUUGAGCUCGGCAGAGAUACUCUUGCAUACUCGGUUCGGUAGCGCCCAUGAGUGCCACUCCGAAGUCGGGCUUUGUGCUUUUGCAUUGUUGUCGUUGUGUCCUAUUUGGACUCGCUCUCCACUGACGAUGCAACGUGGUAGUAGUUAGUGUAGCUUAGACAGGCGGAACGGGUGUGUUCACAGUCCCUAGUGAGAAUAGGUCAGAGAUAGCAUUUUUCUACGGAUAGUAGUAUUGGAUCGUUAUAGCAUAGUGGCAUAUAGCUGUAGAAUUGUUCCAGCUUUCUUUACUAUCCUUGAGCGUACUUCUGUAGACUUAGUGGGUGAGCCGUUGAGGUUGGUAGUGGUACCCACUGAGGACUACUUCUUUUUGCAGUAGUUCUCACACCCAGUUGUUUGCCUCUUUUUGUAAAGCCUUUUUCUACGGCUGCUGCUACUGUUGAUCUUGAUCGUGGAAAGGGAGUCGCGAGUUAGAUCGCUUUCAGUGUUGCUGCUGAUCUAGAGGAGUACCAACUUCAGGUAGUGUUGGUUUUUGGUUUUUGUACAUAUUGAUAUUAGAUCCUCGCAGGAGCGAGUGCUUUUGUAUCUGGAGACUAUGUAUGCAUAGUGACCAAUGUUAUUUAUAUAAUUUUAGUUUUAUUAGCAGCUCUAUACUACUGGUUGUAGUUUCGUAUGUUUACAGGUACAGGUACAGCUAUCGCUUCGUAUAGAAAAUUUUUUUUUGUAUACGGCAGAUUUGUCGGCGUGCCCGAAAAAACGAGUAAUCUAGGGCGUGACAGAUUAAGUUGGUAUUAGAGCUUAGCAUUAGGUCUUUGGGACCUAAGAACCUUAAGCUUGGCAAUCCUUAGGAAGGCAAGACGUGAGAGGCGUGAUUUAUCGCGAAAGUCAGCGAUUGAUUUGUUCUAACUCCUCCUAAAGUGAAGUGAGUGACUGAAGGAGUGUCUAUUUCGACCAGAAAAAUUAUGUUGGUUGCAGACGACAUAAUUUUGAGGAGAAACAGGGGGCGGCCUUCUAGACUUUCGCUUGAUUGGGUCAAGAGUGUUUGUGUUUUGUAUCUAACCCUUGUUUUGUUUUCAGGUAGCUAUGGACCGACAUCGAGGUAGACUGCCGACCCGAGAUCGUGCCGCACCACCUUAGAUGCUGGAGCAGGCAGGGCCAAGUGCACUCCCGGAUCUGAGAGAGUAGUUAGCUGCCCUGACUGAGGUGACGAGGCAGUAGGGGCGUUGUUACAGAGUAUGUGCAAGGCAUUAGCUCUCCACAGAGCGCAGCACCGAGAGUACCCGAGCAAUCAACUUCACCCCCGACUAUUUUUGAGGCCGCACCAGGCGCACCUGUACCCCCACCAGUGACAAUUCCCACGGCGCUAGUUACAUCUUCUGGAGAUGCGUCACAGAUGUCUGAGGCUGAGCAGGAGCGGAUGACUGAGAGGCUUGCUCGUUUCCGCCGUUUUGAUCCGCCGACCUUCGACGGCAACUGCACGGAGCUCUCGGUUGUAGAGGACUAGGUGAGCGCGAUGGAGAAACUAUUUGAGGACCUGUUUAUACUAGAGAGAGAGCAGGUACACUUGGGAGUACACUGCUUGGCUCGCGAUGCGCAUUCUUGGUGGAGGAGGAUGAGGCGAGACCGAGGGCUGGUAGCAUUGCAGAUAAAGUGGGAUGAGUUCUGUGGAAUACUAUAUAAGGCGUAUUUCCCAAACAGGGUGAAGCAGAAGCUCGAAGAGGACUUGAAGAAGCUUCAGCAGGGAGAGCGAUCAGUUCAGGAGUACAUUCGUGAGUUUACUCGGCUUCUGAACUGUGUUUCAUUUGUAGCUAGAGAUGAGGCACACCGGGUGUAUCUGUACGAGGGAGGCUUGAGGCCAGAGAUUUUUCGGUUGGUAUAGGCGCAGAGGUUGAGGACCUUGGAUGCGUCGAUUGAGCAGUCUUUAUGGGUGGAGAGAGGUGAUGUAUCGAAUCAUGAGCGGACUCAGGUACAGGGGCAGAGUCAGGAUAGGAAGCGCCAGGUUCCAGAUGACGGAGGAUAGUCGAGCAGCAGGCGUCCGCCGAGACCUCCACGAUCACACUCGUAGGGUUGUGGGUCUUCGGGGCGUCAGCAUUCCAGAGGAUCUCGUCAGCAGGGACAGUUUAGGGGGACUCCGCAGUGUGUGAUUUAUGGGGGACCACACUGGCCCCGACAGUGGGAGCAAAGGGAGGGCCGCUGUUUUACUUGUGGUCAGCCUGGACAUAUGAGGGCAGCUUGUCCUCGAGCAGCAUCUCCAGCACCAUCGAUGGCGUCAGCACAGCCGGCACCUCAGCAGUCUUAUGGAGCAUCACCGAGUUACCACCAGGAUGAUAGAGCGUCUGUGCCGCGGCAGGGUGAGUGGCGACAGCAGGCUUCGAGUGGUAGAAUUUAUGCAGCCCAGGUGGAGGACUCUACAGCAGCCGACCGAGUGGUGGCAGGUAUCAUUUUGAUUUCUGGUAUUCGAGUUUGUACCUUAUUUGAUACCGGUGCAUAUUUGAUACCAGUGCAUCAUAUUUUUUUGUUAGCCGGGCAUUUGCAUCAUUGUAUGGUCUAGAGGUAGGGCCAUUGUUGCAUGCACGAGAGGUGCAGAUUUCCGAUCAUAUUUUACAGGUGGUAGAGUGUUGUUGGUUGUGUCUAGUGCAGUUGGACUCGUGGAUUAUGCCCGCAAACCUGUUGGUCUUAAGACAGUUGCAGGACUUUGACGGUGUGCUUGGCAUGGAUUGGUUGGCACGGUACUAUGCUACGAUCGACUGUGGAACGAGGACGAUGACGUUCCGCGAGUCAGGCCAUGAGGAGUUCAUUUAUAGAGGCUGCAGGAGUACGUUGUUUGCCACUUGGAUCUCGUCGGCGAGGCUCGACAGCUGAUGAGUAGAGGAUGCAUUGCUUUUCUGGCGUCGGUUGUGGAGGUGCCUACGGCGCCGCCAGGACUCAAGGAUAUCCCUAUCGUCUGCGAGUUUCCGGAUAUUUUUUUCCUGAAGUUGACGACGAUGCCGCCGGAUAGAGAGAUCGAGUUUGUGAUUGAUAUAGUUCCGGAAACUGCACCAAUCUCGAAGGCACCUUACUGGAUGGCACCGGCCGAGCUGAGAGAGCUAAAGGCGCAGCUUCAGGAUCUGAUGGAUAAGGGGUAUGUAAUACCCAGUGUAUCGCCUUGGGGAGCGUCGGUGUUAUUUGUGAAGAAGAAUGAUGGUUCACUUAGACUGUGCGUGGAUUAUCGGGAGCUGAAUAAAGUGACCAUCAAGAACAAGGACCUUUGCCGCGCAUUGAUGAUCUGUUUAAUCAGCUGUAAGGAUUUGUGUCUUUUCGAAGAUUGAUCUCCAGUCAGGUUACCACCAGUUGAGGGUGAGGGCCGAGGAUGUUCCCAAGACGGCUCUUCGGACUCGGUACGGGCAUUAUGAGUUUAUCGUGAUGCCUUUUCGAUUAACGAAUGCCCCUGCCGCAUUUAUGGAUUUGAUGAAUCGAGUGUUCAAACCCUUCUUGGAUAGAUUUGUAAUGGUUUUCAUUGAUGAUAUCUUGAUAUACUCCCAGAGUGAUGCCGAGCAUGAGGAGCACCUGAGGAUUGUGCUACAACUUCUCAGAGAGAAGAAGUUGUAUGCUAAGUUGAAGAAGUGCGAGUUCUGGCUUCGGGAGGUUUCAUUCUUGGGCCAUGUGAUAUCUGCAGUUGGAGUAGCGGUGGAUCCGAAGAAAAUUGAUGCUAUUCGGGAUUGGCCCAGACCGAUGACGGUUACCGAGGUGAGGAGUUUCCUUAGAUUGGCAGAUUACUACCGUCGGUUUGUGGAAGGUUUUGCGAAGCUUUCCACACCCCUCACUCGAUUGACUCAAAAGGGAAUUAAGUUUAUCUGGAGUGAGGAUUGUCAGAGGAGCUUCGAUGAGUUGAGAUAGAGAUUGAUGUCGGCUCCCAUCCUUGCCCUUCCAGUGAUGGGGGAAGGAUUUGUGAUUUACAGUGACGCAUCGCACAGUGGUUUGGGUUGUGUACUGAUGCAGCAUAGUAGGGUAAUUGCUUAUGCUUCCCGGCAAUUGAAGGAUUACGAGAAGAAUUAUCCUACGCAUGACUUGGAGUUUGCUGCGGUGAUUUUUGCUUUGAAGCUGUGGCGGUACUAUUUGUAUGGCGAGCACUGUGAGGUUUUCACUGAUUAUAAAAGUCUCAAGUAUCUGUUCACUCAAAAGGAGUUGAAACUAAGGCAACACCGAUUGUUGGAGUUGUUGAAGGACUAUGAUAUUAGUAUUCAGUAUCACCCCGGCAAGGCGAAUGUGGUGGCCAGAUGCGUUGAGCAGGAAGUCAGUGCAGAGCUUGAGCAUGCUGAUUACUCAGCAGAGGCCGUUACUUGAGGAGCUGCAACGGUUGAGACUCGAGGUAGUGUCCCCUGGGUCUACUGCAAGAUUGAUAUCUAUUGUUUUGCAGCCCACUCUGUUGGACAGGAUCAGGAAGAAAUAGAGUGGAGACUCUCAUUUGUUGAGAAUUCGAGAGCAGAUGGAGAGGGGACAUGUAGAGGGUUUUGUUGUGGACAGUUCGGAAGUACUGCGGUACAUGGACCGACGGUGCAUGCCUAUGGAUUCAGAGAUCCGAGAGGAGAUUUUGAGAAAGACUCACUACUCACCUUAUACGAUUCACCCUGGUGGAACCAAGAUGUAUAAGAAUUUGAAGACACACUUCUAGUGGAAUGGAAUGAAACGAGACAUUGGCAGAUUUGUGGCUCAGUGUUUGACUUGUCAACAGGUAAAGGCAGAGCAUCAAGUACCUGCUGGCAAGCUUCAGAGUCUGCCAGUGCCUAAAUGGAAAUGGGAGCAGAUCACGAUGGACUUUGUCGUGGGAUUACCGAGAGCACGGGGUGGUUUCGAUGCUAUUUGGGUGAUAGUGGACAGACUGACUAAGUCUGCUCACUUCCUACCAGUAUAGACCAUCUGGUCCAAGGAGAGGCUCGCUCAGUUAUUUCUGGAUGAGAUUGUUAGGUUGCAUGGUGUGUCUGCUUCGAUAGUAUCAGACAAAGACCCGAGGUUUGUUUUGCACUUUUGGAGGAGUCUCCAGACAGCCUAGGGGUACACAGUUGCAUUUCAGCACAUCAUUUCACCCACAAACGGAUGGUUAGUAAGAGAGGACCAUUCAGACUCUGGAGGACAUACUGAGGGCAUGUGUCCUAGACUUUGGAGAAGGUGGCAUCGACAUUUGAGACUUGCUGAGUUUGCGUACAACAAUAGCUAUCAAACGAGCAUUCAGAUGGCUUCGUUUGAAGCGUUGUAUGGACGCAGGUGUCGAUCCCCGUUGCAUUGGAGUGAUGUGGGUGAAAGGAAGACUUUGGGGCCUAAGAUUCUGAUUGAAGCUGAGGAAAAAGUUAAAGCUGUACGCUUAUUCACCCCCCUCUAGGUGUUAUUUACCUUUUAGAUCCUCGGGAUCCAUAUCUUACAAGGAAAAGGUUAAAGCUGUACGACGACAUCUUUUGACAGCCCAGAGUCGACAGAGGAGUUACGCCAAUACGAGGAGACGAGACUUAGAGUUUCAGGUUGGAGAUCAUGUGUUUCUGAAAGUCUCACCGUCCAGAGGGAAACGCAGAUUCGGAGUGUGUGGAAAGCUCAGUCCAACUUUGUUGGCUCUUUUGAUGUAUUGGAGCUAAUUGGACCGGUUGCUUACAGGAUUGCUCUACCCCCACGACUGGCCGGUAUUAAUGAUGUUUUUCAUGUCUCGGUAUUGAGGAGAUACGAGUUCGAUCCCUCCCACGUGAUUGACUUCACUCCACUAGAGCUUGGCGAGGACUUGAGAUAUGAGGAGCGACCGGUGCGAAUUCUAGCUCGUGAAACGAAAGAAUUGCGCAACCGGGUUAUUCCUUAUGUAAAAGUGCAGUAGAGUGAUCACGAGGAGCGUGAGGCGACUUGGGAGCCGGAGACGGUGAUGCGGGAGUCCUACUCUUACUUAUUCGAUGCCUAGGAUUGAGGUAUGUAUUAAGUUUCGCGGACAAAACUUUUUGUAGUGGGGGAGAAUGUAGUGUCCCGGGGGUUUUGUAUCGGAUUGGCUACAGUAUUAGCGACUAGUCGAGACAUCUGGAGAGUGUCGAAUUGAGUUAGAGUCGUUUUUGCACAAAAUAGAUGCAGAAACGGACUUGGUGCACUCAAAUAAGCAAAACUGGAGUUUUGCCAGUUCGGGCGCCUAGAACAUGGUUUGGGUCGCCCAGGUCUUGAGUGCUGAACUGAACUGGAACUGGAAGCCAAUUCAGACCCUAUUUUCGGGUGCCCGGAAAUGGGCCCGAAUGUUCACCUGAUGUAGCUCUAAAUCAAAAUGAGCUACCAAAGCCAUAAUAAUUUUUUAUGAAUCCUUCUUUGAUACCGAAGAGAAGUUUUCAUGAUAAUCAAUGCAUUCUUUUUGAGUGAAACCUUUGGCAACAAGUCUGGCCUUAUAUUGUUCUAUAUUACCUAAGGAGUCUCUUUUGGUCUUGAAGACCCAUUUAUAGUCAAUGGAUUUGACUCCUUGUGGUAACUCAAUGAGAUCCCAAACUUUGUUAUCCGUCAUAGAUUUCGUCUCUUCCUUCAUAGCAUCAUACCAUAGAGAGAAUUUUUCUCUCUGCAUGGCCUCUAAAAACAUCCAUGGGUCUUUAUGGUGUCCGACAUCAAAGUCAGACUCCUAAAGAUAGACUACAUAAUCAUCAGGAAUCGCCGGUCUUCUUUGUCUUGAGGAUCUUCUUAAGCCAACCUCUUCUUACAGAUUUUCAUUAUUCUGUGCAACUGACUCUAUAAUUAUCUGUUCCUCUUGGGAUAGCUCUUCAUGGGGAGGUCAACUGGUUCAGCAUUUUCAUACUCCAAGAUUAGUUGAUCUUCACUAUGGUCAAAUUGAUCACCUGGAAGAGCAACUAGAUUAUUAUUUGUUGAUGGAUAACCAGUUGAAUCCCUUAUUUCCUCAAAAUCCAUCUUUUGAGGAGCAACACUCCCACUAGCUUCAGAAUCCUCAAGAAAUUUGGCAUUUCUGGCCUCAACUAUCUUGGAUGAGUUAUUUGGACAAUAAAAUCUGAAUCCUUUGGAGUUUACCGCAUAGCCAAUAAAAUAUACACUGAUUGUUCGAGAGUCCAACUUCUUUAUGUGUGGAUUAUAAAUCCUUACCUCAGCUGGACAUCCCUAUACAUGUAGGUGAUUUAAAUUAGGUUUCCACCCUUUCCAUAACUCAAAAAGAGUUUUGAAAAUAGCCUUCUAUGGAAUCCUAUUUAAAACAUACACCGCUGUCUUUAGUGCUUCACUCCAAAGAGAAGAUGGAAGACAAGAGCUGCUAAUCAUACUCCUUACCAUAUCCAUGAGUAUUCUAUUCCUCCUUUCGGCAAUGUCAUUUUGUUGGGGCGUGUGUAACAUACCGAAUUUCUAUAAUUAUGAAGUUAUAGUGUAUGUUAGUUUGGAAAGCCAUUAGGUUCCGGUGAAGUUCGGGAGCAUUCGGUUGUUUCGGUGCGCGUUCGGCGCGAAAACGAAACCCGAAAAGCUACGAUUGGAUCUUGGCCGAAAUCCGACAAGGCGUGGAUGAAAAGAUGGUUUGAACGCGCUCGAAAACAUGUUUUGGGAAUCUCGGUGCGAUUUGAGACGAAUCGGAGACUCACGGAGCUAAAACGAGCGAAAACGGACCAAAAUUGGCGAAAAGGCUGAAAUUUUGGUUAAGUUUGAAAAUGCUGAUUUUUUGGACCUACAGGGUCCGGACCCUGAGUGCAAGGUCCGGACCCUGAGCUCGAAAAAUGCCCAGUUUGAGCAGGGGCAAUCUUGUAAAUUGGUGGGAUUGCUUCUAGAAGAAGGGCUUUAACCCUUCUUCUUCCUUUCUCAACCCAAUCGCGCGCACACACACACACACACACACAUGAGCUAGAGAGAGGAGCUCCUCCUUCUCUCUAGAUUUCUCUUAGCUCUCCCUAGAAGUAGAGCAAGGAGAAGAAGAUGGCGGAGAAGGAGUCAAGAAGGUGGAUUUUCUUCCUCUUCAUCUUCUUCCUUCGCCCAAGAGCAAGCUUCUAGAGGUAAGCUUGAUGCUCUUUAAUGGCAAGUAACUAGGGUUUGAUUUAUAAACUCUAGAAUUGAUUUUAGAUGACUCCUAAGAUGCUAAAUAGUUGGAUGAUGCAUGAAUCUCGAGACUAAAUAAUGGAUUUUGCAAUUGUGGCAUCUAGGGCUCCAAAAUGUGGUUUUGAUAUAUAGAUAGGUUUGAUCUAAAUUGGACCCAUGCAAAUCUAAUUGCUAGGUAUUCUGACGCGUUGGCGAAGUCGGUUCGGCGAUUCGUCGAGCCUACGCGAAGAUAUUGAAAAAACGGACGAUUUGGCUUCGUUUCCGCCUGGAGGGCCGAGGCGACGUCCAAAAAUCACGAGAAUGGAUCCGGAGCAUCAAGGCAUCAAGUUAUAGACCUUAAAUUUUCGGAUUGUGGAUUGGUGGCCGUUUGGUAGUCGAGUGCGUGAUCCAGCCGAACCGGGCGGCGGGUGCCGUAGGGAGGUCGAUUGCAAGUGACUAGGAGCAAUCGGAACGCGAUAAUAGGUGGGUUGUGUUUACCGAAGCGACUAGGUCGCCUCCAUGUCAAAGUGGGGCUUGGAUUCGUGUUGAUGCAUAUAUAUGAGAUCAUGUUGGGAAAUAUAUGCAUGUUAGCAUCAUGAGGCAUUAAAGAAUUAUGCUACUUGACAAUUGCAUAUUGACAUAUUAAUGUAUAUGCUAGAUGAUGAUCGCAUGAUAACAUAGACUAGAAAUGCUAAAUGAAAUGCAUGAUUGCAUGUUAGUAUGUAUGCAUAGUGAAAUAAAUGCUAGGUGCAUUUUAGAGCUAUGAGAUCAUGCUAGAAAGAACAUACAUGUUGGCAUUGUAAGUAUGUGCAUGAGAAAAUGUAGCUAUAAACCUCGAUGUGGACAAUUAGGAUGUCGACUAGAUCGAGUGGCAUUGAACCUAGUGUUAUGUAACAUAGGUUGCAUUAACCUAGUGUCGUGAACCUAGGAUGAAUACGAGUGGCAUUAACCUAGUGUCGUGAACAUAGGUUCGAUACGAGUGGCAUUGAACCUAGUGUUAAUAAACAUAGGUUAAACAAGUGAACCUAGAGUCGAGAUUUAGAUAGAGAUGACAUAGAACCUAGCGGUUGAACCUAGGUUGUUGACUAUAGUGGUAGUAGCCACUAGGAUGUGCAUGGGUUGAACCUAGAUAGGUCGACAGUUUAGGGUUGUAGAUGACCCUUGUGAUGUGAAAUGAAUUCCGGAAUCCCUAGUGAUGUGGCCGCAGAAGAGGCGGUGGAAGCUUGCAGCAGAAUACAAGAGAUGGCAUUUAGAAUCAUAACUAUAGGUAUGUGUGGUUCUCCUCGCCCGGCAGUGAUUCAACGGGUAUGUGUGGUUCUCCUCGCCCGGAAUGCCAUGAGAAUAGUGAUCCAACGGGUAUGUGCGGUUCUCCUCGCCCGGUAUAACCUCGAAAUGGGUAUGUGUGGUUCUCCUCGCCCAUUUAGCUUAUUGAAUGAUGCCGCCGGGAUUGACUUGAGCCAUUGUUGGGUGGGGUGCGAUGCGUUCACCGCUAGAUGGCUAAGUCAAGAAGUACGGUGGGCUGUGACGGCAGCCAGGCUGAGAUGCAGCCAGUGCGCAGUAGUCCGCGGAUGAUUGACUCGAGGCCGAGUCGGGUCGAUAGCUUGAUUAAAGUAGUGGAAACCUUAAAGGCUAGUGAUAUACGGCAAGAUCUAAGGCAGUAGGGACCUUAGAUGUUAGUUGGUCUUGAGUUGUGGAACUAAAGUAGUAGAAACCUUAGAACUAGAUGAUAUGAGCCGUGAGUGGCAGGUUUGAAAGUAGGAUCAAUUGAUCUACUAGUUAAUUGCAUAAUUGCAUGAUUUUCAUACAGUAUGACAUUGUUGCAUUCGUGAGGCAAAAUCAUGUAAAUGUUAGUUGCAUAAUUAUGAUAUUAUAUCUAUUUGUUGAACUAACAUGUUGUUUGUCUUCUUUGGACCUGUUGGUCGAGCUUUUCCCUUGAGUGGCCGUACCUACUAGGAACCAUGGAGUUAGUUCUCACCCCACAUUGUUUCGGGGUGUUACAGGUUCGCACGUGAGCGGCGCGGCGGCGCGAGGCAAGGGUGUAACUCCGUAGAUAACGCCCUACCCCAGAGACUGGAGAUAGCAGUACCUCGAAUCGGCAUAGCCUAGGGGUAUAGGACAUGAAAAGAACAAUAUGUUUCAAACUUGUAAUAGAAAUUGUAAUAACUUAAAUUGUAUUUGGACAAAGCAAAUUUGUAAAACGAAAACUGAGAUGAAUGCUUGUGAUAGCAGUAGUUGUAUUUAUGUUUUUGAUACUUCCUUACGCAAUCUUUGCUUGAAUACAGUUCCUAGUUGGAAUCUCAUACAUUGUAUCGAUUGCGACGCCUAGGACGUAUAGGGGAAACUCUGUCCGUUCGGCGGUCUGUCGGUGUGCCCGAACCCGACCAAAUAGGCAGGGCACGGGGCGUGACAGCAUGCCAGGCAUCGUAUAUUGUGCAAUGAUGCCUUCACCUUCGAGGAAUUGAGCAAAUGGACCGGCCAUUUGAUCUUUAUCCGUAUGUCUUACAUAACUCACCCCUUCUCUCGGACCUUACAAUCUUGAUUUUCCUAUCCAAUUGUUUCUCUACCUCAAUCUUAUAAACUUUAAAAGUAUCAAGAGCCUCAGCUUUUUCAAAUAAGAGAUAGAGAUACAUAUAUCUUGAAUGGUCAUCAAUAAAUGAGAUAAAAUAUCUCUGACUAUUGAAACAAGCUCAGCUUUUUCAAAUAAGAGAUAGAGAUAUAUAUAUCUUGAAUGGUCAUCAAUAAAAUAUCUCUGACCAUUGAAACAAGGAGUAGGAAAAGGUCCACAGAUAUCUGUAUAUAUGACUCAAGAAUUUCAGAACUCCUUCUGGCACCUUUAGUGAUAUUUGUGUUAGUAUGCUUUCCCUUUAUGCAUUCCACACAAGUAUCAAAAUCGGUAAAGUUGAGAUCUUGUAAGAUUCUUUCUUUUAACAACAUCUUUAUUCUCUCUAAAGAGAUAUGAGCUAAACGCUUGUGCCAUAAAUAGGAGGAAUUUUCUUUAAUAAUGUUUCUUUUAACACCAAUGUCAUGAUUAACAUUAAAAUUAUUUUCAAAAGAUUAACUCAAAUUACAUUUGUACAAAUCAUCUACUAAACAACCAUUGCCAAUAAUAAUAUUAUCGAAGAACAUAGUAAAAGAUUCAUUUUCAAAUAAAAUUUUGAAAACUUUAUUUCUCAAUUUAGAAACAGAAACUAAAUUUCUAGAAAAUUAGGAAUAUAAAAAGCAUCCUCAAGUUUAAGUACAAAACCAGUACUAAAUUCUAAAAUAAACUUUCCUACGACUUCAACUUGAGGUUUAUUUCCUUCUCCGCUAAUUAAAUGUAAGGACUGAGAUUUUUGCAGUGUAGCUAAACUCUCAGUUGACGAUGUUUUUGUGUGUAAUUUAAUUACAAAAGCACUCGUCAAGUUUCGGGCGAAAACGAGUUAAAACGGAAAUUCUACGGGAUUUCCAAGUUUCACUUAAAGUGAAUAGUAACUCGAUUUUCCGGAGAAGCCACGGUGUGAACACUACAACAAAAGUACUUUUUAGUGGCGACAUUUUGGUGGCGACAGAGAAUGUCGCCACUAAUGUAAAUAAUAUGGUGACGACAUUUAUUUGUCGCCGCUAAUGCAUAGAAAAUGGUGGCGACAAUUAUUUGUCGCCGCCAAUGCAUAGAAAAUGGUGGCGACUUUUAUUUGUCGCCGCCAAUGUAUAUAAAAUGGUGGCGACAUUCAAGAGUCGCCACUGAAACGGAAUAUAUAGCGGCGACAGUUUGUCGCCGGUAAAAAAAUAGACUUUUAGUGGCGAUAUUUGUCGUCGCGAUAUAUCCUUAUGAAGCGCGCCAAAACUUCCCUCCCUUUUUUUCACCACUCACCAACCCAUCAUCUCUUCAAAAUGAUAAUUUUACCCUCACUUAUUUAAUGUCUAUUACAUAAGCUCUAGGGACUCUAUUGUCUUUUAACAUAUAAAAAGAAAUGUAAUGAAAUUACAGCUGUAUACACCAUCUAAUCUUUCUCUCUCAGCCUCAGUUGUUUACCCAUCUUCGUCGUCCCCUCCGCCUCCGCCAACUGUGGCUCCAGCACCCCUCAUCGUCUCGUCCUCCCCUGCGGGCGCCAACAGUUGCUUCGCCGUGGGCCGCCUCCCCUGCGGCUCCAGCACCCUUGCGGCAACCACAUCGUCGCCCUCCACGUCCGCAACCCCCUCGCCGCCUCCACCCUCCUCUACUCCCACGGCAACGCCGCCGACCUCGGCCAUAUGUACGACCUCUUCCUCGAGCUCAGCAUCCACCUCCGGCGUCAACGUCCUCGGGUAUGCCAACGAACCCCCCCACCCCACUACUUUAUCUCUUUCUUUAAUUCCCUCUUCUUCUUCUUCUUCUUCUUCUUCUUCUUCUUCUUCUUUUGUCCUGGGAUUUGGGGUUUCUUCUUCUUCUUCUUCUUCUUAAUUGGGCGGGCGGAAAUUUGCAAUCCUUUUGCUGCUUCAAUGAUUUCUGUUUUGUGCUAGAUUGGAGCUUUUUGUUUCUUUUUCAUUCCUAUUUUUUCAUUCAUAUUUUGAACCCUAGCUCUUUUUCGAUUGUGCUUCCUCAUGUGGCCACAGGACCUGCCUUCUAGCUAAACCCGCUGGUGGAACCGCCUUUGAGGUUGACCGCGGCCAGAAGCUCAUCUUCAAGGUGCGUGCUACAAACCCUAGAUCGCUCAUCCUUGAUAUCUUCUUGACGACGGUGAACUCUAAUCUCUUGCAACUGGGGAGCAGGAACAAGAGGAAGUAGAUCCUAAUUCUUGCUCUGUAGGUUUUAAAUUGAAUUGAUCCCUUACUUAUCUGGAAUCUCAAUAUCAUCAAGUCAUAGCACUGAAAGACUUUCUUGAAAUGCUUUGCUUUUCGACCCAGUUUUGGACCCAAAUUCACUAACUUAGGCCCCCAAAUUUGCAAUUUAGUUCUUUUUAUUAUAUUUAAAAGAAAGUUUUGUGUCGUUUUUUUUUUUUUUGUUCUGAAUUAGGUUGGAAUUCUACAAUAUCGAGGUCAGGAUUCUACUAUGUUCUGAUUUUGUUCUUUUUCCUAUUUUUGAUAGGUUUAAGUGAAUGCCUUUAUAUAAAGGCCUACUAGCUGGGUUUUCAUAAAGGAAAUCUUUUUCUAAUAACUGAUUGUUGUUUUAGAAGAAAACUCUUCUGCCUCUCGCAUCCGUCCUUGUGCUUAUUCGGUUUCCGACACACAGUGAGUGCUGCAUCGCGAAAUUUAAUCAAAUGGGUGUUUCUUGAUUUUCUUCAAUGUAAUUGGUGUUUGAACUGUAUAUUGCUUUGGAGCUGUUGCGAAAAAACUACUUUGGUGGAUUGGUGAUAGAAAGUUAGGGAUUGAACAGGAAAAGAAACAUGCUUCUUGUCACGUCAAUCCAGAGGCAAGCAGAGCAACAUGCUCCUCUACAUUUUAAUUUAUCAUCCCUUAAGUUCUAAGAAGUAGCAUUCCUGAUAGAUGAAACAUGUUUAUUUUUGGCAAAUGUUGCUUUUUAAGAAAGUAUUUUCCUUGAUUUUGAAACUCAAGAUUUUGAAAAUGAUGACCAAGAAAAAUUGACCAUGGCAGUAAAAUGAAAAAAAAGAUAUGAUUGUGAUAAUUUCCUGGUAGUGCAACGGAAUUUAUGAACUACCAUGAUUCAUUCAAAAUACUUCUAGAUAUCCUUCUAUGAUUUGUGAGGCUACCAUGUGAGAUAAAGAAUUGGUGAUGAGGUUUUAUGAUAACAACAAAUUUGAGGAUCAAAAUCAGAACUUAUGUUGAUGAUAGAAAUAUAUCUAAGUUCGCCUUAGAUUGCUUAUAUUGAUCAGCAUUAUUAGACACCCCGUUAAUUUUGAGGAUUAUACUUUUAGUAGUAUUAAAUAAAGAUAGGUUACUUCGAUAAUUGCUUUUAGACAGGUUUUAAUGAAGACUGAUGCCUUGUUUGGUUAAGCAUACAUAUUCCUUGUUUUUUUUUUACCUUUAAACCCAAAUUUUAUGCAAUUGGAUGCUAUGAGCUGAUGCAUUUGCAUGUUGCAAGCAAUAACAAGAAUAGAGAAGUCCUUCCCAAGGCGAAUUAAAUUGCAUAGAAUUUGAGAUUUACAAAAUAGAGAAAAAUGUCAGGGUAGCCAAAGGAAGCCUAAUGCCUCCAUUAUAAUGAUGUGGAGAGUUGCUCUUCUUAUUUAUCAUCAAUUUAUGCUCAGUAUCUCUGGAUAAGGAUAACUGUCGAACUUAGUAUAUUAUGACUGGCUGCUUCUAGGCAAACUUCCUUAUUGCCUUUAAAAAAAAAUUGCUUAUUAGAUGGAAUGGAUGUCUAACUUACAUUUCUCUGAGUGUUUUCUCUGGAAUUAAUGCUGCUAUCCACAUCCCUUGUUUAUCUCAAUUCCUAGUUUCAGUUUGAUUACCUCUAGUUAAAGUUCAAUUUUGAAGUGCUUUAUCCAAAAAAUUAAAUUUUAUUACGGAUGAAUUCAGUUUAUUUUUCUGGGCAGUUACAUUUUUCGGAGUAAUUUUAAAUAUAGGUUUGUGGAAGUAAUAUGUGCAUGCAUGUAUAUGUUCAUGCAUUGCAUCUGAAUUACAGCAUGGGCGCAGUCUCUCCUAUAAAAUCGAUUAUGCUUUUGUCAUUCAUAUGUCCUUCAUCAUUAUUGUAACCUAUCUUUUAUGAUACAGUCCUGAUUUCAGUUGUGUUUCAUAAAUGUUUUUAAUAUGAUUUAUGCAUUAUUUAAUGCAGGAGGAAUUCGACACGUAUGAUGAUAAUAUCCAUUGGUUUCUCAAAUUACAAUUUCUGAAAAAGAGGUCCAAGAUCAUUGAGAUUGUUGCAGCAAAGGAUGUUAUAUUUGCUUUAGCACAAUCUGGUCUUUGUGCUGCUUUUAGCCGGAGUACGUCUGAUGCUUUCCUAGUUUCCUGUUGACUCUUUUGUUUAUUCUAGUUCUAAUUCUGAUUUUUUUUCUUUUUGUUGAUAGCAACAAAUAAGUGUAUAUGCUUCUUGAACAUAAGCCCCGAUGAAGUGAUUAGGAGCUUAUUUUAUAAUAAGAACAAUGACUCACUCAUCACAGUUUCUGUUUACGCAUCAGACCAUUUCAGUUCCUUGAAAUGCCGGACCACUCCAAUAGAGUAAGAAACUUACUUUCAUGUGAAUGCUCUAGUUUUCAAAUAACUUCAAUUCUCCUCGUGUAUAGUUCACGCAUUAUGCACAUAUGUGCACAUACAUUGAUGUACACAUUGUGUGUGUUAAGGUUCUGAUAAGUAUUAAAAACUAAAGAUAAAUGCAGAUUUUUUUCUCAACUUAACUAUUAGCUUAUAGUUGGUGAUUUGAGGAUUAAACCUUUCAUGGUUUUCUUGGUUACUUGUAGAAGAUGUACCGUGACAAAUGUUUCUAUAUUGCUGAUACCAAAAUCUACAAACGAAGGCCUCGUUAGGCAUUGUUGCCAUUUUUGCUUUUUUAAAAGAAUUUCUAUACAAAAUAGAGUGGGAGGGGAUAAUGGCUUGCUUGCAACCAUUACAUUCAAGUAUUUGUUUGGCAACAAAGAGGAAAAAAAAAUUGGAAGCAACUUUUUUUUGUUUCCAGUUUCUUUCUUCUUUUUUUUCGAACAAGUUGUCAUUCAUCACUUGGCCAUGGUACAACAACAUAAAUUCCUUCUGCCAGUGCAGCAAAAUUAUAUAAAAUUAGUGUGUAAAAAAAUAAAAAAAAAGGGUCAGAAAUGCCAAAUGAGACCUGCUAUCUAAUUUUGUUCCAAGCAGUUUUAGUAAUGACUUAUUUUUCG